This 94743-nucleotide long non-coding RNA is filed under the name Triticum aestivum (bread wheat). RNAcentral's name for it is "long non-coding RNA (TAES_LNC026320)". Lineage: Eukaryota; Viridiplantae; Streptophyta; Magnoliopsida; Poales; Poaceae. The record is from RNAcentral.
AUAUUGAUAUGGUUGCUGGCCUGGAGAGACUAGCAUAGUAUUUUUUUGAAAAUGCAAAACAUGUUCAAACAUUCUCAGAAAAAUUGCAGACACACAUCGGCGCGGGGGAUAUUGAUAUGGUUGCUGGCCUGGAGAGACUAGUAUAGUAUUUUUUUGAAAUGCAAAACAUGUUCAAACAUUCUCAGAAAAAUUGCAGACACACAUCAAUGUCUGAUGCACAACCUUAAAAUGUUUUAGGUCCUAAUUCGACCUACACUAAUAGAAACAAAAAAGAGAAAAUCAGGUGUGAAUAGUGUCAAAAUACUAUUCACCCAAAUCAGCCACUAUUCACAUUUGAAUUUGAAUUUUUUUGAAUCUCUAAAUGUACAUGGAGUUUUGAGCUGGGUUUUUUUGGAGUUGUAGAUAUACGCCGCAAGUAUGUUGUCAAAUAAUUUCAGAAUGUUUUGGAUGGCUAAAUAUGAAAUUUUGUGAAUGAUCUCAUUGAUGACCCAUGUCGCCGCCACACAUCAAUUCAUACUUAGGGCAAUGAUUGGUUUGGUUCGUAACCUAAGGUUUUCACAUCUAACCUUAGUCAUUCCACAAUACAUUAGACAUGUACUUGAUUAUUGCCACAGUUGUAGCUUGCCACUUCUUUAGCUACUAUAAGGGUUGGGCGUGCUUUGCGCCGUUGGUGUUGUUGAGAUUCUCAAAAAAGUUACUCAUUUUGUUUUAAAAUAUAAGGUGUAUUACUUUUUGAAAAUCCAACCACUUUAAGUUUGACCAAACUUAUGAAAAUAUAUAUCAAAAUUCGUAAUAUCAAAUUCGUGUUAUUAUUAGAUUCAUCAUGAAAUGAAUAUCCAUAAUGUUUUGCCUUAAUAUUGUGGAUGUUGACAUUUUUGGCUCUAAACUUGGUCAAAGAUAAGGAAAUUUGACUUCCAAAGAACUAAUACCCCUCGUAUUCUGGAAUCGGUCGAAUAUUUAGUUUGGCGGAUGGGGGACACAAUGGAGUGUGUUUUAUGUUUAUUUAUUAUGCGGUUAUUGGGUGGGUCUUUCAUGAUGCGAUUCUGUGUUAUGCGCUAAUCAACUCAUACUUUUGUGGGUAAAUUUCCGCGUCGGUGGCUACAUGUACUAUAUUGGUGCUAUAGUAUCAUCACAUGGUGACGCUUCUUUUUUCUAGGUGAUAAGAGGGUGCACGGGGUUGAUAUGUUUUUCUAGCCGGUUAGUGUUUAUUAAUUUGAAAAAUCAUUGGCCCAAUCAAAAUCAUAAAUUUUAUUCAAAAUUGAAUAUCUUAAUAGAAUAAAAGAGCUUCAAAAUUAGGGAAUAUGGUGAAUUAAAAUAAUUAAAUGGGAGAGUUCCUUGAAAAAUUAUUGACCCGGUUAAACUCAGGUGACCAUGUUCUAAACUGAAGACCUCAAUUAAUUGUGAGGGCUUAAAAAUUAGGAAGUAUAGUGUAUAGUAUAAAAGAAUUGAAUGGGAGCUUUGAUAAAUUGUUGACUUGGUCAAAAUCGGGUGACCAAUUCCAAUUGGGCACCUCAAUUAACUGUGAGGACUUACAAAUUAGGAAGUAUAGUGUAUAGUAUAAAAGAAUUAAACGAGAGCCUUGAGAAAUUGUCGACUUGGUCAAAAUCAACGCAAUUCCAAUCAGACACCUCAAUUAAUUGUGAGGACUUAAAAAUUAGGAAGCACAGUGUAUAAUAUAAAAGAAUUGAAUGAGAGCUUUCAGAAAUUGUUAACUUGGUCAAAAUCGGGUGAAACAAUUUCAAUUGGACAUCUCAAUUGAUUGUGAUGCCUUUUACCCAUAGGAAGCUUAGUGAUAUAGUAGACAUCGUCCACAUACCAUAGGCUUGGUUUUGCCAAAUCAUGUCACACUUGUCGUCGCCAUAUUAUUCACCACACUUUGUGGUAGCAGCACAAAGUUAAGCAUGAACAAAACAUGCCCUUAGUUGCAUUCGACCUCCCACUGUUAAUUUUCUCUUUCAAGAAAGACACAUAUGGCCGGACAUGCGUCGGAACAUUGCUUACCGGUUGGGCACCACCUCCAUGCUAAUGUGCUUGUUACUUUUGGACACUGCAUUACCAUACAUAAUCAAGUAGUUUUGUGUGUGCAUUGAUUCUUCAAAAGUUUAUUAUUGUGUUAAUUGGCACAUCAUGUCACAUACUAUGCACCAAUCUAUAUUUAUGUAGGAUUGGUACAUAUAAGUCGUUCAUUCAUUUCCAUCACUUUAUCCAUGCGAUUCUCCUUCUAGCGCAACAACAAUUGAAUUCAAUCGUCAUUUCCACUUGCUCGAUCUUUUUGCUAGGUGACAGUAUAUAACGACCAUCGAAUUGAAGUGUGAAAUUACACAUAUGAAUGUACAUUGUACUAAAUAAUAUUUUGAUAUUUAUUUGGGCAUGUAAAUUGAUACGUCUCCAACGUAUCUAUAAUUUUUGAUUGCUCCAUGCUAUAUUAUCUAUUGUUUUGGACUAUAUUGGGCUUUAUUUUUCACUUUUAUAUUAUUUUUGGGACUAACCUAUUAACCGGAGGCCCAACCCAGAAUUGCUGUUUUUUGCCUAUUUCAGUGUUUCGAAUAAACGAAAUAUCAAACGGAGUCCAAACGGAAUAAAAUCUUUGGAAACGUGAUUUUCUCACCGAACGUGAUCCAGGAGACUUGGACCCUGCUCCAAGGAACAAAAGAGGCGGUCACGAGGGUGGGGGGCGCGCCCCCCUGCCUCGUGGGCCCCUCGUUGCUCCUCCGGCGUACUUCUUCCUCCUAUAUAUACACACGUACCCCAAAAUGAUCAGAACAGGAGCCAAAAACCUAAUUCCAACGCCGCAACUUUCUGUAUCCACGAGAUCCCAUCUUGGGGCCUGUUCCGGAGCUCCGCCGGAAGGAGGCCGUCAUCACGGAGGGCUUCUACAUCAUCCUAGCCCCUCCGAUGAAGUGUGAGUAGUUUACCUCAAACCUUCGGGUCCAUAAUUAGUAGCUAGAUGGCUUCUUCUCUCUCUUUGAAUCUCAAUACAAAGUUCUCCCCCUCUCUUGUGGAGAUCUAUUCGAUGUAAUCUUCUUUUUGCGGUGUGUUUGUUGAGACCGAUGAAUUGUGGGUUUAUGAUCAAGUCUAUCUAUGAAUAAUAUUUGAAUCUUCUCUGAAUUCUUUUAUGUAUGAUUGGUUAUCUUUGCAAGUCUUUUUGAAUUAUCCGUUUGGUUUGGCCAACUAGAUUGGUAGUUCUUGCCAUGGGAGAAGUGCUUAGCUUUGGGUUCGAUCUUGCGGUGUCCUUACCCAGUGACAGAAGGGGCAGCAAGGCACGUAUUGUAUCGUUGCCAUCGAGGAUAACAAGAUGGGGUUUAUUUCAUAUUGCAUGAAUUUAUCUCUCUACAUCAUGUCAUCUUGCUUAAGGCGUUACUCUGUUUUUAACUUAAUACUCUAGAUGCAUGCUAGAUAGCGCACUACAAGAAAUAUGUCAACUUAUGACCUUCUGUCAGUGACCCUCGAAGAAUUGGUCAUAAAUUUAUGACCAUUUUAGACCAAUUGGUCAAAAGCUGUUCAGGGGGCUCCAAACCCUAAACCAUUGCGACCAUUUUGGUCAGAAAGGUCGUAAUUUCCUUACACAAAAUGGUCACAAAGCAAACAGUGCUAGUCCGCUACCUUAUUUCCAGUUGUUAAUGACCAAUAUAGAUGGUCAUAGCCUUGUAGAUUGUGGUGGGUUGUGAUGACUAGGCGCCAUCUCAUCAGUUUUGCCUAUGUGUCAUGUCCAUGUGGCAGUUUUUGCCCUUGGUUGUGAAUCAACCUAUAUUUCUAUCAUUCCUAAAAUUCCCCAAAAAAUCUCAUAAAUUCUUUGGGGCAUAUCUUCAUCAAAUAUGUAAAAAUCCUUCCUUGCUUAGUUCAAAACUAAUUCAACAAUAUUCAUUUUCCUAUUCUGUUCACAACAACACUUUAUGAAGGAAGUGCUAUUUAUAUAUUCUUGAUUGCCCUCCGAAUUUUUGGGCACUCUUUCCUAUCCAAAUCAUUACCGCAUGACAAAAUUCAGCUCCAUUUGCCUAGCAAAUCUUCCUCGGCAAAUUUCCAAAGUUUUUGUCCACCUAGAAGCAUUGUGAAGGAAGUACCUUUUUUAUAUCUCUAAAUGACAUGAAAUUUAUACAGUUCCUUCAUAUGCCCAAAUUAUCACCCUCCUCCAAAUUGCAGCUCAGUCAAAUCAUCUAUGUGAGCCCAGGUUCAAUUUAUAUUUUAUGGCCAAAUUGGCACGUUGCAAAGCAAGUGUUAUAUAGACCCCUCCAAUUACCCUCAAACUUUUCGGGCACUCUUUCAUACCCAAAUCAUUGCCACAUGGUAAUAUUCAGCUCAAUUUUCCUAGUAAAUCUUUCUCGGGAAAUUUCCAAAGUUUCUACCUCGAGAGAAGCUUUGUGAAGUAAGUACUGGCUAGGCUUACCCAAAUGAUCUGAAAAUUUACCAGCGCAUGACCAUACCUAAGUAACUUACCUACACCAAUUUUGAGCUCAUUUCAUUCAUCCAAUCUCUCUCACUAGUUUUCCCAAGUUUCUGUCCAUAGAAGAGCAUUGUGAAGGAAGUACUACUUUGGCAUGUCCAAAUGGUAUCAAUUUUCUACAAUGCUUUCCUAUGCCCAAAUAACCAUCCUCCACAAAAUUUCAGCUCACUCCAUUCAUUAUUUUGAGCCCAGCUUCAACAUUCAUAUUUUUGUCCAGCGUGGUACUUUGCAAAGCAAGUACCACCUAGGAUCCUCUUUUUGAGCUAAAAAUUUGUGAAGACAUUCUCCUUAGUAGAUGAUCAUCCUCAGCCAAAACUCACGCCCAUUGGCCAUGUGCAUUUCCCGUACCGCUAAUCAAACACUUGGCUGCUAAUUCAUAUUUGAGCAUCGAUCGGUCUCCUCAUGAGAAUCUUAUGUUGUAAUUUUCUUCCUAGCACAAACCUGGUUAGUGCCCAACCCACUAGACAUGCCUAGGCCUCCCAGAACACAUGGCAACAUUACAGUCACGCGGUGACCACACGACGGGCAUGCGAGUUUACGCGCUCUAGAGUUGGGGCCCUCGGCCACCGCCCAAACCUCAACGUAUCGCCACCAAACCAUGUAUUUAUGAUUAAAUAGGUCCUUAUGUAACUAGAAAUGAUUUUUGGAAAAAAUAAAUAGCAAACUAUGAGGCAGCUGCAGUUCAAAUUUGACCCGCUUCCAACUGAAUCGGUGGAAAUUUGUCUUUUUCACGAGAGGUGGAUCAAAUUUUUUUACACCCAACCAUUUUGUCAAUUGUGCAUUAAAUAUGGCCUAGUAUUUUAUAAAAAUGAUUUGGUCCAAUUUUACAACAAUUAUUUGGUAGUUCCUUCACAAAAAACCUCCUUUUGGGCACUCGAAAAAUGGAAAAUGGUUUUUUCGUCCAACGAAAAUGAAAACUUCCUUAGACAACAUUGUUUGCCAUUCCAAUAUGCACUCUUGUGCACAAUAUGAGAUCAUUUGAACAAAUUAUGCCAUGAAUGUGGCCAUAAGAUUGAUCAUUUGGCUUGAAAGCCAUUGAUCUCCACACGUGAUAGCUCGUUUUUGAGAACACUUUUUUAAAAUAAUUGCCGUAUUACAAGUUUGUUAUUUUUCCUAAGAACUUGGCCACAUAUAAUGGCACAAUGCGAAGGUUUCCCAAUUUUUUGAUUUUUUUUGAAUUUUUUAUGCCCGUUUCAAAAUGCGGUCAAAACGGCGGGAAUGACCGUUCUUGGCUAGUGGUUGAAUCUUUGAAUUUUUUGGUGUUUCUAUGAUUAAAUAGAUACUUAUGUACCUAGAAAUGAUUUUUGGAAAAAAUAAAGAGCAAACUACAAGGCAGCUACAGUUCAAAUUUGACCCGCUUCCAACUGAAUCAGCGGGAAUUUGUCUUUUUCAUGAGAGGUGGAUCAAAACUUUUUACGCCCAACCAUUUGGUCAAUUGUGCAUUAAAUAUGUCCUAGUAUUUUAGAAAAAUGAUUUGGUCCAAUUUUGCAACAAUUAUUUGGUAGGUCCUUCACAAAAAACCUCCUUUUGGGCACUCGAAAAAUGGAAAAUGGUUUUUUCGUCCAAAAAAAAUGAAAACUUCCUUAGGCAACAUUGUUUGCUAUUCCAAUAUGCACCCUUGUGCACAAUAUGAGAUCAUUUGAACAAACUAUGCCAUGAAUGUGACCAUAAGAUUGAUCAUUUGGCUUGAAAACCCUGAAUCUUCACGCAUGAUAUCUCAUUUCUGAGAACACUUUAAAAAUAAUUGUCGUAUUACAAGUUUGUUAUUUUUCUUGGGAACUUGGCCACAUAUAAUGACACAAUGCGAAGGUUUCGUAAUUUUUUGAUUUUUUUGAAUUUUUUAUGCCCGUUUCAAAAUGCCGUCAAAACUAUGGGCAUGAUCGUUCCUAGCUAGUGGUUGAAUAUUGGAAAACUUUUGAUAUUUCUCUGAUUAAAUAGAUACUUUUGUACCUAAAAAUGAUUUUUGGAAAAAAUGAAGAGCAAACUAUGAGGCAGCUGCAGUUCAAAUUUGACCCGCUUCCAGCUAAACCGACGGAAAUUUGUCUUUUUCACGAGAGGUGGAUCAAAGCUUUUGACACCCAACCAUUUGGUCAAUUGUAUAUUAAAUAUGGCCUAGUAUUUUAGAAAAUUUACUUGGUCCAAUUUUGCAACAAAUAUAUGGUAGGUCCUUAAAAAAACUUAUUUUGGGCACUCGGAAAAUGGACGAGAGGUGGACGAAAAACUUUUAAGAGGGAACCUUUGGUCAAUUUCUACAUAAUACACGGUCAAAUAUUUUUAAAAAUUGUUGCGGUCCAAUUUUGUAACUAAUAUUUGAUAGGUUCUUCACAUAGGCGAAAAGAAAAAAGAGAAAUAAAAAGAAAAACACAUAUACAUAAAUUUAAUUUUCAUUGGUGGAGAUGUUUGUGCCAUGGAUUGAUGACAUGGCACACAUCCAUCCAUCCAUCCACCCACCCACCCGCAGCCCAAACCCUAACUCCACUCCUCCCGUCCCCUCUCCUCUCUCCCCCGAUUCAGAUCCAGUCCUCGCCGCCGCCACGGCUCUCAUCGCUCUCCUCCUCCGCCCCGCACCCCCACCCACCAGCGCGCAACCAGAGCGAACGACUUGCCUCUCCCUUGCAUGCUCCCCGUGCCGACCCCGCCCCCAACCAGAGCGAAGGCAAUGGACGACGUCGCCUUCGCCGCGGGCUCCUCCUCGUCCGCCAUGGACGCGCUCGCCUCCUCCUCCUCCUCCGCCGCGCCCGCUGACCCCUCGCACGGCUGGCAGAAGGUGACCUACGCCAAGCGCAGCAGCCGCAAGCCCGCCGCCGUGGCCUCGGUCGCGGCCGCCGCGCCCUAUCUGGGCAAGCCCAACAUCUUCGAGGGCCUCAACAAGCGCUCGCAGGAGCGCCACCGCACGAUCCAGGCCGCCCGGGACGCCGCGGUCGGCUACAACUCCGACGACGCCAACGCCAACGCCCACAUCCCCUGGGGCUCCCGCUCCUCUGACGAGGGCUCCGACUCGGACGGUGCGGCAAAGGACCACCCCCAGGCCGAGGCGCCCAAGGUGAAGAAACCCAAGGUCACGGUCGCCGAAGCCGUGGCGCUCAUCGACGCCGAGAGCCUCGUCGCGCACCUCGUCGACAUCUCGGUACUACCCCUACCCCUCCUUCCUCCUCAAAAUGCAUUCCCAGAGGCCAGAUCUCGCGAGGCCCGGGCCGGAUCAUGGCUUUGUCUCCUUCCCAGGGAUCGGAUCUGGCCGGGGUUUAGUGCCGGAUCUCGCCGGCCAUGUCCAAAUUCCCCUAUACUGUUCUGUACCAACUAGUUUCGUGUUUAGAGGUAGAUGCAUAAUUCUGGUAUGGUACGGAUAGGCUGUGGGUGUGAUCCAGUCUGUCGUGUGUGCUUGCAGGGACGCUGUGGCUCACGGGGAUCGCGGGAUCCAUCGCCUACAACUGGUCCAGGCCCGGCAUGAAGACCAGCGUCAAGCUCAUCCACGCCAGGUUCGUUUCCUCCGUCUGGUGGGAUCUGUUGUCAAUUGUGCAUUUCGUAUCUGUUGAUUGUGUCCAGUCCCGAGUUGGACAAUAUACCUGGCCAUGGUCGGAGCUGACUGAUACUUGUUUUCUUGCUCCCAUCUCCCUGCUCCCGCAGCGUGGUGCCGAUGAUGGACUGGACAGACAACCACUACAGGAAGCUAGCGCGGCUGAUAUCGAGGCACACCUGGUUAUACAUAGAGAUGGUGGUCGCUGAGACCAUUGUGCAUCAGAAAGUUAAGUUGGCGAGUUUUUUUGGUCUUUCUUGGUCCGGUGCCAUUAAGCUUCAUUGCUAUGGGAUAACUGAUUUCAUUUAACCUGACUGAUAUUAUGAUUCGUGGGGAUUAGAAGUAUUUGCAUUGAUUAUACUAGUCAAGCUGCAUCAAAUAUGGCAGUAGUAACAAAUGUACGAUAACUAUUUCGUCUGUACAAAUGUACAAUACAAUGACAUUUGCUUCCAAUAAGAAGUGAAACAUAUUUGAGAAGUGAUUGGGGGGGGGGGAGAUUCUUUGAGAGUUCUGCUGCAUGUUUCUUUCACUGGCACCAUGGUACAACCCAUGUUAUGUCUGACUGUUAGCAUGAUCGCGAAUGAGGUAACACGCCAAACUCCAGGACCACAGAAAUAGGGAACUCAUAUGAUAAUAAACUCUAUGCUGAAAUCGGUUUACUUCGCUAGUGAUGUAGAUGCAUGAGUCGUGUGCUAAUUUUGUCUGCAAGUUGAAGUCGGUUUAGCUCCAUCAGCAAUGCCUGUGGAGUUGUGGCUGUGGUUGGUACAUACUAACUAAUGGAGUAGUGGGUAGCUGUGGUGUGCCCUGCUGUUGGAAUGGUUCCGAUAACUUGUUAGUAGCAUGUUCUAUUAGUUCCAGAGAAAAAGUGAAAUCCCAGCUCCGCCUGCUUCAUGAUCCUCUGGUUCUGCUUUUACCUGCCUACUGUCAUGUGAAUUGGCUAACUGUGGCUCAUAUUCUUUUCCCCAGGUAGCUCAUGGUGUGUGUCACCGGUGCAGCGGUGCUCUGCUCUUGCGCACGGUGACCGGCGUGACGGCGGCUAUGUAUGGCAGCGACCACAAGCUCAUCGGUGAGCGGCUCCCUCUCCUACCCCUAGUUCUCUUUUCUAAGAUGUAGUAUUCUAUGCAGAAGAUCUAUUUGCUAGUACUUGGGCUCACUGCUGUUUAUAUUUGAUUAUUCUAUUAUUAUGUAUACUGAAAAUGCUAUAACAAAUUUACUGCUCAUAUUCCUGUACAAAAGCCCUCAUGCGAAUUAAUGACAUGCUUCAUUUUUGAACAAACAGGGAAGUUGAAGAUUUCGCUAGGAGGCUCAAUUCUGUUUGGCCUGAAAGAAUGCAUUUGGGUCAAGAAAGAAGAAUUGAGUCGCAACUAAUUGGUGGUAAUGGUUCUCUGCAGAGAUUUUCUGGUAAUUUUUUCCAUAUAGAAUAGUUGAAACUGUAGUGAGUAAAGAAUUUAGCCCACUCUACUGAAUCUUUUGGAAGAACAGAAGGUUUUACAUACUAAAGGACAGUGUUUGGUUAGUCCAACGUAAAGUAGGAAUUACCUCAUUCUUGCACCAGCUCAUUCCAUAACCGGGUCAAGUGAUAAUUUGUAUGUGCCCGCAGGGUUCAAUCACAGGUGAAUGUCGUGCGGUAGUGAGUAAAUAAUUUGCAUUGCCCCAUUAAUUGAGUUUAUUUUAUCUAUUCAAAACACUCCAACAUGUUGGUUUAAUCAAAUCCUCUAGUAAUGCCACAGCUUGUCAUGGAUGUCGCAUUUCCUAUGUUUUUGGGGAAUUUCGAGAUGUACCAUUCUCUGUUUUGGGAAUUUCUUUGCCGUAAAUUAUUAUAGCCAACUGUUCAGAAUUGUUUUUGCGGGGAGCAAAUCUGUAUAUGCAAAGUGUGUGUGUGUAUCCAGUGAGCAAAUCUAUAGUAAUUAUAGAGUAUAUUAUCUUCUUUCUUUUAUUCACAAUUUUCUGCUCAGUUCUCUUUUGACAUAUAGUUUGUUCUCUUUGAAUGUGCAGAUGGUAUGAUGUGGUGGUUAUCUUUUUUCGUUGCUGGAACCUGGAUGUCAUAUGUUAUGUGAUUUGAGCCAAAUGGCAUAUUGUAAUCUUUUUAUUGCUGGUUUUUAUGUACGAUGUCAUGAAGAUGUACGUUUGAAAUGUUGCUUUGAUAGCAAAAUUGUAUUCCUGUGUACAUGCUGCUUUGACAGCAAAAUUAUGAAAAAUUCUCAACAAUAUAUAUGGGCAAAAUUGUAUUCCUGUGUACUGCGCCUGAAAAGGCUACAACCAACUGAUGAUGUUACUAGAACCUGACAAUUGGGACCCAUCUGACUAGUGGACCCUUCUUUUGGGAAAAAAAGAAAAACUAAAUUCGUUUAGACAUAAAGGCCACAAACCAACAAUAAAAAGGCUGCAAUAUUGGGCUUGGCCCAUGAACCCAACCAAAAAUUGGCAGACAGAAAAAACACAAAUAGGCUGAAUUGUUGGGCUAGGCCCAUGUAGAAAACUGAAUUGGACCGGGCUGAAUCUUGUGCCACAUCAGCUUGCCACGCUGGAUGCCUACAUGGACUGGGGAGGUUGCUAGUGACCAAAACAGAACAAUAGGCUUAUUUUGGUCAUAAACGUUUGUGACCAUUCCAAAAGAAAGGUCGCUAUAGUCAGUUUACGACGGCCAGCUUUUGACCUUAUGUUUUUGGUCACAAAAAGGUCACAAAUGGAAAUUUGUGACCAUUCAGUGACCAAUAGUGGUGGUCACAAGUUGACAUAUUUCUUGUAGUGGUGGUCGAUGAGUGGAGUAAUAGUAGUAGAUGCAGAAUCGUUUCGAUCUACUUGUCACGGACGUGAUGCCUAUAUACAUGAUCAUGCCUAGAUAUUCUCAUAACUAUGCUCAAUUCUGUCAAUUGCUCAACAAUAAUUUGUUCACCCACCAUAGAAUACUUAUGCUCUUGAGAGAAGCCACUAGUGAAAUCUAUGACCCCCGGGUCUAUUCUCAUCAUAUCAAUCUCCAUCACUUUAAUCUUGCUUUGCUUUUUUACUUUUUACUUUGCAUCUUUAUACCAAAAAUACCAAAAAUAUUAUAUCUAUCAGAUCUCACUCUCGUAAGUGACCGUGAAGGGAUUGACAACCCCUAAUCGCAUUGGUUGCGAGUAGCUAUCGCUUUGUGCAGGUACGAGGGACUUGAGCGUGGCCUCCUACUGGAUUGAUACCUUGGUUCUCAAAAACUGAGGGAAAUACUUACGCUACUCUGCUUCAUCAUCCCUUCCUCUUCGGGGAAAACCAACGCAAGCUCAAGACGUAGCAAGAAGGAUUUCUGGCGCCGUUGCCGGGGAGUCUACGCAAAAAGUCAACAUACCAAGUACCCAUCACAAUCCCUAUCUCUCGCAUUACAUUAUUUGCCAUUUGCCUCUCGUUUUCCUCUCCCCCACUUCACCCUUGCCGUUUUAUUCGCCCUCUCUCUCUCUAUCCUCCCUCUCUAUUUGCCUCUUUUGCCCGUUUCUUGUUUGCUCGUAUGGUUGGAAUAGUCGUUUAUUUAUUACUAAACAGAGAAGCUAAUAUCUAUGGAUCCUCAUCCGCUUUCCAAUCUUUUUAAGAGAUCCAAUUAUGAUGAACCAAUUCCUAGUGAUUUGGAUGCACUAGAUUAUCUUUAUAAGCUUUUGCCUGAAAUCCGUAAAUCUGAAAAUCGUGAUGAAGUGCUUUAUGAAGUGACUCAUGAUAGAUCUUUGAAUAAAAAGCAUGAUUGCAAUGAUUUUAUUAUAAAUUCUCUUGAUGUCAAUUGUGCUAAUAAGAUGCAAAACCCUAAGCUUGGGGAUCCUAGUUUUGCUAUGUCUACUACUUGUUGCAAUGAUUAUGAUUGGGGUGAUUCUUCUUUUGAUCUUGAAAAUUUAUUUAAACCCCAUGAUGAAUAUGAGAUUGAUUAUAAUGUUUGCAAUAAUAUUGAAAGUGGGUUUGGAAGAAUGUCAACUUUAGAUCCCACAUAUUUAGAGAAUGUUCAAUCUUAUGAAGUUUUUGAUAAAAGUGCGUUUGGGAAGGUUAUGACUUUAGUUAAUAUUAAUCCCACUAUUUCGGAAAAGUGCCAACCUUGCAUGCAUGUGGAUCAUGUUGAGAAUAUUUUAUGUGAUAGCUAUAUUGUUGAAUUUGCUUAUGAUCCUACAUGUAAUUACUAUGAGAGAGGAAAAUAUGGUUGUAGAAAUUCUCAUGUUACUAAAUUACCUCUCGUUAUGUUGAGAUUGCUAUUGUUUCUUUCCUCUUCCUUGCAUAUGCUAGUUUUUGCUUGCGUUGAUAAUUUGUUUUCCUAUAAGAUGCCUAUGCAUAGGAAGUAUGUUAGACUUAGAUGUGUUUGUCACAUGCUUUAUGAUGCUCCUUUUGUGCUUCAAUUCUUGUCUUUCAUGUGAGCAUCAUUAAAAUUAUCAAUGCCUAGCUAUAAGGCUUUAAAGAAAAGCGCUUGUUGGGAGACAUCCCAAUAUUUUUACUUGCUGUUAUUUAAUAAAUAAAUUAUAUAGCCUCUGUUUUGGUUGUGUUUUUGUGUUUAAUUAGUGUUUGUGCCAAGUAGAACCGUUGGGAAGACUUGGGGAAAGUCUUGUUGAACUUGCUGUAAAAAACAGAAACUUUAGCGCUCACGAGAACUGCUGUCAUUUUUAUUUGAAGAGUGCUAUUUAUUUAAUUAUUUUUGAAGAUGAUUAAUAGAUAAAUUCCUCACAUCCAUAAAUUUAUUUUAGAAUUUUUGGGGUUCCAGAUCUUGCGCUAGCUACAAAUUACUACAGUUUGUUCUGUUUUUGACAGAUUCUGUUUUUCGUGUGUUGUUUGCUUAUUUUGAUGAAUCUAUGGCUAGUAAAAUAGUUUAUAAUCCAUAGAUAAGUUGGAAUUCAGUAGGUUUAACACCAAUAUAAAUAAAGAAUGAGUUCAUUACAGUACCUUGAAGUGGUCUUUUGUUUUCUUUCGCUAACGGAGCUCACGAGUUUUCUAUUUUGAGUUCUGUGUUGUGAAGUUUUCAAGUUUUGGGUGAAUUCUUUUGAUGGAUAAUGGAACAAGGAGUGGCAAGAGCCUAAGCUUUGGGAUGCCCAUGGCACCCCCAAGAUAAUCCAAGGACACCAAAAAGUCAAAGCUUUGGGAUGCCCCGGAAGGCAUCCCCUCUUUUGUCCACUUCCAUCGGUAAUUUACUUGGAACUAUAUUUUUAUUCACCAACAUGAUAUGUGUUUUGCUUGGAGCGUCCUGUAUUAUUUGUGUCUUUGUGUCUUAGUAUACCACAAUCAUCCUUGCUGUACACACCUUUUGAGAGAGCCAUACAUGAAUUAAAAUUUGAUAAGAAUACUCUAUGUGCUUCACUUAUAUCUUUUGAGCUAGAUAAUUUUGCUCUAUGUGCUUCAUUUAUAUCUUUUGAGCGUAGUAGUUUUGCUCUAUGUGCUUCACUUAUAUCUUUUGAGCGUAGUAGUUUUGCUCUAUGUGCUUCACUUAUAUCUUUUGAGCUAGAUAAUUUUGCUCUAUGUGCUUCACUUAGAUCUUUUAGAGCACAGUGGUGGAUUUGUUUUAAAGAAACUAUUGAUCUCUCAUGCUUCACUUAAAUUAUUUGGGAGUCUCUUAAUAGCAUGGUAGUUUGCUUAAUAAUAAUAUGCUUGGUUUUCAAGAUUUGUGAAACUUUCUUUUGAGUGUGUUGAAUACUAAGAAAAGAUUGAAGCAUGAUAAUUGUUUUGAGAUAUGGAGGUGAUAAUAUUAAAGUCAUGCUAGUUGAGUAGUUGUCAAUUUAAAGAAUACUUGUGUUAAAGUUUGUGAUUUCCAUAGCAUGCACGUAUGGUGAACCGUUAUGUGACGAAGUCGGAACAUGAUUUAUUUGUUGAUUGUCUUCCUUAUGAGUGGCGGUCGGGGACGAGCGAUGGUCUUUUCCUACCAAUCUAUCCCCCUAGGAGCAUGCGCGUAAUACUUUGCUUUGAUAACUUCUAGAUUUUUGCAAUAAGUAUAUGAGUUAUUUAUGACUAAUGUUGAGUCCAUGGAUUAUACGCACUCUCACCCUUCCACCUUUGCUAGCCUCUCUAAUACCGCGCACCUUUCGCCGGUAUCAUACACCUACCAUAUACCUUCCUCAAAACAGUCACCAUACCUACCUAGUAUGGCAUUUCCAUAGCCAUUCCGAGAUAUAUUGCCAUGCAACUUUCCACCAUCUAGUUCAUCAUGACAUAUUCAUCAUUGUCAUAUUGCUUAGCAUGAUCAUGUAGUUGACAUAGUAUUUGUGGCAAAGCCACCGUUCAUAAUUUCUUCAUACUUGUCACUCUUGAUUCAUUGCAUAUCCCGGUACACCGCCGGAGGCAUCCAUAUAGAGUCAUACUUUGUUUUAGAAUCGAGUUGUAAUCAUUGAGUUGUAAAUAAAUAAAAGUGUGAUGAUCAUCAUUCAAUAGAGCAUUGUCCCAAAUGAAAAAAGAGAAAGGCCAAAGAAAAAAAAGAAGGCCCCCCAAAAAAGGGGCAAUACUACUAUCCUUUUUUUCCACACUUGUGCUUCAAAGUAGCACCAUGAUAUAGCGAGUCUCAUAUAUUGUGCUUCAAAGUAGCACCAUGUUCUGCAUAUAGAGAGUCUCAUAUGUUUUCACUUUCAUAUACUAGUGGGAAUUUUUCAUUAUAAAACUUGGCUUGUAUAUUCCAAUGAUGGGCUUCCUCAAAAUUGCCCUAGGUCUUCGUGAGCAAGCAAGUUGGAUGCACACCCACUAGUUUCUUUUGUUGAGCUUUCAUACAUUUAUAGCUCUACUGCAUCAGUUGCAUGGCAAUCCCUACUCACUCACAUUGAUAUCUAUUGAUGGGCAUCUCCAUAGCCCGUUGAUACGCCUAGUUGAUGUGAGACUAUCUUCCCCUCCUUUUGUCUUCUCCACAACCACCCUUCUAUUCCACCUAUAGUGCUAUAUCCAUGGCUCAUGCUCAUGUAUUGCUUGAAGAUUGAAAAAGUUUUGAAAAAGUUAGAGUAUGAAACAAUUGCUUGGCUUGUCAUCGGGGUUGUGCAUGAUUUGAAUACUUUGUGUGGUGAAGAUGGAGCAUAGCCAGACUAUAUAAUUUUGUAGGGAUAACUUUCUUUGGCCAUGUUAUUUUGAGAAGACAUAAUUGCUUUGUUAGUAUGCUUGAAGUAUUAUUAUUUUUAUGUCAAUAUAAACUUUUGUCUUGAAUCUUUCUAAUCUGAAUAUUCAUACCACAAUUAAGAAGAUUUGCAUUGAAAUUAUGCCAAGUAGCACUCCGCAUCAAAAAUUCACUUUUUAUCAUUUACUUACUCGAGGACGAGCAGGAAUUAAGCUUGGGGAUGCCUGAUACGUCUCCAACGUAUCUAUAAUUUUUGAUUGCUCCAUGCUAUAUUAUCUACUGUUUUGGACUAUAUUGGGCUUUAUUUUCCACUUUUACAUUAUUUUUGGGACUAACCUAUUAACCGGAGGCCCAUCCCAGAAUUGAUGUUUUUUGCCUAUUUCAGUGUUUCGAAGAAACGGAAUAUCAAACGGAAUAAAAUCUUCGGAAACGUGAUUUUCUCACCGAAUGUGAUCUAGGAGACUUGGACCCUGCUCCAAGGAACAAAAGAGGUGGUCACGAGGGUGGGCCCCCCCCUAGGGCGCGCCCCCUACCUCGUGGGCCCCUCGUUGCUCCUCCGGCGUACUUCUUCCUCCUAUAUAUACACACGUACCCCAAAACGAUCAGAACAGGAGCCAAAAACCUAAUUCCACCACCGCAACUUUCUGUAUCCACGAGAUCCCAUCUUGGGGCCUGUUCCGGAGCUCCGCCGGAAGGAGGCCGUCAUCACGGAGGGCUUCUACAUCAUCCUAGCCCCUCCGAUGAAGUGUGAGUAGUUUACCUCAGACCUUCGGGUCCAUAGUUAGUAGCUAGAUGGCUUCUUCUCUCUCUUUGAAUCUCAAUACAAAGUUCUCCCCCUCUCUUGUGGAGAUCUAUUCGAUGUAAUCUUCUUUUUGCGGUGUGUUUGUUGAGACCGAUGAAUUGUGGGUUUAUGAUCAAGUCUAUCUAUGAAUAAUAUUUGAAUCUUCUCUGAAUUCUUUUAUGUAUGAUUGGUUAUCUUCGCAAGUCUCUUCGAAUUAUCCGUUUGGUUUGGCCAACUAGAUUGGUAGUUCUUGCCAUGGGAGAAGUGCUUAGCUUUGGGUUCGAUAUUGCGGUGUCCUUACCCAGUGACAAAAGGGGCAGCAAGGCACGUACUGUAUCGUUGCCAUCGAGGAUAACAAGAUGGGGUUUAUUUCAUAUUGCAUGAAUAUAUCUCUCUACAUCAUCUCAUCUUGCUUAAGGCGUUACUCUGUUUUUAACUUAAUACUCUAGAUGCAUGCAGGAUAGCGGCCGAUGAGUGGAGUACUAGUAGUAGAUGCAGAAUCGUUUCGAUCUACUUGUCACGGACGUGAUGCCUAUAUACAUGAUCAUGCCUAGAUAUUCUCAUAACUAUGCUCAAUUCUGUCAAUUGCUCAACAACAAUUUGUUCACCCACCGUAGAAUACUUAUGCUCUUGAGAGAAGCCACUAGUGAAACCUAUGGCCCCCGGGUCUAUUCUCAUCAUAUCAAUCUCCAUCACUUUAAUCUUGCUUUGCUUUUUUACUUUGCUUUUACUUUUUACUGUGCAUCUUUAUACCAAAAAUACCAAAAAUAUUAUAUCUAUCAGAUCUCACUCUCGUAAGUGACCGUGAAGGGAUUGACAACCCCUAAUCGCGUUGGUUGCGAGUAGCUAUCGCUUUGUGUAGGUACGAGGGACUUGAGCGUGGCCUCCUACUGGAUUGAUACCUUGGUUCUCAAAAACUGAGGGAAAUACUUACGCUACUCUGCUGCAUCAUCCCUUCCUCUUCGGGAAAACAAACGCAAGCUCAAGACGUAGCAUAAAUACUUAGUGUGCACCCACUACACCAACCUUGGAUCUCAUUUCGUAAAUAUUAAGGACGCACUACCUUCAACAUGAGCACUAUAUAUAUAUAUCCAUCUAGUUGUCUUGUGGUCUUCCUCCUAUGACAUCCCGCCUACACCAUCUUUUAGAUGCCAAGACUUAAGAGGAAAAGGAAGUAGCGGCACUUAGGAUGUAUGAACUACACACAUGUAGCAUGUUUGGAAUAGGAGGCUUCCAUGAAUAUGUUCAUCCUAGCAACAAGUAACCUGGUGUAAUUGACCUAACUACGAACAACAUGAAAGGCGCCACAACUAGACAGUGAAUUGGUCGUGGAGGUAGUGUCACGUCAGAAAGAAAAACGAGGGAUGCAUCUUGAGAAGACAAUAAGAAGACAUGUGCCUUGUCGCACCGUCUUCUCUACCACAUUUUUUUAUCUGGUUGUACUUUUUCAUGGGAUGAUCUUUUUUGGGCCUUUAAUCUUUUUAGGUCCCAAUCGACAAAAUUCUAUGCCAAUGUGGAUACAAAACAAAGUCCAUGUGAAUUAGGCCGACCAAAAACAUAAUAUAUACAACCACUAGCAGGACAUGCACUCCAUGACUAUAAGAUAAGCUAUGCUCUUUUUGAACAACUGUGUUAAACUAGCGAAAGUAAGAAUAGUUGAACAAGCACGAAAGAUUGUCCCCUAGAGACCUGCCUAGCCAGAUCAAAACAUGCAGGGUGUUAUGUACUUCCACGUCACCUCACUUUUUUUUGAGGUGGUUCUUAGGCGUGCACAUCCGACAAGAUAGUGAACAAUUGCUACAUGCCCCUCUGCCUUUAGCCUAUGCGAUGAUGAUAGCUUACCCAUGUCACCGCUGCAAGUCGAUCAGUAUUUAAUUGCAUCCGAUCAACCUUUUGUUGAUCUUCUCUUCUAAGAAAGAUCAAGGUUGUGGUGAACAUAUAGGGUCGGUAGACUGCUCGUUGGCGAGCAACAAAUAUAAUGGCGUGAGACAGGCACCACCUUCCAUGUCUAUGUUGUUGCACUUGUUAUAUUUUUAAGUCAUUCAUUUCAUUGCUAGUUAUGAGGGUGCUUGUGAAUGCCCCUUCCCUCCUUGAAGGCACUUCCCUCAACACUGGGUCGUGUCAUGGUGGUUGUUUGAACGGCCAGAUCUUUUGCGAUGUUCGAUGGGUUGAUAAUGCGCGGGUCCUAGCAAAAGUUUGUGGACGACUAGAGUCGAUGUCAGUGACGAUGGUAUCCAUGUGCGUUGCUUCCAUUCUUGGAGGUGUAUUGAAGACCUCGCUCUCAAUCGUUCCGGGUGGGCACCAUGUUAGGUGAUGGUGUUCUAUUUGGAUGGACUUUAGGGUUGUGUUUUUCUCCCUUGCUCAGUGUGGUUUUUGGCCUAGUUUCCCUUAUGAAUAUAUACUUUGUAUUUUUCACAUUUUCCUAUCUUAUUAAAUUGGUAGAGCCCCUGCAUUGCAUGAGUAGAUCACUAAUUUCAGCAUGCAUGUGAUUCUUCUUGUACAAGACAGAUGGAACAACAAUUGAAAUGAAUUGCAUUUACACUUCAAAUUUGUUACUGAAAGAUAGCACAAUCAUCAAACUGAAGCCUGAAUUCAUAUAUGAAUUUUCAUAGUCCUCAAAUAUAGCACGAUCUUGGUUUAGGAUUUUAUAAAGAUUCUUUUACAUUUGUAUCCCGAACUCAAACCCACUACUCAGAUUUGUCCCUAAUUUUGAAGCCUGCUCAAAUUUGCCCCUCUGUCAUUAGGUGCCCUUACAGAAAUGCCCUUCCGCGCCAUUAACGUCCGGUCAAAGCAAAACAAAAAUAAAAAAAUCUGAAAUUUUGUGGGAUCAAAGAUACUCAGGUGUGCAAGGUGCAUGCAAAUUUUUGUGCUAUUUAGACAUACCAGGAGCUCGUGGCAAAGGAAAACAAUAAAUCUGUACGCCUAUGAAUAGUAAAUUAAAAAAAUUGGAAGAAAAUUCAAAAAUUAAGAAUUUUUUUGGCAUGCAAGAUGCUCGGGUGCACAAGUAUGUGCAAAAUUUUGAUGUGUUCGUACAUUGUAGGAGCUUGUGGAGAAAAAAAAAUUUGGCUUGUUAAAAAACUUUGGAAAAAUACACUAUUUUGGAAAGGAGCUGUGAUUUUAGUAGUUUUGUAGAUAUCAAAGAUAUUUCCAGCCCUUAUAAAAAAUAAUAAAAGGACAACACAUAAACAAAGAGAGGAGCACACCUUAGCAUAGACCGCACAGUCGUCAGAAAGGGAAGGACAUAUAAUCCAUUCACUCAUGUUUGCUGAAGAUUAGAGAGGCCUAGUCAUUCAUUCAUCAUUCUCAUUGUUGUAGCCAUGUGAUUCCCAUUUUACCGGAUGCGAGGACCAUUGAAUUGAAUCACAUUUACACUUCCAUCCUUUUAUUAAAAUAUAGUAGUGUACAACGACCAUCUAAUUGGAUGUGAAUUCGUAUAUGAUAGUUCUUUUUUUUGUUUGCAGGGACGUAUAUGAUAUUUCAUUGUACUAAAAGUAUGGUCAAGAUUUGUGCUUUGUAAGUAUUUAAUGCACACUCACCAUACGAACCUCCAAUCUUAUUCUCUAAAUAUUAGGGAUCCGCACUUCCUUCAAUAUUAGCUCGAUAUAUAUCUAUCAAGUUGUCAUGAGUCUUCUUCCUAUGGCCUCCGGCUUACACCAUCUUUCAAAUAUCGAGACUUAGCAGGAAGAGGAAGCAAUUACACUAGUAGAAAAAGGGGCUUUGGUUCGGCCAGAAAAGAGCAUUAAUACCGGUUGUAUUAUGAACCGGGACUAAUGUGAGCAUUAUUCCCGGUUCAAGGGGCGAUGGCAUGGUACAGACAUUACUCCCGGUUCAAAUGGGACCUUUAGUCCCGGUUCGUGCCACGAACUGGUACUAAAGGGUGCAAUGCCCAUUAGUACCGGUUCGUGGCACAAACCGGUACUAAAGGUCUAACCUUUAGUACCGGUUCGUACCACGAACCGGUACUAAUGGGGUUGAGACCUUUAGUACCGGUUCGUGCCACGAACCGGUACUAAUGGUGCAAUUUUCAAAUCCUCCCCCCUGUAUCGCCUUUUUCAGUUUUGUAAAAAGCAAAAGAAAAUGAUAAAAACUUCAAAAGUUAAAAUCCUUCGAGAUGUAGUUAUGUUACCACAUCUACUACUUAGGAAAAUUUUGAAACUUAAAUUUGGACAUGUUUUGCAAAAAGUGUAGGGAAAAUGUAAAACGGCUAUAGCUUUUGCAUACGAUGUAAAAAAACAUAUAAUAUCAAAAUGUUCAACAUGAAAAUCCGCAUUCGAUUUUGACUGCCUACGGCCUAUUUGCAAAAUUUUAGAAUCCUCAGAUUCCAAAAGGAAAAAAGUUAUGCUCAAAUUUCAGUUUUUUUAAAAAAUUCGUUAAAUCUGGUCAAACUAUGGUCAAACUACUUAUUCAAGAAUUAUUAGUGUUACUAAAUAAUUAUUCAAGAAUAUUAGUGUUACUAAAUAAUUAUUUCAGUUUUUUUGAAUUUCGGUCAAAUCUGAUCAAACUGUGGUCAAACAAUGGUCAAAUUACUUAUUCAAGAAAUAUUUGUGUUACUAAAUAAUUAUUGUUUUUUAGAACAAUAGAUUCAAACUCAAAUAGUGAAAUGUGUGACUUCAUGCUCAAGCUAAACUCCCAAGGGUUAAUAGGAUUGACAUCUUACUAUUGUCAGGAAAACAACAAGUGCAGACUUGGAAACAAGGGAGAAUAGAACCCAGAAGUUAAGCGUGCUCAGGCUGGGGGAGUGGGAGGAUGGGUGACCGUUCAGGAAGUUAGAUGGUUUGGAAUGAUGAGGGGGUGAUUGAAGAUUAAAUUGAGCAGUGAUGAGGGAUGAUUAGAGAUUAGAGGUUAAAAUAAUUAAGAAAUUGGAAAAUCCGGAAAAAAACUAAAAAAAGAUUUCAACAAAAUCCUUUAGUACCUGUUGGUGUUACCAACCGGGAUUAAAGGUGGACCUCCAGGAAGCAGCCACGUGGAGGGCCUUUAGUCCCGGUUCGUAUAAAAACCGGACUAAAGGGGGGGACCUUUAGUAACGACCCUUUAGUCCCGGUUCCAGAACCGGGACUAAAGGCUCUCUAGAACCGGGACAAAAUGCCCUUUUUCUACUAGUGUUGCACUUUAACCUAGGAGUUAGACACACAUAGCGUGUUUGGAAUAGUAGUACUAGUAGGCAUCUAAGAAUAUGUGCAUUCACGUGUUCUUAAGGGUUGUGUAACCGACCUAAUUACGAUCAUCAUGGCAGGCAUAACACUUAGACAGAAGAUAUCUGCUACAUGAAGCAUAGUUUACGAAGAGAAAAUAGGGAUGCACGUUGAGAAGACUAGAAUCAGACAUGCUCCUUUCCACGCCGUUUUCUCUGGAGAAUUUUUCAUUUAUUAUUUUGGAGUUUCAUACUCCUCUACUGUACAUUUUUCUAUCGGUUAUUGUUACCUGCCUUUUUUUACAUCUUUUAUUGAGCAGCGUGCUCAGGCUGGGGGAGUGGGAGGAUGGCUGACCGUUCGGGAAGUUAGAUGAUUUGGAAUGAUGAGGGGGUGAUUGAAGAUUAAAUUGAGCAGUGAUGAGGGAUGAUUAGAGAUUAGAGGUUAAAAUAAUUAAGAAAUUGGAAAAUCCAGAAAAAAAACUAAAUUUUUUUUCAACAAAAUCCUUUAGUACCGGUUGGUGUUACCAACCGGGAUUAAAGGUGGACCUCCAGGAAGCAGCCACGUGGAGGGCCUUUAGUCCCGGUUCGUAUAAGAACCGGACUAAAGGGGGGGACCUUUAGUAACGAGCCUUUAGUCCCGGUUCCAGAACCGGGACUAAAGGCCCUCUAGAACCGGGACAAAAUGCCCUUUUUCUACUAGUGUUACACUUUAACCUAGGAGUUAGACACACAUAGCGUGUUUGGAAUAGUAGUACUAGUAGGCAUCUAAGAAUAUGUGCAUUCACGUGUUCUUAAGGGUUGUGUAACCGACCUAAUUACGAUCAUCAUGGCAGGCAUAACACUUAGACAGAAGAUAUCUGCUACAGGAAGCAUAGUUUACGAAGAGAAAAUAGGGAUGCACGUUGAGAAGACUAGAAUCAGACGUGCUCCUUUCCACGCCGUUUUCUCUGGAGAAUUUUUCAUUUAUUAUUUUGGAGUUUCAUACUCCUCUAUUGUACAUUUUUCUAUCGGUUGUUGUUACCUGCCUUUUUUUACAUCUUUUAUUGAGCAGCGUGCUCAGGCUGGGGGAGUGGGAGGAUGGCUGACCGUUCGGGAAGUUAGAUGAUUUGGAAUGAUGAAGGGGUGAUUGAAGAUUAAAUUGAGCAGUGAUGAGGGAUGAUUAGAGAUUCGAGGUUAAAAUAAUUAAGAAAUUGGAAAAUCCGGAAAAAAACUAAAAAAAAAAUUCAACAAAAUCCUUUAGUACCGGUUGGUGUUACCAACCGGGAUUAAAGGUGGACCUCCAGGAAGCAGCCACGUGGAGGGCCUUUAGUCCCGAUUCGUAUAGGAACCGGACUAAAGGGGGGGACCUUUAGUAACGAGCCUUUAGUCCCGGUUCCAGAACCGGGACUAAAGGCCCUCUAGAACCGGGACAAAAUGCCCUUCUUCUACCAGUGUUACACUUUAACCUAGGAGUUAGACACACAUAGCGUGUUUGGAAUAGUAGUACUAGUAGGCAUCUAAGAAUAUGUGCAUUCACGUGUUCUUAAGGGUUGUGUAACCGACCUAAUUACGAUCAUCAUGGGAGGCAUAACACUUAGACAGAAGAUAUUUGCUACAGGAAGCAUAGUUUACGAAGAGAAAAUAGGGAUGCACGUUGAGAAGACUAGAAUCAGACAUGCUCCUUUCCACGCCGUUUUCUCUGGAGAAUUUUUCAUUUAUUAUUUUGGAGUUUCAUACUCCUCUACUGUACAUUUUUCUAUCGGUUGUUGUUACCUGCCUUUUUUUACAUCUUUUAUUGAGCAGCGUGCUCAGGCUGGGGGAGUGGGAGGAUGGCUGACCGUUCGGGAAGUUAGAUGAUUUGGAACGAUGAGGGGGUGAUUGAAGAUUAAAUUGAGCAGUGAUGAGGGAUGAUUAGAGAUUCGAGGUUAAAAUAAUUAAGAAAUUGGAAAAUCCAGAAAAAAAACUAUUUUUUUUUUCAACAAAAUCCUUUAGUACCGGUUGGUGUUACCAACCGGGAUUAAAGGUGGACCUCCAGGAAGCAGCCACGUGGAGGGCCUUUAGUCCCGGUUCGUAUAAGAACCGGACUAAAGGGGGGACCUUUAGUAACGAGCCUUUAGUCCCGGUUCCAGAACCGAGAACCGGGACAAAAUGCCCUUUUUCUACUAGUGUUACACUUUAACCUAGGAGUUAGACACACAUAGCGUGUUUGGAAUAGUAGUACUAGUAGGCAUCUAAGAAUAUGUGCAUUCACGUGUUCUUAAGGGUUGUGUAACCGACCUAAUUACGAUCAUCAUGGCAGGCAUAACACUUAGACAGAAGCUAUCUGCUACAGGAAGCAUAGUUUAUGAAGAGAAAAUAGGGAUGCACGUUGAGAAGACUAGAAUCAGACGUGCUCCUUUCCACGCCGUUUUCUCUGGAGAAUUUUUCAUUUAUUAUUUUGGAGUUUCAUACUCCUCUAUUGUACAUUUUUCUAUCGGUUGUUGUUACCUGCCUUUUUUACAUCUUUUAUUUUAUCUUUCAAUCUUUGUAGGUACCGAACAUCAAACCGUCUUUUUGUUGAGCAAAACCGAACUACGAAGCCAAGCUGCCAACACAGAAAGAAAGAAAGAAAUCCCAUGUAUGUGAAUUAAGCCGGCCAAAAUAAAAAUGGCACACAAACAAAAAGCCUACCAUUCAUUAGAUUAUAGCAUAGUGUAUCUAAUUUGAAGGGCACGUCUGAAGUUCCCAUUUCAAGAGGCAAUUGACUUUACCACAGUGAGAGUAGUGACAGUCCAAAUAAAAUGGAAAUCUUCUUAGUAUCCAAUUUUAAAAAUGGCGUAAGAUACACACCCACUCUAUUGCUCAACCAAUGGAUGAUAAACCAAUGCAAGAGGGCUAGGUCUGCAUCACUGCACACAUUGGUAGGACACAACAGUAACAGGCCAGACAUAAUACGAAAUUCUGAAAAAUAGAGCAGGCACCAUACAAUGUUCACAGGCAGAACAAACAACUGGCCUGCCUAAACCACCAGUGCCACUGCAAAAGUUUAAACCUGAUCAACUCCUUGAGGCUUCUUAAUUACGCGUCAUUUACAGCAGAGCUAAGUUGGGCACUGGCAAAAUAAAAUAGGAUAAUCCAAGCACAGAAUUGUUGAUUGGUGUCAUACUAAUAAAAUAGGAUACUUACUAGGUGCCGGGCGGACGUAUACGAGCCUGAACAAGUCUGAAAGUACUUAAGAAGAAGGCCUCGCUGAACAGGUGUGAAAGGUUGGACCCCUGGCCCUGGACACCGACCCGGCCGGAGCAGGCACGCACGGUGCAUUCCGCUUCCGCGUCGACGAGGUAGUGCUUGGACACAUCCGACGAGACAGCCAACAACCCCACCGCCGCCCUAUGCUACUACUAUGUGCUGAUCGGCUGAUGGUUUACCCACGUCGAGGCCGCGAGUCAAUUUAGUGCGUGAUUGCUUUGCUUCCGUCCCGUUGCUCCGUCUUCUCUCCCAAGAAAGAAUCGGGCGGUGGCUGCCAUACAUGGCGACGGUGGGAACACGGCUCGCCGGCCGGCGAUAGAGAUAAUGGCGUGGGCCGGGCACCACCUCGCAUGUCCAUGUUGUUGUAACGCUUGCUAUAUUUCUUGAUGAUACACGUCUUUCAUUCAUUCAUUUACGUCGUUUCAGUCAUGCAUGUGACCUCCUUAGAGCAUCUACAGUCGAAGAGCACAAAUGUGCCCCCCCCCUCCUCUCAAACGUCUACAGACGCGUCCACGAGUAGUGACCGUGGGCUCCUCAAAAUAGCGUCGUCCACAUCCGUGUAUCUCAUAUCCGAUCCCUAAUGUUCGUACUAAACCAUGCAACGUCGACUAAACUACGUAGAUCAGCAAAUGAACACAGACAAGCACAAUACUUUUAUCAAAAGAUCGGAUGUUCAAACGACCACCAAAGUUCACAUAAACGAUAGACAACUUGAAACUACAUCUAAAACAUGAAACUAAAUUGAAGAAAAGCGGAUCUUUGCCACUUCUGGGACGGCCCCUUCCCCUUCCGGUCAUCGGCGACUGGUGGAGGAUUGUCCGAGUCGUCGGACGAGGAGCGCACCGUUGUCGUCGUCGUUGGAGGAGGAGACAAUGAUGAGGCCCUUGAGGCGCUGGACGGCCAGGUCCUGCUGCCGCUUGAGCUUUGCCAGCCGAGCCACCUCCGUCGCCUUCUCUUUAGCCUCACGCCGGAAUACUGGAUAGCUAAUCGGAGAGCCUUCACAUUCUUUUUGCGGAGCCGCCGAGCGUCUGUCUCCGCUGUUAUAAGCGACCGACGGUAGACCCACGUGAGGAGCCUCUCGUCCUCAUUGGGCUCCGCGGGUAACCCGCAGUGGCGGCGGACAGAGCUCUCCACCGGUCCCUUCCCCUUGACUGCUGCCUCUUGCGUCGGGCAGCGCGCACCUCUGACUCCGGCAUGCGUGUCCGGGCCGACGGGGCGGGCACAAGCAACCACCGCUGCCCGCGUGGGGGAGCAGUAGGCGGCGGGACCAGGGGAUGACAGUGGGGAGGCACGGACUGCGCAGCCCGCGUGGAGCCAAGCGCGGGCCGGGAGGAGCCAGCGUCGGCUUCCUUGCUGCGGCGGCGGGGGAAAGGCGAGGCCCAUCUAAAACAGUCACCCGUCACUAGUAGAAAAGGAGGCAAAGGUCCAGGCCGGGUCAGCCCAUUAGUCCCGGUUCAGUCCAGAACCGGGACCAAUGGGGGCAUUGGACCCGGUUCGUGAGCCCAGGGGGCCGGCCGGGCCAUGUGGGCCAUUGGUCCCGGUUCGUCUGGACCUUUUGGUCCCGGUUGGUGGGACGAACCGGGACCAAUGGGCCUCGCUCCUGGCCCACCACCAUUCGUCCCGGUUGGUGGCUUGAACCGGGACCAAAGGCUCCCCUUUAGUCCCGGUUCAUGUCACCAACCGGGACCAAUGAGGUGCCUAUAUAUACCCCCUCACGUAAGAGCAGAGCACACUGCUCUGUUUUUUCUGGCCGAGGGGGAGAGGGCUUGGUGGUGCUCUAGCUCACCUCCUAUGCACAUAAGGUGUUCGAUGGAAUGCCCGAGCCACACUACUUAAGCUUUCUCCUCUCUAAGCUCGACCUCCAAGCUCCAUUUUCCUCAAUAUUUGUCUAGGUUUAGCGGUCCGUCACGCCCCGUCCCCGUCUUCACCGCCAUCGAUCACCCGCGCCGAGCUCAUCGCCGGCACCACCGUGGUGAGCCUCUUGUUCUUAUCUUCUUUCUGAAAGGAAAAAUAUUCUUACUUGUAUGUUUACAUAGAUACUUGUAUUAUUUUCUUACUUUUAUUAUUGCAUCUUAUAUAGUGUGAUGGUUUUGGUAUCCGCCCCCGUCGACCCUCGUCCUGUCUAUGAUUCGGAUGUGGUAUAUAUAUUAUCUUUAUAACUAUUGGUUCAUUUAUUGUUUAUGAAAAUUAUGCCGACCAACGUGACAUAGAUUUUAUUUAUGUAGGAUGUAUGUGAAUCGGAAAUUCCAACCGACCCUAUUGUCGAGAGGUUAAAUUUAGUUGAAGAAGAAAACAAUUUGUUGAAGGAAAAAAUAAAAAAAAUUAAGGAGGAGAAGAUGAUAUUGGAGUUGCAUGUUGCGGAUGUCGUCGAUGAUCACAAGAUCAAGAUGGAUGCGAUGCGCUUGAAGAUUAGAAAGAUUAGAAAAUAUGCCAUUCAUACCGAGGCUUGGUAUCAUUAUGCCGUUGGAUCAAUUGUUACCUUGGUUGUGAUUAUGAUCACAUUUGUUUUCGCAUUGAAAUGUUUUACAUAGUUUCAAUGUAUGAUUUAAUUAAUUAGAUGCUCUGGAGAGCUAUAUGUUGUUAGAUGAGAACUAUGUAUGUACUUUGGUUUUAAUGUGAUGAUGAACUUCUAUUAAUUUGGACACUUAAUUAUAUACAAUGCACGCAGAUGAACCGACAAUGGAUGUACGGUGACAGACACACCUCCGAGUACAUUAAGGGCGUGCAUGAGUUUCUCGAUGCGGCUGAGGCAAACAAGAAGAAUGGUUUGAUGUGUUGUCCAUGCACUGAAUGUGGGAAUACGAGGUCUUACUCUAACCGGAAAAUCCUUCACUCCCACCUGCUUUACAAGGGUUUCAUGCCACACUAUAAUGUUUGGACGAGGCACGGAGAAAUAGGGGUUAUGAUGGAAGACGGUGAAGAAGAAGAGUACGAUGACAACUAUGUGCCCCCUGAAUAUGGUGAUGCUGCAACGGGGGGAGCUGGUGAAGAUCAAGAGGAACCAGACGAUGUGCCCAAUGAUGCUGCAACGGGUGAAGCUGCUAAAGAUCAAGAGAAAACAGACGAUGUGCCCGAUGAUGAUGAUUUCCGCCGGGUCAUUGUUGAUGUAAGGACGCAAUGCGAAAGUCAAAAGAAGAAGCUGAAGUUCAAUCGCAUGUUAGAGGAUCACAAAAAAGGGUUGUACCCCAAUUGCGAAGAUGGCAACACAAAGCUUGGUACCGUACUGGAAUUGCUGCAGUGGAAGGCAGAGAAUGCUGUGCUUGACAAAGGAUUUGAGAAGCUACUGAAAAUAUUGAAGAAGAAGCUUCCAAAGGAUAACGAAUUGCCCAACAGUACAUACGCAACAAAGAAUGUCGUAUGCCCUCUAGGAUUGGAGGUGGAGAAGAUACAUGCAUGCCCUAAUGACUGCAUCCUCUACCGCGGUGCAUACAAGGAUCUGAACGCAUGCCCGGUAUGCGGUGCAUUGCGGUAUAAGAUCAGACGAGAUGACCCUGGUGAUGUUGACGGCAAGCCCCCCAGGAAGAGGGUUCCUGCGAAGGUGAUGUGGUAUGCUCCUAUAAUACCACGGUUGAAACGUUUGUUCAGAAACGAAGAGCAUGCCAAGUUGAUGCGAUGGCACAGUGAGGACCGUAAGAAAGACGGGAAGUUGAGAGCACCCGCUGACGGGGCGCAGUAGGGAAAAUCGAGAGAAAGUACUGGGAUGAGUUUGCAAAGGACCCAAGGAACGUAUGGUUUGCUUUAAGCGCGGAUGGCAUUAAUCCUUUCGGGGAGCAGAGCAGCAAUCACAGCACCUGGCCCGUGACUCUAUGUAUGUAUAACCUUCCUCCUUGGAUGUGCAUGAGGCGAAAGUUCAUUAUGAUGCCAGUUCUCAUCCAAGGCCCUAAGCAACCCGGCAACGACAUUGAUGUGUACCUAAGGCCAUUAGUUGAAGAACUUUUACAGGUGUGAAAUGGAAAUAGUGUACGUACGUGGGAUGAGCACAGACAAGAGGAAUUUAACCUAAAGGAGUUGCUGUUCGUGACCAUCAACGAUUGGCCCGCUCUCAGUAACCUUUCAGGACAGACAAACAAAGGAUACCACGCAUGCACGCACUGUUUAGAUGACACUGAAAGUAUAUACUUGGAAAAAUGUAGGAAGAAUGUGUACCUGGGCCAUCGUCGAUUUCUUCCGACCAACCAUCAAUGUCGAAAGAAAGGCAAGCAUUUCAAAGGCGAGGCAGAUCACCGGAAGAAGCCCGCCAUGCGUAUCGGUGAUCACGUACUUGCUAUAGUCAAUGAUUUAUACGUAAUCUUUGGAAAGGGUCCCGGCGGACUAGUUGUUCCGAAUGACGCUGAGGGACGCACACCCAUGUGGAAGAAGAAAUCUAUAUUUUGGGACCUACCCUACUGGAAAGACCUAGAGGUCCGCUCUUCAAUCGACGUGAUGCACGUGACGAAGAACCUUUGCGUGAACCUGCUAGGCUUCUUGGGCGUGUAUGGGAAGACAAAAGAUACACCUGAGGCACGGGAGGACCUGCAACGUUUGCACGAAAAAGACGGCAUGCCUCCGAAGCAGUAUAAAGGUCCUGCCAGCUACGCUCUUACGAAAGAAGAGAAAGAAAUCUUCUUUGAAUGCCUGCUCAGUAUGAAGGUCACGACCGGCUUCUCGUCGAAUAUAAAGGGAAUAAUAAAUAUGCCAAAGAAAAAGUUUCAGAACCUAAAGUCUCAUGACUGCCACAUGAUUAUGACGCAACUGCUUCCGGUUGCAUUGAGGGGGCUUCUACCGAAAAACGUCCGAUUAGCCAUUGUGAAGCUAUAUGCAUUCCUCAAUGCAAUCUCUCAGAAGGUGAUCGAUCCAGAAAUCAUACCAAGGGUAAGGAGUGAUGUGGCGCAAUGUCUUGUUAAUUUCGAGCUGGUGUUCCCACCACCCUUCUUCAAUAUCAUGACGCACGUGCUAGUUCAUCUAGUCCACGAGAUUGUCGUUCUGGGGCCCGUAUUUCUACACAAUAUGUUCCCCUUUGAGAUGUUCAUGGGAGUCCUAAAGAAAUAUGUCCGUAACCGCGCUAGGCCAGAAGGAAGCAUCUCCAUGGGCCAUCAAACAGAGGAUGUUAUCGGGUUUUGUGUUGACUUCAUUCCCGGCCUUAAGAAGAUAGGUCUCCCUAAACCACGGUAUGAGGGGAGACUGACUGAAAAAGGCACUCUUGGAAGUGACUCAAUAAUAUGCAGGGACGAAUAUUCUUGGUCUCAAGCACACUACACAGUUCUACAGAACUCUACCUUGGUGACCCCAUAUGUCAAUGAACACAAGAACAGUCUUUGCUCCAAACACCCGGAGCAGUGCGACGACUGGAUUACAUGUGAACACAUCAGGACUUUCAGCAGUUGGUUGGAAACACGUCUCAGAGGUGACAACACUGUUUGUGAUGAGAUGUACUUGUUCUCCAGGGGACCAUGUUUGACUGUAUUGACUUACAAAGGAUACAAGAUAAAUGGGAAUACAUUUUACACGAUCGCCCAAGAUCAAAAGAGCACCAACCAAAACAGCGGUGUCCGCUUUGAUGCAGCAACCAAGAGUGAAAAGGACACAUAUUAUGGUUACAUAGUGGACAUAUGGGAACUUGACCACGGACAUGAUUUUAAGGUCCCUUUGUUUAAGUGCAAAUGGAUCAAUCUGUCAGGAGGCGGGGUACAGGUAGACCCACAGUACGGAAUGACAACAGUGGAUCUGAAAAAUCUUGGGUACACUGACGAACCGUUCGUCCUAGCCAAUGAUGUGGCACAGGUUAUCUAUGUUAAGGACAUGUCUACCAAACCGAGAAAAAGAAAAGAUAAGGAAGCGAAUAUAUCAUACGAUGAGCCAAAGCGCCACAUAGUUCUUUCAGGAAAAAGGGACAUCCUGGGAGUGGAGGGCAAGACAAACAUGUCUGAAGAUUAUGAAAAGUUUCAUGAAAUUCCUCCCUUCAAUGUCAAGGCUGACCCAAGCAUCCUGAUAAAUGAUGAAGAUUAUCCAUGGUUACGGCGCAAUAAGCAAAUGACACAAGCGAAGAAAAAGUGAAGACUUUCUCCCGCAACUAUUAUGAUGAUACCAUGCCAACUUUGUAACACAUGAGUAUGCUAUGCCAACUUUUUCAGAGUUCAUUUAAAAACUAUGAAUUUAGGUCGAAUUUUCUCUAUGGAUGCAUCUAUGUUCAUUUUUUUAGUAAAGUUAAUCACGAACUUGUGAUUCACACAAAUUUCAAAGAAUUCAAAUUUUAACUAUUCAAAUUUGAAAACUAAUGGCACUAACAGAAAGUUUAUAAUUUUUCUAAAACUAAUGGCACUAACAGAAAGUUUAUAAUUUUGCUGACCUAAAAGCAAAAAGAAUUAAAAAAUAAAGCAAAAAACAAAAGAAAAUAAAUAAUACAGAAAACAAAACAAAAAAACUGNNNNNNNNNNNNNNNNNNNNNNNNNNNNNNNNNNNNNNNNNNNNNNNNNNNNNNNNNNNNNNNNNNNNNNNNNNNNNNNNNNNNNNNNNNNNNNNNNNNNNNNNNNNNNNNNNNNNNNNNNNNNNNNNNNNNNNNNNNNNNNNNNNNNNNNNNNNNNNNNNNNNNNNNNNNNNNNNNNNNNNNNNNNNNNNNNNNNNNNNNNNNNNNNNNNNNNNNNNNNNNNNNNNNNNNNNNNNNNNNNNUUGUAAGUAGAAAAAAAUAAAAUAAAUAAAGCAACAAAGAAAACAAAAAACUAAAAAGGUGUUUUCAAAUUUGAAAACUAAUGGCACUAACAGAAAGUUUAUAACUUUUCUAAACUAAAAGCAAAAAGAAUUAAAAAAUGAAGCAAAAAACAAAAGAAAAUAAAUAAUGCAGAAAACAAAACAAAAAAACUGGAAAAAAUAGGGCUCGCCCCUGGCCCAAGACCAUUAGUCCCGGUUUGUGCCACAAACCGGGACUAAAGGAUUGGUCCUCGUUGUGCUCAGAGUUUAGUCCCACCUCGCCAACCGAAGGGCGCCCACACCGGUUUAUAAGCCCGUCCCUCUCUGCCUUGUUGAGCUCCUCUCAAAGUGAAAAUAGAUGCACCUAUACAGGGAAUUUGACCUAAAUUCAUAAUGAAUUUCUCUGAAAUUCAUAAAAAUUGAUUAUGAAUUUAGGUUAAAUUUUCUCUAUAGGUGCAUCUAUGUUCAUUUUUUAGUAAAGUUAAUCACAAACUUGUGAUUCACACAAAUUUAAAAAAAUUCAAAUUUAAACUAUUCAAAUUUUAAAACUAAUGGCACUAACAGAAAAUUUAUAAUUUUUGUGACCAAAAAGAAAAAAGAAAUCACUAAAAAACUAUAAGUAUUUAGUUCUAAGUAGAAAUGAAAAAAUAAAUAGCAAAAAAGAAAAAAAAUGCCUAUAAUAUUUGUUAUGACUAACUAAAAUUACCAAAUUGAGUAUAAUGAUAAAACACAGUAAUAUUAAAUAGCAGGAAAAAGAAUGACUCAAAAAAUCNNNNNNNNNNNNNNNNNNNNNNNNNNNNNNNNNNNNNNNNNNNNNNNNNNNNNNNNNNNNNNNNNNNNNNNNNNNNNNNNNNNNNNNNNNNNNNNNNNNNNNNNNNNNNNNNNNNNNNNNNNNNNNNNNNNNNNNNNNNNNNNNNNNNNNNNNNNNNNNNNNNNNNNNNNNNNNNNNNNNNNNNNNNNNNNNNNNNNNNNNNNNNNNNNNNNNNNNNNNNNNNNNNNNNNNNNNNNNNNNNNNNNNNNNNNNNNNNNNNNNNNNNNNNNNNNNNNNNNNNNNNNNNNNNNNNNNNNNNNNNNNNNNNNNNNNNNNNNNNNNNNNNNNNNNNAAUAGCAGAAAAAUGCCUAUAAUAUUUGUUAUGACUAACUAAAAUUAUCAAAUUGAGUAUAAUGAUAAAACACAGUAAUAUUAAAUAGCAGGAAAAAGAAUGACUCAAAAAUCAAUUUUUAUAGUAAAGUUAUUCAUAAACUAGUGAUUCACGCAAAUUUAAAAAAAAAUUCAAAUUUAAACUAUUCAAAUUUUAAAACUAAUGGCACUAACAGAAAGUUUAUAAUUUUUGUGACCUAAAAGAAAAAAGAAAUCACUAAAAAACUAUAAGUAUUUAGUUCUAAGUAGAAAUGAAAAAAUAAAUAGCAAAAAAAUGCCACCUACUGGGCCAGCGCGGCUUGAAUACGACUAGAAACCCAACCAUGGGCCAGGAUUCAGGCCCGCAGCAGGCCCAGUAGGCCCACAGGCAUUGCAGUGUCUCAUUAGGCCCGUAAGCUUGCAGUUCGGAGGAGUUCGAAAGGGAACACAGAGAAAGACUUAUAAACAGGUGCGGGAGCACUUCAGCUAGCGAGGUGGGACUAAACUCCCACCACCGCGCCAGCGCAAGGCCAUUGGUCCCGGUUGGUGGCACCAACCGGGACUAAACGGGGGCAUUGGUCCCGGUUCGUGGCACAAACCGGGACCAAUGCCCCCUUUAGUCCCGGUUGGUGCCACCAACCGGGACCAAAGGCGGCCGCUUCCCGCCCUUUGGGCUGUUGAAAAGAGGCCUUUGAUCCCGGUUGGUGGCANNNNNNNNNNGCGUCGCGCCCCGACGCCGUCACCUCCCCGCGCCGCCCCGACGCCGUCGCCGCCCCGCCUCUGCCUCGCCGUCGCCUCUGCCUCGCUGCACCCAAGCUGCCCCGUGCCGCCAUCGCCUCUGCAUCGCUUUGGUCAGGGCCGGCACUGCCCCCCUCUUCCCCCUGUUUUUUUGCAAAUAUGUAGAUGUUUUUUUCCUGAUUAUAUGUAUAUGUAUGAGUAUAUGUAUCUGUUUAUAUGUCCUUUUUUUAGAUUUUUUGUUUUUUGCAUUUUUUAUAAAAGUGUAUAUAUGUAUGUAUAUAUGUUCUUUGUGUAUAUAUAUAUGUUCAUGUAUAUAUGCAAAAGAUAGAUUUUUAGAAAAAAUAGUAUUUUUUUCUGUUCAUAGAUUUUUUUGGUGAUAUUGAUUAUUGUAAAUAUGCAAAUGUUUGUAUAUUCAUAUGAACUCUCUCGGAGAAAAAAAUGUUACCGGGGAGAAAAAAAAGUUCUAGGAUCGUCAAGGGGUCGAGAGGGGGUCGAGGGUCGCCGAGGGGUCGAGGGUCGAGAGGGGGUCAACGGUCGCCGAGGGGUCGAGGGUCGAAAGGGGGUCUAGGGUCGCCGAGGGGUCGAGAGUCGUCGAACAUGAGAGGAAGAAGAGUAUAAAAAAAGAAGAGGAAGAAGAAAAAAAAGAGGAUAAGAAAGAAUAGAGGAGUUCUUCUCCUCUAUUCUUUCUUCUCCUCUUUUUUUUCUUCUUCUUCAUCUUUUUUUAUCGGGAACGAGGGUCAUCGAGGGUCGCCGAGCAGUAGAGGAAACUCUAAAUAGCAAGUAUCGUCGGUGUGAGAUACAUGUGGAAACCCUAAAUAGCAAGUAUCAUCGGUGUGGAAACCCUAAAUAACAAGUAUCGUCGGUGUGAGAUACAUGUGGCCAUCGGUGUCGGACACUACAUCCACGUCCCACAAGUGACGCGGGCGCGUCACUUGUGGGACGUGGAUGUAGUGUCCGACACCGACGGCCACAUGUAUCUCACACCGACGAUACUUGCUAUUUAGGGUUUCCACUACCGCUCGGCGACCCUCGACGACCCUCGUUCCCAAUAAAAAAAAGAGGAAGAAGAAGAAAAAAAAGAGGAGAAGAAAGAAUAGAGGAGUAAGAACUCCUCUAUUCUUUCUUCUCCUCUUUUUUCUUCUUCUUCCUCUUCUUUUUUUAUCCUUGAAGUGUUGUUGAGGCCACCCCAAACCCUAGAGAAGCAGCGUCGAGGCCACUAAUUAAUAUUAGUUCUACGUUUGCCACUUAUAUAUCCAUCUGUCAUGUUUGAAUAAUAAUUGCCAUGUUGUAAAUAUUUGUAGAAACUAUGGACACCGCCCGAGACGAAGUACAAGAAGAGUUGUUGGGGGACAUAAUCGCACGAGGAAGUGAUGCCGUCUGCUCGUUGUUUCUCAACGACACCGAUGGACUGGAAGCAGCUGGCUAUGAUUAUGAUGGCUCCGGUGACCCAAUGCCGGUGCAAGAAGGAUACCGUGAGGACGGCUCCGAUGACCCAAGGCCAAUGCAAGGAGACCGUGAUGACGGCUCCGGUGACCGAACCGAGUCCGACCAGGUAUAUAUAUUAGUUAAGCCUGUGCUGACUAGCUAAUUGAUGCAUUCAUUGUUUUGGUAUGUACACAUAUUAAUUAAGUCUUUGUUCUUUUUUCUAGCCCUCUGGAUCUAGCACAACUUCGGUUUAGAGACAAGGCCCGAAGAAAAAGUUGAGCUUAGCUGAAAGGUUUGAGAUCAUAGCAAUCGCGCCCGACGGCCAACCGAUUGAACCCAUUCGGACAAAGAACGCAUUUGUUGCUCAGUGCGGGGUUCUGGUUAGGGACAAGAUCCCGAUCAACAUCCAGCAAUGGUUAAAGUCGGCUACAGAAGACCCUGAUGUGUCUUAUGUCAAUGAUAUGCAGAAAAAUGAUCUUUGGACUUUGCUGAAGUAAAAUUUCACCCUACCGCCAGAGGAUGAUCCGGAGAAGCCAGUUAAAGAGCAAUUAAUCAAGUCUUUUGCUCUUAAGAGGAUGCCAGACCUAUUCAGGAGGUGGAAGAACGAGUUGAAUAAGUUUGUCGAUAAAAAAGAGACACCAGAAUUCAAGGGCAGAUAUGAGAAGAUCAGAGAUCACUGGACCGCAUUUGUGGCCCACAAGACACCGGAAAAGAGUAAGAAGAUGUCGGCGACAAACAAGCAAAAUGCUGCGAAGAAGAAGCAUCACCAUCGCACGGGGUCAGGUGGCUACCUCGUAGCCCGGCCUAAGUGGGCCAAGACUGAGAAUGGUCUGGUUGAUAAAGGGAUCGAACCAGAGACAAUUAACUGGCCAGAGCAUUGCCGGACUUGGUUCUUCGGGGCUGGCGGAAACUUGGACCCUGAAUCAGGGAAGUGCAUUUGGACGGACGAGCAAAUGGAAAUACCAGUCAAGAGGCUUAAGCACUAUAUCGAAGCAGCGCAGCAAGGGACGUUCGUUCCAGACAGAGAGAACGGCGAGCUCACAAUGGCCCUCGGGAAUCCUGAGCACCCUGGACGGACACGAGGCACGCCAGGCUUCAUUCCGUGGAAGGCUGGGUUUCCGGACACAGGCGGUUACAAAUGCCAUGAGAGGAGGAAGAAAGUGGAGCAGACCCAACUGCAGGCACUGCAUGCUAGGGUACAAGCGACAGUGGAGCGAGAAGCAAAUCACAGCAAACGAAAUGCCGAAGCUGCCCCCGAAGCUACCCCGCCAUCUCAGCGGAGAAGCAGCGUGGCUUCCACCUAGCUGCUUCAGCCAGAGCAUGUCUUGACGGCUCCUGCCAGCUAUCCCGUGGAUGCUAUCACGGAAUCUCAAAAUUGCCACCUUAUGACGCAAUGGAUUAAUAUGAAGGUCAAGGCGGCUGUUGGCUUUGUUUUUCCUACUGAAGCCGGCGCAACUUUUCACUGUCGUCCGAUUCCAGAAGGAUAUGCUAGGGUGAUGGUGGAUGAAAUGACGGAGGGAUUUGAGGACCUCCAGCUUGACCACCCUACCGGUGAAGGGGAGACUCGGCUGGGUUCUGCUCUGAAGACUCCAUGCCUAUGGUGGAAGGAGCUCAUCAACCUUCCGAACUGGACGCCUCCGCCUCCUCCUCCUCCUCCGGCGAGUCAGGGCACUCGGCCUCCUCCACCGCCUCCUCCUCCGGCGAGUGACGAUCAGGGCACUCGGCCGGCUCCUUCUCCGGCGCGUGGCGGUACUCCGCCUCCUUCUCUGCCUGCGCCGGCGCGCCCGAGCAGCCAGCCUCCUCCUUCUCCGCCUCGUUAGCAAGGGCGGAAGAGACCUGCCGCCGCUCCGGCGCGUCGUAGUCCUUCUCCUCCACCUCGUAAGCAAGUAAAGAAGAUAGCCGCUCCGUCUGCUCUACCGGCGUCUAGUAGUACAGCCAGAGGCGGGAGGACAUACAGAUUCGGUCCUUCUCUGAAGACUCUAGAGAAGUUACCAUAUGAGAGGACCCCGAAGGAGAAUGCCGAGAUCGCGCGAGAAGAAGUGAGGAAAUUCUUUGAAGGUGUGAAAGCAAGGAAACAUCAACCUCCGGAGGAGAAGGUAGAUCUGGUGAAAGCGAAGCGCACUCUGGCUGCCCUGACAAAACCACCCAAGUCUCCGCCGAAAGGCAACUAUGAGCGCAUUAUUGGAAAGGCAUUUGCCGAAGCGGAGCGGUCGGGAAGUACUGUCAGUGGUCAAAGGCUGAAAGAAUGACGAGCUGGGAAACAAAUUGCCUAGCUCGGCGAACAAGCGAAGCAAUCGUGCCCCCCGCUCAAGGUUCCUAGCGACAUCGUCGCUAAUGAUCCCAGGAUGGUGCCCGGUUAUAGCAAUCUUGGAGAUUACCUGCCCGACGAUGUACAUUAUGAUUUCUUGGAGGUGCAGAUACAAAGACACGAGUACGGGAAGCCUCUCGUCAAAGAUGAAAGAUCUCUAUCAACGAUGAUGCGAAGAUUGCAUGAUUGGUACUUGAAAAUCUGCAGAGAGUCUGGGGGGAGGAAUACUUUGUAUGUGAGUGUUAAAAAGGAGCAUGACCUCGUUGGAAUUGAACUGUUACCUGUUCCAUUUGAGGAGUUCUUUCAGUUUUUCAAUCAAUUGGCCCUCGAUAAAGCAACGAUCACCUGCUACUGUCUGUAAGUAGUACUACUUCUGUCAUUAAGUCUCUCUAUAUAGCUCAGCUCUUUCAUUGCAUGUAUUUAUAAUUAUCAUCACUAUAUUAUGCAGAUUGAAGAUCGUCGAACUGAAGAAAAGACAAAUCGGUGAUAUUGGGUUCAUUAACACAACUCUCAUAGAUGCAACUGAGGUUAAAUUUCAUGCCGCAGAUACCGAGGCCAACUUGCUAUAAUCGUUGGUAAUAAAUGAAAACAAAGAUAUAAUACUCUUUCCUUACAACUUCAAGUGAGUGUUACUGUCUUGUGCAUAUUCGGUUUCCCUUAUAUAUUAGUCAAGGUUAUAGUAAUGUAAUUGAUGAGUUAUGCAUGCGUGUGCAGUUUCCACUAUAUUCUCCUAGAGAUUAAGCUUGAGCAGGGACUAGUAACCGUCUUAGACUCGAGACGAAAAGAUCCCCAGGACUAUGCGGACAUGACUCAAAUGCUCGAGAAGUAAGUUAAAUCGAUCAUUAUCCACCAUAUCAGCAACUUUGUUCAUUUCCUAAUAUAUCAAGUAAUUGUUUUCUUUGUCCGGCAGGGUUUGGAGAAAAUUCAUCAGAAAAGCUCCGGGACUGCCGAAGGAGCUGCAAUUUAGACACCCGAAAGUAAGUACUAUAGUAGCAUGUUCCGCGCAUCUACUAGUGAUUCAAGCGCUAGUUUCAUCAAUACCAUUUGGCAUUCUUGCUUAUCAGUUUGAUUGACCUCUAUUUCUUGUAAAGUGGUUGUGGCAGGAACAAGGGAAUGAUUUCUGUGGACACUACGUUUGCGAGUCCAUCCGCCACACGACCUGUGAGCGGGGCUACUCUGACGAACAAUAUGAAGUGCGUAAAUAACAACAUUCACAAUUUUAUUUUAUUACCAUCAUUUGUGUUGAGUUUCAUUCAUUCAUAUAUAUAUGUAUUGACCCCCUUCUUCAAAUUAGAUGUUUCGGAAGCGGGAUGAACUCCUAGCACCAGCUCGCAUGCGAGCAAUUCAAGAGGGAUUGGCGGCAUUCUUUCUUGAACACGUGAUCGUUGAAGACGGAGAAUACUAUGUGGACCAUGUGUCCGUAUGUUAGGAGAUUAUAUUUGUAAGAGAUAAUUAUUGUAUAUAUGUAGCCGGUAGUGUCGGAUAGAUAUACGAGAACUUGUUGUUCGACCAAUCUCUCGGAGAAGGAGAGGUGGUCGAUAUCACUUCUCUCUCUAUGCAUAUAUGUUCAUGACGAUCUUCUGUUUCCUUCGUUUGCUUACUAGCUAGCUAGCGUGUCUAGUCCUCUCUAUACGUAUGUAUAGUACGUAGCAUCGACCAAGCACGGACAUAAGAGAGGACACUUCUCUCUAUUAAUUAUAGCUAGCUAACACAAUAUAUGAAACACCUAAAUUAACCCCCCAAAACCCCUAACCCCCCCCCCCUUUAAAAAAACAAAAACCCCAGCCACAGAAAUGCUGACGCGUGGAUGCCUAUUGGUCCCGGUGAAGGAAAUAUGCCCUAGAGGCAAUAAUAAAGUUAUUAUUUAUUUCCUUAUAUCAUGAUAAAUGUUUAUUAUUCAUGCUAGAAUUGUAUUAACCGGAAACAUAAUACAUGUGUGAAUACAUAGACAAACAUAGUGUCACUAGUAUGCCUCUACUUGACUAGCUCGUUGAUCGAAGAUGGUUAUGUUUCCUAACCAUAGACAUGAGUUGUCAUUUGAUUAACGGGAUGACAUCAUUAGGAGAAUGAUGUGAUUGACUUGACCCAUUUCGUCAGCUUAGCACUUGAUCGUUUAGUUUGUUGCUAUUGCUUUCUUCAUGACUUAUACAUGUUCCUAUGACUAUGAGAUUAUGCAACUCCCAUUUAUUGGAGGAACACUUUGUGUGCUACCAAACGUCACAACGUAACUGGGUGAUUAUAAAGGUGCUCUACAGGUGACUCCGAAGGUACUUGUUGGGUUGGCCUAUUUCGAGAUUAGGAUUUGUCACUCCGAUUGUCAGAGAGGUAUCUCUGGGCCCUCUCGGUAAUGCACAUCACAUAAGCCUUGCAAGCAUUGCAACUAAUAAGUUAGUUCCGGGAUGGUGUAUUAUGGAACGAGUAAAGAUACUUGCCGGUAACGAGAUUGAACUAGGUAUUGAGAUACCGACGAUCAAAUCUCGGGCAAGUAACAUACCGAUGACAAAGGGAACAACGUAUGUUGUUAUGCGGUCUGACCGAUAAAAGAUCUUUGUAGAAUAUGUAGGAGCCAAUAUGAGCAUCCAGGUUCCGCUAUUGGUUAUUGACCGCAGACGUGUCUCGGUCAUGUCUACAUUGUUCUCGAACCCGUAGGGUCCGCACGCUUAACGUUACGAUGACAGUUUCAUUAUGAGUUUAUAUAUUUCGAUGUACCGAAGGUUGUUCGGAGUCCCGGAUGUGAUCACGGACAUAACGAGGAGUCUCGAAAUAGUCGAGACAUAAAGAUUGAUAUAUUGGACGACUAUAUUCAGACAUAGGAAUGGUUCCGGGAGUUAUCGAAUAUAAAACGGAGUACCGAGGGUUACCGGAACCCCCCGGGGGUUAAUGGGCCUCAUGGGCCCAAAGUGGAGCAGAGGAGGGGCGGCCUGGGCAGGCUGCGCGCCCCCUCCCCCUCUAGUCCGAAUUGGACAAGGAGGGAGGGGCGGCGCCCCCCCUUUCUUUUCUCUCCUCUCUCCCUUCCUCCUCCCUCUCCUAGUUGGACAAGGAAAGGAGGGAGUCCUACUCCCGAUAGGAGUAGGACUCCUCCCUGGCGUGCCUCCUCCUAGCCGGCCGCCCCUCCCCCUUGCUCCUUUAUAUACGGGGGCAGGGGGCACCUCUAGACACAACAAUUGAUCCUUGAGAUCUAUUAGCCAUGUGCGGUGCCCUCCUCCACCAUAAUCCUCGAUAAUAUUGUAGCGGUGCUUAGGCGAAGCCCUGCGAUGGUAGAACAUCAAGAUCGUCACCACGCCAUCGUGCUGACGGAACUCUUCCCCGUCAUUCUGCUGGAUCGGAGUCCGGGGAUCGUCAUCGAGCCGAACGUGUGCUAGAACUCGAAGGUGCCGUAGUUUCGGUGCUUGAUUGGUCGGGCCGUGAAGACGUACGACUACAUCAACCGCGUUGUGCUAACGCUUCCGCUUCCGGUCUAUGAGGGUACAUAGACAACACUCUCCCCUCUUGUUGCUAUGCAUCACCAUGAUCUUGCGUGUGCGUAGGAAUUUUUUUGAAAUUACUACGUUCCCCAACAGUGGCAUCCGAGCCUAGUUUUUAUGCGUUGAUGUUGUGCACGAGUAGAACACAAGUGAGUUGUGGGCGAUAUAAGUCAUGCUGCUUACCAGCAUGUCAUACUUUGGUACGACAGUAUUGUUGGAUGAAGCGGCCCGGACCGACAUUACGCGUACGCUUACGCGAGACUGGUUCUACCGACGUGCUUUGCACACAGGUGGCUGGCGGGUGUCAGUUUCUCCAACUUUAGUUGAACCAAGUGUGGCUACGCCCGGUCCUUGCGAAGGUUAAAAUAGCACCAACUUGACAAACUACCGUUGUGGUUUUGAUGCGUAGGUAAGAACGGUUCUUGCUAAGCCCGUAGCAGCCACGUAAAACUUGCAACAACAAAGUAGAGGACGUCUAACUUGUUUUUGCAGGGCAUGUUGUGAUGUGAUAUGGUCAAGACAUGAUGCUAAAUUUUAUUGUAUGAGAUGAUCAUGUUUUGUAACCGAGUUAUCGGCAACUGGCAGGAGCCAUAUGGUUGCCACUUUAUUGUAUGCAAUGCAAUUGCGCUGUAAUGCUUUACUUUAUCACUAAGCGGUAGCGAUAGUCGUGGAAGCAUAAGAUUGGCAAGACGACAACGAUGCUACGAUGGUGAUCAAGGUGUCGCGCCGGUGACGAUGGUGAUCAUGACGGUGCUUCGAACAUGGAGAUCACAAGCACAAGAUGAUGAUGGCCAUAUCAUAUCACUUAUAUUGAUUGCAUGUGAUGUUUAUCUUUUAUGCAUCUUAUCUUGCUUUGAUUGGCGGUAGCAUUAUAAGAUGAUCCCUCACUAAAUUAUCAAAGUAUAAGUGUUCUCCCUGAGUAUGCACCGUUGUGAAAGUUCUUCGUGCUGAGACACCACGUGAUGAUCGGGUGUGAUAGGCUCUACGUUCAAAUACAACGGGUGCAAAACAGUUGCACACACGGAAUACUCAGGUUUAACUUGACGAGCCUAGCAUAUAACAGAUAUGGCCUCGGAACACGGAGACCAAAAGGUUGAGCGUGAAUCAUAUAGUAGAUAUGAUCAACAUAUUGAUGUUCACCAUUGAUACUACUCCAUCUCACGUGAUGAUUGGACAUGGUUUAGUUGAUUUGGAUCACGUGAUCACUUAGAGGAUUAAAGGGAUAUCUUUCUAAGUGGGAGUUCUUAAGUAAUAUGAUUAAUUGAACUUAAAUUUAUCAUGAACUUAGUACCUGAUAGUAUCUUGCUUGUCUAUGUUUGAUUGUAGAUAGAUGGCUCGUGCUGUUGUUCCAUUGAAUUUUAAUGCGUUUCUUGAGAAAGCAAAGUUGAAAGAUGAUGGUAGCAAUUACACGGACUAGGUCCAUAACUAGAGGAUUAUCCUCAUUGCUGCACAGAAGAAUUACGUCCUGGAAGCACCGCUAUGUGCCAAGCCUGCUGCAGGAGCAACACCAGAUGUUAUGAACGCCUGGUAGAGCAAAGCUGAUGACUACUCGAUAGUUCAGUGUGCCAUGCUUUACGAGUUAGAACCGGGUCUUCAACGACAUUUUGAACGUCAUGGAGCAUAUGAGAUGUUCCAGGAGUUGAAGUUAAUAUUUCAAGCAAAUGCCCGGAUUGAGAGAUAUGAAGUCUCCAAUAAGUUCUAUAGCUGCAAGAUGGAGGAGAAUAGUUCUGUCAGUGAACAUAUACUCAAAAUGUCUGGGUAUCAUAAUCACUUGACUCAACUGGGGGUUAAUUUUCCUGUUGAUAGUGUCAUUGACAGAGUUCUUCAAUCACUGCCACCAAGCUACAAAAGCUCCGCGAUGAACUAUAAUAUGCAAGGGACGAAUAAGACUAUUCCUGAGCUCUUCGCAAUGCUAAAAGCCGCGGAGGUAGUAAUCAAGAAGGAGCAUCAAGUGUUGAUGGUCAAUAAGACCACCAGUUUCAAGAAAAAGGGCAAAGGGAAGAAGAAAGGGAACUUCAAGAAGAACAACAAACAAGUUGCUGCUCAGGAGAAGAAACCCAAGUCUGGACCUAAGCCUGAGACUGAGUGCUUCUACUGCAAGCAGACUGGUCACUAGAAGCGGAACUGCCCCAAGUAUUUGGCGGAUAAGAAGGAUGGCAAAGUGAACAAAGGUAUAUUUGAUAUACAUGUUAUUGAUGUGUAACUUAGUAAUGCUCGCAGUAGCACCUGGGUAUUUGAUACUGGUUCUGUUGCUAACAUUUGCAACUCGAAACAGGGGCUACGGAUUAAGCGAAGAUUGGCUAAGGACGAGGUGACGAUGCGCGUGGGAAAUGGUUCCAAAGUCAAUGUGAUCGCAGUCGGCACGCUACCUCUACAUCUACCUUCGGGAUUAGUAUUAGACCUAAAUAAUUGUUAUUUGGUGCCAGCGUUGAGCAUAAACAUUAUAUCUGGAUCUUGUUUGAUGCGAGACGGUUAUUCAUUUAAAUCAGAGAAUAAUGGUUGUUCUAUUUAUAUGAGUAAUAUCUUUUAUGGUCAUGCACCCUUGAAGAGUGGUCUAUUUUCGAUAGUAGUGAUACACAUAUUCAUAAUGUUGAAAUCAAAAGAUGCAGAGUUGAUAAUGAUAGCGCAACUUAUUUGUGGCACUGCCGUUUAAGUCAUAUCGGUGUAAAGCGCAUGAAGAAACUCCAUACCGAUGGACUUUUGGAACCAUUUGAUUAUGAAUCACUUGGUACUUGCGAACCGUGCCUCAUGGGUAAGAUGACUAAAACGCCGUUCUCCGGUACUAUGGAGAGAGCAACGGAUUUGUUGGAAAUCAUACAUACAGAUGUAUGUGGUCCAAUGAAUGUUGAGGCUCGUGGCGGAUAUCGUUAUUUUCUCACCUUCACAGAUGAUUUAAGCAGAUAUGGGUAUAUCUACUUAAUGAAACAUAAGUCUGAAACAUUUGAAAAGUUCAAAGAAUUUUCAGAGUGAAGUUGAAAACCAUCGUAACAAGAAAAUAAACUUUCUACGAUCUGAUCGUGGAGGAGAAUAUUUGAGUUACGAGUUUGGUCUACAUUUGAAAUAAUGCAGAAUAGUUUCGCAACUCACGCCACCCGGAACACCACAGAGUAAUGGUGUGUCUGAACGUCGUAAUCGUACUUUAUUAGAUAUGGUGUGAUCUAUGAUGUCUCUUACUGAUUUACCGUUAUCGUUUUGGGGUUAUGCUUUAGAGACGGUUGCAUUCACGUUAAAUAGGACACCAUCGAAAUCCAUUGAGAUGACGCCUUAUGAACUGUGGUUUGGCCAGAAACCAAAGUUGUCGUUUCUAAAAGUUUGGGGCUGCGAUGCUUAUGUGAAAAAGCUUCAACCUGAUAAGCUCGAACCCAAAUCGGAGAAAUGUGUCUUCAUAGGAUACCUAAAGGAGACUGUUGGGUACACCUUCUAUCACAGAUCCGAAGUCAAGACUUUUGUUGCUAAAUUCGGAGCUUUUCUAGAGAAGGAGUUUCUCUCGAAAGAAGUGAGUGGGAGAAAAGUAGAACUUGAUGAGGUAACUGUACCUGCUCCCUUAUUGGAAAGUAGUACAUCACAGAAACCGGUUUCUGUGACACCUACACCAAUUAGUGAGGAAGCUAAUGAUAAUGAUCAUGAAACUUCAGAUCAAGUUACUACUGAACCUCGUAGAUCAACCAGAGUAAGAUCCGCACCAGAGUGGUACAGUAAUCCUAUUCUGGAAGUCAUGCUACUAGAUCAUGAUGAACCUACGAACUAUGAAGAAGCGAUGGUGAGCCCAGAUUCCGCAAAAUGGCUAGAAGCCAUGAAAUCUGAGAUGGGAUCCAUGUAUGAGAACAAAGUGUGGACUUUGGUUGACUUGCCCGUUGAUCGGCAAGCAAUUGAGAAUAAAUGGAUCUUCAAGAAGAAGACUGACGCUGACGGUAAUGUUACUGUCUAUAAAGCUCGACUUGUUGCAAAAGGUUUUUGACAAGUUCAAGGGAUUGACUACGAUGAGACCUUCUCACCCGUAGCGAUGCUUAAGUCUGUCCAAAUCAUGUUAGCAAUUGCCGCAUUUUAUGAUUAUGAAAUUUGGCAAAUGGAUGUCAAAAUUGCAUUCCUGAGUGGAUUUCUGGAAGAAGAGUUGUAUAUGAUGCAACCAGAAGGUUUUGUCGAUCCAAAGGGAGCUAACAAAGUGUGCAAGCUCCAGCGAUCCAUUUAUGGACUGGUGCAAGCCUCUCGGAGUUGGAAUAAAUGCUUUGAUAGUGUGAUCAAAGCAUUUGGUUUUGUCCAGACUUUUGGAGAAGCCUGUAUUUACAAGAAAGUGAGUGGGAGCUCUGUAGCAUUUCUGAUAUUAUAUGUUGAUGACAUAUUAUUGAUUGGAAAUGAUAUAGAAUUUCUGGAUAGCAUAAAGUGAUACUUGAAUAAGAGUUUUUCAAUGAAAGACCUCGGUGACGCUGCUUACAUAUUGGGCAUUAAGAUCUAUAGAGAUAGAUCAAGAUGCUUAAUUGGACUUUCACAAAGCACAUACCUUGACAAGGUUUUGAAAAAGUUCAAAAUGGAUAAAGCAAAGAAAGGGUUCUUGCCUGUGUUACAAGGUGUGAAGUUGAGUAAGACUCAAUGUCCGACCACCGCAGAAGAUAGAGAGAAAAUGAAAGAUGUUCCCUAUGCUUCAGCCAUAGGCUCUAUCAUGUAUGUAAUGCUGUGUACCAGACCUGAUGCGUGCCUUGCUAUAUGUCUAGCAGGGAGGUACCAAAGUAAUCCAGGAGUGGAUCACUAGACAGCGGUCAAGAACAUCCUGAAAAACCUAAAAAGGACUAAGGAUAUGUUUCUCGUAUAUGGAGGUGACAAAGAGCUCAUCGUAAAUGGUUACGUUGAUGCAAGCUUUGAUACUGAUCUGGACGAUUCUAAAUCGCAAAGCGGAUACGUGUUUUUACUGAAUGGUGGAGUUGUCAGUUGGUGCAGUUCUAAACAAAGCGUCGUGGUGGGAUCUACAUGUGAAGCAGAGUACAUAGCUGCUUCGGAAGCAGCAAAUGAAGGAGUCUGGAUGAAGGAGUUCAUAUCCGAUCUAGGUGUCAUACCUAGUGCAUCGGGUCCAAUGAAAAUCUUUUGUGAAAAUACUGGUGCAAUUGCCUUGGCAAAGGAAUCCAGAUUUCACAAGAGAACCAAGCACAUCAAGAGACGCUUCAAUUCCAUUCGGGAUUUAGUCCAAGUGGGAGACAAAGAAAUUUGCAAGAUACAUACGGAUCUGAAUGUUGCAGACCCGCUGACUAAGCCUCUUCCACGAGCAAAACAUGAUCAGCACCAAGGCUCCAUGGGUGUUAGAAUCAUUGAUUAUUGACUCUAGUGCAAGUGGGAGACUGAAGAAAAUAUGCCCUAGAGGCAAUAAUAAAGUUAUUAUUUAUUUCCUUAUAUCAUGAUAAAUGUUUAUUAUUCAUGCUAGAAUUGUAUUAACCAGAAACAUAAUACAUGUGUGAAUACAUAGACAAACAUAGUGUCACUAGUAUGCCUCUACUUGACUAGCUCGUUGAUCGAAGAUGGUUAUGUUUCCUAACCAUAGACAUGAGUUGUCAUUUGAUUAAUGGGAUCACAUCAUUAGGAGAAUGAUGUGAUUGACUUGACCCAUUUCGUUAGCUUAGCACUUGAUUGUUUAGUUUGUUGCUAUUGCUUUCUUCAUGACUUAUACAUGUCCCUUUGACUAUGAGAUUAUGCAACUCCCGUUUACCGGAGGAACACUUUGUGUGCUACCAAACGUCACAACGUAACUAGGUGAUUAUAAAGGUGCUCUACAGGUGUCUCCUAAGGUACUUGUUGGGUUGGCGUAUUUCGAGAUUAGGAUUUGUCACUCCGAUUGUCGGAGAGGUAUCUCUGGGCCCUCUCGGUAAUGCACAUCACAUAAACCUUGCAAGCAUUGCAACUAAUAAGUUAGUUGUGGGAUGGUGUAUUACGGAACGAGUAAAGAGACUUGCCGGUAACGAGAUUGAACUAGGUAUUGAGAUACCGACGAUCAAAUCUCGGGCAAGUAACAUAUCGAUGACAAAGGGAACAACAUAUGUUGUUAUGCGGUCUGACCGAUAAAAGAUCUUCGUAGAAUAUGUAGGAGCCAAUAUGAGCAUCCAGGUUCCGCUAUUGGUUAUUGACCGCAGACGUGUCUCGGUCAUGUCUACACUGUUCUCGAACCCGUAGGGUCCGCACGCUUAACGUUACGAUGACAGUUUCAUUAUGAGUUUAUAUAUUUUGAUGUAUCGAAGGUUGUUCGGAGUCUCGGAUGUGAUCACAGACAUAACGAGGAGUCUCGAAAUAGUCGAGACAUAAAGAUUGAUAUAUUGGACGACUAUAUUUGGACAGAGGAAUGGUCCCCGGGAGUUAUCGGAUAUAAAACGGAGUACCGGGGGUUACCGGAACCCCAGGGGGUUAAUGGGCCUCAUGGGCCCAAAGUGGAGCAGAGGAGGGGCGGCCAGGGCAGGUUGCACGCUCCCUCCCCCUCUAGUCCGAAUUGGACAAGGAGGAAGGGGCGGCGCCCCCCUUUCCUUUCUCUCCUCUAUCCCUUCCUUCCCCCUCUCCUAGUUGGACAAGGAAAGGAGGGAGUCCUACUCCCGGUAGGAGUAGGACUCCUCCCUGGCGCGCCUCCUCCUGGCCGGCCACCCCUCCCCCUUGCUCCUUUAUAUAUGAGGGCAGGGGGCACCUCUAGACACAACAAUUGAUCCUUGAGGUCUAUUAGCCGUGUGCGGUGCCCUCCUCCACCAUAAUCCUCGAUAAUAUUGUAGCGGUGCUUAGGCGAAGCCCUGCGACGGUAGAACAUCAAGAUCGUCACCACGCCAUCAUGCUGACGGAACUCUUCCCCGACAUUCUGCUGGAUCGGAGUCCGGGGAUCGCCAUCGAGCUGAACGUGUGCUAGAACUCGGAGGUGCUGUAGUUUUGGUGCUUGAUCGGUCGGGCUGUGAAGACAUACGACUACAUCAACCGCGUUGUCCUAACGCUUCCGCUUCCGGUCUAUGAGGGUACGUAGACAACACUCUCCCCUCUCGUUGCUAUGCAUCACCAUGAUCUUGCGUGUGCGUAGGAAUUUUUUUGAAAUUACUACAUUCCCCAACACCCGGUUGGUGCCACCAACCGGGACCAAAUGCCCUCCUGCCUGGGCUCCGCGCACAGGCCACGUGGAGGCCCAUCUAUCCCGGUUCUGGACUGAACCGGGACUAAAGGGACUGGGCAUUAGUAACGACCCUUUAGUCCCGGUUCAGGAACCGGGACAAAAGGCCCCUACGAACCGGGACAAUAGGCCCGUUUCCUACUAGUGCGUGUCCACCUUGGACCUCUAGAGGGCAAUGAGGAGGCCUAGGUCAUCGUCGGGAUCGGAGGAGGAGCGGUUGCCGGCGCUCGACAUGGUCGCCGCAGUCACCGGAGUGGUCGGAGUGGAAUGAAUCGAAGAAAUCGAAGUGAAGAAGAAGAGACGGAUCGAGAGUGGAGUAAGCUAGGGUUUCCGGAUUGGGGAUAUUUGUGGGGAUGAAAUGGGGUCCGGGUGGGCUGGGCCGACGUGACGCACACUCGGGCACCCUCGUAUCCGCCCCAUAUAUAUAUUGGGCUGGAUUUGAGGGGCGCCAGACAGCCCGGGCGUUUGAGGCGCCCAACUGGGUCAGAAAAACGUGACCGAUCAGUGAUCAGGCCGGGCGUCCGGGCGUUUGAGACCGGUUUGAGACGCCCGAUUGUAGAUGCUCUUAGUCCCUGCACCGGAUGCAACGACCACUAAAAUUAAUCACAUUUACACUUCAAUCCUUACAUCAAAUUUUACGACGAUCAUCGAAUUAAAAGCGUCAAUUCAGAUAUUAUUUUCCAUUGUACCGGAAAAAAGUAUAAUCUUGAUUUUAAGAUUGUUAAUACUUAAUUUAUGCAGAUCCAUCACACCAACUCUGGAUCCCUAAAUAUUAGCGACCCACUACACCUUCGCUCUCACCUUGAUAUAUACCAAUCUAUCUGUCUAGUGACUAGUGGUCUUCUUACCAUGGCCCUUCACCUACACCAUCAUUCACAUGUCGAGACAUAAGAGAAAGAAGGAACCAGUGGCACUUAACAUCUAGGAUUUAGACGCGUGUAGCAUCUUUGGAAUAGUAGGCAUACGGGAAUAUGUUCGUUCACGGCGUGCCACGACUAGUGCAACUGGCCUAAUUACGGCCAUCGUGGCAGGAACUAUAGCUAGGCUAAAGGAAGAGUGUAGAGGACAAACUGAUUCAGAAAGAGACUACGAGUUGCACGUCAACGAAAAGCAAAUGUGUGCCUUGGGAUGUUCUUUGCUCUGAAGCUCUUCCCUACCUCGGAAGGGGUACUUCAUUGUAUUUUUUCGUGGAACGGUGGCUGUUGUUUGGGGUCUUUUUGGUCCUUUUAUCUUUCUAGCUACUUACUGACAAAGCUAAUGUCAAUGAACAACAAAAUAAAAGCCCAUGUCAAUUAAGCUUGAGAAUAAAAAUGACAAAUUCGGCAUGAAUGAUGUCACAACAAGAAGGCAAAAACCACACUAUUCACAUAUGUAUUUGUCCUUUUUGUUUUUUCUAUGUGUAUUUUGAAGUUGAAUUUGAAUUUUUUUAGGGUUGUAAACACAUGUCUUAUGAACAUCCACAAAAAUUCGGUAUUUUUUAAAGAUGAAAAUUUUGAUUUUCAAAUGUGGGAGCGUGGGAACAUGUCAUAUUCUCCUUUCUUAGUGUUCUUGUUACGUACGAUUAUAAUGAUACCCACAUUGCCACCGCACGUCGUUUGGAUCUUCUCUCCCAAGAAAGAAAGAGGUGGUGGCCGGCAUAUAUGGUUGGAACAUGGCUUGCCCGAUGCCAAAGAGAAUUGUGUAGGUCGGGCACCACCUCUCAUGCCCAUGUUGUUGCGCUUGUUAUGCCUGCUCGUAGUGAAGAGUAUCAUACACUAGUAUCAUGCAUAUGAUACUAUCUUCGUAGUGCAUAGUAUCAUAGUUAGUAUUUAGGAGUAGAUAAUUUUAUUUAUUAUCAUGCAUGACACAUAAUAACACAUCAUUUAUUAUGAUACGGUAUUAAAAUGUGAUACCAAGCACUCCCUUUCUUCAUUUAAUUAUAUGCCUCCUUAGCAAAAUUGCCAGGUUGACAUGCUUGAUACUUGCUAUGAUACACCGGUUACGAGAGGCCUAAGUCAUUCAAUCAUUCACAUUGCUUCAUAAAUAUAAGAUGGUAUGAUCAUGAUUUGGGCCAACUACCACGCCAAUCUCUGAUCUCGUUCCAUAAUAUUAUGGCUGCAUUGCCUUCAGUCUCAACUCGAUAUAUACCAAUUUAUUUUCUCGUGGUCUUCUUCCUAGGCCAUUCACCUAUAGCAUCUCAUACAUGUGAAGACUAAAUAGGAACAACAAAUAGCGACACUUAGGAUUUAGGAGUUAGACGCAUGUCGCGUGUUUGGAAUAGUAGGCAUACAGGAAUAUGUUCAUUCGCACUCUGUUUAAGCUGGCGUGACUGACCUAUCUACGGCCACCAUGGUAGCCAGUAUGACCAGGAACAGAGUUUCAACUAGAGGGGGAGGCAAGGCAACGUGUACCAUUGGUGGCGUCCAAGCUAUAGGGUGUCUUGCAUAGGAUCCAUCGUGCUGGCACACGACUACCAUACUACAGAACUACAGAGUAUACUACUACAUGGUAAUGUUUGUGACAAAUACAUCAUGGAACACCUGAGAAAAUGAAUCUUCGUGCAAGAGCAUCGUGUCGCAGUCAGCAAGCGUGAAAGUAUAAGAACAACUUGGACAAGAACGUAUGAAAGAAUGUCCACUGGAUAGUACUGACCCGGCUGGAGCAAACCACCACGGUGCGGAUCCACUUCGGCGUCGUCUCUCUACGUGCUUGGACAAAGACAGCGAACAAGCCCCACCGCCAUCCUAUGCUAUGUUAUGCUGCUAGGCUGCCGACAGUUUACCGGCCGGCCCACGUCGACGCCGGAUAAUGGCACGGGUCAGGCACCACCUCUCAAUUCUCAUGUCCAUGUUGUUGCGCUUGCUAUCUCUACAUCCAUACAAGUCCUUCAUUUUUCAUAUAUCAAGGUUUGAGAUUGCUAACUGGGCCUGCCACCCGGUUACAAGUCCUUCAUUCGUCCACAUCGUUUCGGUCAGUCAUGCAUGUGACCGCCUUACGCUGGAUGCUCCGACCACUAAAAUGAAUCACAUUUACGCUUCAGUUCUUAUCCUAAAAAACACGACGAUCAUCGAAUUAAAGUGUGAAGUUAGAUAUUAUUUUAUGUCAUACCACCGGCAGAUAGUAUGAUCUACGCUUUACAAUAUUUAUUUUAUACAGAUCCACCACACCAACCUCCAAUCUUGAUCCCUGAAUAUUAGGUACCCACUAUCUUCGGUCUCACCUCGAUAUAUAUACCCAUAUGGUCUUUGUUCCGUGGCCCUUCACCUACAUCAUCUUUCACAUGUCAAGACAAGACUUGAGAGGAAGAGGAAGAAGCAGUGACACUUAGGAUCUUAGACACCUGUAGCAUGUUUGGAAUAGUAGACAUACGGGAAUAUGUUCAUUGACAGUGUGUAAAACCUGGUAUAACUAACCUAAUUACCGCCAUCACUGUAGGCACUAUAGCUAGACAGAGGGUUCCGAGUCGAGGUCACAUUAUUUCAGCAAGAGAUAGAUGCAUGUAGACGAAAAGGAGAUGCCUGCCUUGGGAUGCUGUUUGCUCUGGAGGGCUUCCCUAGCAAUCUCAGAGGGGGUGCUUCUUUGUUGUAUUUUUUCAUGUAACAGUUGUUGUUGUUUGGGUUUUUUUUGGGGCCUUUUAUCGUCCUAGCUACUUACCGACAAAGCUAAAUGUCAUUGCGGAAACAAAAUAAAGCCUGUGUGAAUUAAGCUGGAGAAUAAAAACAAUAAUUUUAGCAUGAAUGGUGUCAUAAAAAGAUAAAGGCAAAAACUACACUGUUCACAUUUGUAUUUUCUUUUUGUUUUUCUAUAUGUAUUUUGAUUUUGAUUUUGAUUUUUUUAGGAGUUGUAGACAUAUGUCUUGUGAAUAUCAACAACAAAAUUUGGUAUUUCUUGCUAGAUGGAAAUUUGAUUUUUAAAUGUGGGAGCACGGGAGCAUGUGAUAUUUUUCUCCGUUAUAGGUGUUCCUAUAUGAUGAACAAUUACAACAAGACCCGCAUCAUUGCGCGUACUUUGGUGCUUAAUUGCAUCCAAUUGCCCUCCCAUUGUGAAUCUUCUCUUCCAAGAAAGAAAGAGGCGGUGGCCAGCAUAUAUGGUCGGAAUAUGGCUUGCCGACCGACGACAAAGAGAAUUGUGUGGGUCGGGCACCACCACCCAUGCCCAUGUUAUUGCGCUUGUUAUUUCUACUUGUAGUGGAGAGUGUCAUACACUAGUGUCAUGCAUAUGACAUCAUAUUUUAGUAUUUUAGGAUAUGGUAUCAAAUCCUCUAUUUCUUUAUUUAAUUAUAUGCCACCUUACGAAAAUUGUCUACGCAACUACCACUAAAAUUCCAGAUGAAUUGCGUGUGACGGGUACAAUUGUGACUUAUGAAGCCAGCCGAUGAUAAGUAUGUUUGGCAACAUGACAAUCAAGCAUUGCAUGUGAGAAGUAAAUGGAGUGUUAGAUAAAACAAGAUCAGGCGAGACACAAGAAACACCAUUUUUUACGUGGAAAUCCUUACGGGAAAAACUCAUGGACACACGAAGAUGCAAUCAUUAUGAUGAAGGUGUAUUACAAGCAAGAGACGACAUGCCAUCUUUAGGUGCGACUACAUGGGUUAUAUAUGAGGACAACACAUAAGAGCCCUUGGAUCACAAGUAAAACAAGUUGUACUCGUAAGUGUCGAUGUCAACGUCAAUGCAACACCCACACCAUUUGUACUACAUCUAGUCUAACACGAUAGAAUUUGUAUCACAAUUUAACAUGGAGUAGCAUAUGAACUUGCUUGGGUAGGUUAUAAAGAGACGAUGUCGGAGGUGUGGCAUGAUCACCAUCCUGAGUUCCUUAUUCGCUCUCUUGUAACAUACAAUAUUAUAAUUUAAUUAAAGUCACCAAAGUUUUAAAAAAACUUCCGCUAAAAUGAAUCGCAUUUAGGCUCCAGUCUGUUCAUCGAACGUACAAAUGGAAGGAUGAAUUAACAUACGAAUUUUCAUUGUACUAGAAGAUGGCAUGAUCUUGAUUUGGGCUUUGUAAAUAUUUAUUUAAUGUAAAACUACCACACCAAACUCUGACCUCAUUCCGUAAAUACUAGGAUCACGCUUCAUUCGGUCUUAGCUCGAUAUAUCACUAGUAGAAAAACGGUCAAAUGUGAAGCACAUUAGUGCUGGUUUGAAUUUGAGCCGGCACUAAUGUGACCAUUAGUGCCGGUUCCAACGGCUAGCUGGGCCGCUACAAUUAGUACCGGUUCGUGGCCAAUCUUUAGCACCGGUUCGUGCCAUGAACCGGUACUAAAGAGAGUGGUGGCAGGAUGUUGUUAGUCUGGGGCCUCUCCAGCACCUUUAGUACCGGUUUGUGACACGAACAGGUACUAAAGGUCGUUCUACAUAAACCUUUCGUCCACCCGAGCUCGCUUUGUUCUUCCCCUUUCCCCUCUCCUCUCUGUUCUUCCCCUCUUUCUCUCGAGCUCAUCACACAUUUUGCCCAAAAUUUGUCAAGAUUUGAAGGCCCCAUCCAUUCAAAUGAUCACAAAGGUUAGCAACUUUGUCCGUUCAUCUCUCAUUGCUAGAUUAGCCCUUGCAAUUCUUUAUAUAGUGAUUAAUUUGUGAGUUUAGUAAUUUGAGAGGAAUUAUAUGUGCUAGUAUUUGAUUUAUAUGCAAUUUGAGGUCAAAAAUAACACUUAGUUUGCAUAUGUAGAUGUGGUUUACUUAGUGCCUUCUAAAUCUCCGUCGUAACCACCGCCGAUCGCCUGCACCACCUUGCGGUGAGCCUCUUGUUCAUGAAUGUUUUAUAUAAAAAAUUGAUAUUUGUGUGAUUUGGAUAUAUAGUUACUCGUAUAAUUAUCUUACCCGUACGUUGUUUGUUAUACAUAGUGCCAUGGUUUUGAUAUCCGUCCCCGUCGGCCCUCGUCCUUGUUAUGAUUCGGAUGUGGUAUAUUCUCUUUUAAAACUAUUUGUUGCAUUUCGUGUUUAUGACAAAUUAUGCCCAUCAAGUUGACAUAUAUAUUUGUGUGUAGGAGGUAUGUGAACCGGAAAUUCCAACCGACCCUAUUGUCGAGAGGUUAAAUUUAGUUGAAAGAGAAAACGAGUAUUUGAAAGAAAAAUUGAAAAGAUUUGAGGGGGAGAAGAUGGAACUGGAGUUGCAUGUUUCCGAUGUCGUCGAUAAUCACAAGAUCAAGAUGGAGAAAAUGCGCUUGCAGAUUAUAAAGAUUAGAAAAUAUGCCAUUCAUAGUGAGGCUUAGUAUCAUUAUGCUGUUGGAUCAAUUGUUACCUUAGUUGCGAUCUUGAUCGCAUUUGUUGUUGCAUUUAAAUUUUUUAGCUAGAGAGUUAUUUGUUUGUUGCAUUUAAGUGUUGUAUGAACUUGUAUUAAUUUGGUCUUUUCGGUGUUGUGUAAUGAAGAUGAGCCGACAAUGGAUGUACGAUGACCGAUGCUCUCCUGAGUUCAUUAAUGGCGUGCAUACUUUUCUGCUUGCGGCUGAGGCAACUAAGCGGGCGGAUGGUUUUAUGCCUUGUCCAUGUGCUGGCUGUAAGAAUGAUCACAACUACUCUACGUCAAGAACCAUUCACGUCCACCUGUUUGAGUCCGGUUUCAUGCCCCACUAUAAUGUUUGGACCAAGCACGGAGAAAGAGGGGUUAUGAUGGAAGACAAUGAAGAAGAAGAGCACGACGACAGCUAUCCUGGCCAUGGGUUCUCUGAAUACGAUGAUACAACAAUGGGGGAAGAAGCCGAGCCGACAAUGCGGGAAGAAGCUGAAGAAGAGGCAUCAGAUGAGCCCGCUAAUGAUCUAGGUCGGGCCAUUGCCGAUGCAAAGAGAAACUGCGGAAGUGAUUUGGAGAAGAAGUUGCAGCGCAUGUUAGAGGAUCACAAGAAAUUGUUGUACCCGAAUUGUGAAGCUGACAAGAAAAAGUUGGGCACCACACUGGAAUUGCUGCAAUGGAAGGCAGAGAAUGGUGUAUCUGACAAGGGAUUUGGAAAGUUGCUGGUAAUAAUAAAGAAUAUGCUUCCAAAGGACAACGAAUUGCCCGAGAGUACGUACGAAGCAAAGAAGGCUGUCUGCCCUCUAGGGUUAGAGGUGCAGAAGAUACAUGCAUGCCCUAAUGACCGCAUCCUCUACCGAAGUGAUCAGUACGAGGAUUUGAACGCUUGUCCGGUAUGCGGUGCAUUGCGCUAUAAGAUCAGCCGCGAUGACCCUGGUGAUGUCGAGGGCGAGCGCCCCAGGAAGAAGAUUCCUGCCAAGGUGAUGUGGUAUGCUCCUAUAAUACCACAGUUGAAACGUUUGUUCCAAAAUAAAGAGCAUGCCAAGGCGGUGCGAUGGCACAGAGAAGACCGUAAGAAAGACGGAAAGUUGAGAGUACCUGCUGACGGGUCGCAUUGGAGAAAAGUCGAGAGAAAGUAUAGGAAUAAGUUUGCAGGUAACGCAAGGAACGUGUGAUUUGGUCUAAGCGUAGAUGGCAUUAAUCCUUUUUUGGAGCAGAGCAGCAACCAUAGCACCUGACCUGUGACUCUAUGUUUGUAUAACCUUCCUCCUUGGUUGUGCAUGAAGAGGAAGUUCAUUAUGAUGCCAGUGCUCAUCCAAGGCCCUAAGCAACCCGACAACGACAUUGAUGUGUACCUAAGGCCAUUAGUUGAAGAACUCUUACAACUGUGGAAUGGAACAAGUGUACGUGCAUGGGAUGAGCACAUGGGGGAAGAAUUUGACCUAAAGGCGUUGCUGUUCGUGACCAUCAAUAAUUGGCUUGCUCUCAGUAACCUUUCGGGACAGACAAAUAAGGGAUACCGCGCAUGCACGCACUGUUUGGAUGAUACUGACAGUAUAUAUUUGGAUAAUUGUAGGAAGAAUGUGUACCUGGGACAUCGUCGAUUUCUUCCGAGCAGGCAUCCCGUAAGAAAGAAAGGCAAACAUUUCAAAGGUGAGGCGGAUCACCGGACGAAGCCUCGCUACUGGUGCUGAUGUACAUGAUAUGGUCAAGGAUUUGAAGGUAGUCUUUGGAAAGGGUCCUGGUGGACAACCUGUUCCGAAUGACGCUGACAGACGCGUACCCAUGUGGAAGAAGAAAUCUAUAUUCUGGGACUUGCCCUAUUGGAAAGACCUAGAGGUCCGCUCCGCAAUCGACGUGAUGCACGUGACGAUGAAUCUUUGCGUGACCCUGCUUGGCUUCUUGGGCGUGUAUGAGAAGACAAAAAAUACACCUGAGGCACGGGAGGACUAGCAACGUAUGCACGAAAAAGAUGGCAUACAUCAGGGUCAUGCCAGCUACGCUCUUACCAAAGAAGAGAAGGAAAUGUUCUUUGAAUGCCUGCUCAGUAUUAAGGUACCGUCUGGCUUCUUGUUGAAUAUAAAGGGAAUAAUAAACAUGGCCGAGAAAAGUUCCAGAACCUAAAGUCUCAUGACUGCCACAUGAUUAUGACGCAACUGCUACCGGUUGCAUUGAGAGGCCUUCUACCGGACAACGUUUGAUUAGCCAUUGUGAAGCUAUGUGCAUUCCUCAAUGCAAUCUCUCAGAAGGUAAUCGAUCCAGAAAUCAUACCAAGGUUAGAGAAUGAUUUGGUGCAAUGUCUUGUCAGUUUUGAGUUGGUGCUCCCACCAUCCUUCUUCAACAUCAUGACGCACGUCCUAGUUCACCUAUGCGAAGAGAUUAACGUUUUGGGUCCUGUAUUUCUACACAAUAUGUUCCCCUUUGAGAGGUUCAUGAGAGUCUUAAAGAAAUAUGUUCAUAACCGUGCUAGGCCAGAAGGAAGCAUCUCCAAGGGCCAUGAAAAUGAGGAGGUCAUUGAGUUUUGUAUUGACUUUAUUCCUGACCUUAAGUUGAUUGGUGUUCCUGAAUCGCGGCAUAAGGGCAGACUGGAUGGAAAAUGCACGCUAGGAGGGAAUUAAAUAAUAUAUAUGGACGGACAUUCUCUCACUGAAGCACACUACACAGUUCUAAAGAAUUCUGCCUUGGUGGCUCUGUAUAUGGACGAACACAAGAAUUUUCUACGCUCCAAACACCCGGAGCGGUCUGAUGACUGGAUUACACGUGAACAAACUAGGAGUUUCGUCGGCUGGUUGCAGACACGUACCAUGCAUGACGCCUCUAUUGAAGAUGACCUGUACUCGUUGUCCCAGUUACCAUCUUUGAAUAUAAUGACUUUCAAAGGGUAUGAGAUAAAUGGUAAUACAUUUUACACGAUUGCCCAAGAUAAGAAGAGCACCAACCAAAACAGUGGUGUGUGCUUUGAUGCAACAACCAAGACGGAAAAGGAAGCAUAUUAAGGUUACAUAGAGGACAUAUGGGAACUUGACUAUGGACGUGGUUUGAAGGUCCCUUUGUUUCGGUGCAAAUGGGUCAAUAUGACAUGAGGCGGGGUAACUGAAGACCCGCAGUACGGAAUGACAACAGUGGAUCUCAACAAUCUUGCGUAUGCAGACGAACCAUUGAUACGUCCAUUUUGCAUCAUGCUUUUAUAUCAAUAUUUAUUGCAUUAUAGGCUGUUAUUACACAUUAUGUCACAAUACUUAUGCCUAUUCUCUCUUAUUUUACAAGGUUUACAUAAAGAGGGAGAAUGCCGGCAGCUGGGAUUCUGGCUGGAAAAGGAGGUAAUAUUAGAAACCUAUUCUGCACAGCUCCAAAAGUCCUGAAACUUCAGGGAUGAUGUUUUCCAAAUAUAUAAAAAACAUUGAGCGCAAGAACUUCACCAGGGGGGCCACACCCUGCCCACGAGGGUGGGGGGCGUGCCCCCCUACCUCGUGGGCCCCCUGGUGGCCCUCCGGUGACCAUCUUCUGCUAUAUGGACUCUUUCGAUGGGAAAAAAUCAUAAGCCAUCUUCUCGGAUGAAACUCUGCCGCCACAAGGCGGAACCAGUCUAGGGUUCUUGCAGGGCUGUUCUGCCGUGGAAACUUCCCUCCCGGAGGGUGAAAUCAUCGCCAUCGUCAUCACCAACGCUCCUCUCAUCGGGAAAUGGCAAUCUCCAUCAACAUCUUCAUCAGCACCAUCUCAUCUCAAAACCCUAGUUUAUCUCUUGUAUCCAAUUCUUGUCUCCAAGUCCUAGAUUGGUGCUAGUAGGUUGCUAGUAGUGUUAAUUACUCCUUGUAGUUGAUGCUAGUUGGUUUAAUUGGUGGAAGAUCAUAUGUUCAGAUCCUAUAUGCACAUUAAUACCCCUCUGAUUAUGAACAUGUUUAUGCUUUAUGAGUAGUUACUUUUGUUCCUGAGGACAUGGGAGAAGUCUUGCUAUUAGUAGUCAUGUGAAUUUGGUAUUCAUUCGAUAUUUUGAUGAGAUGUAUGUUGUCUCUCCUCUAGUGGUGUUAUGUGAACGUCGACUACAUGACAGUUCACCAUUGUUUGGGCCUAGAGGAAGGCAUUGGGAAGUAAUAAGUAGAUGAUGGGUUGCUAGAGUGACAGAAGCUUAAACCCUAGUUUAUGCGUUGCUUCGUAAGGGGCUGAUUUGGAUCCAUAUGUUUCAUGCUAUGGUUAGGUUUACCUUAAUACUUUUGUCGUAUUUGCGGAUGCUUGCAAUAGAGGUUAAUCAUACGUGGGAUGCUUGUUCAAGUAAGGGCAGCACCCAAGCACCGGUCCACCCACAUACCAAAUUAUCAAAGUACCGAACGCGAAUCAUAUGAACGUGAUGAAAACUAGCUUGACGAUAUUCCCAUGUGUCCUCGGGAGCGCUUUACAUGAUAUAAGAGUUUGUCCAGGCUUGUCCUUUGCUACAAAAAGGAUUGGGCCACCUUGCUGCAUGAUACGUCCAUUUUGCAUCAUACUUUUAUAUCGACAUUUAUUGCAUUAUGGACUGUUAUUUCACUUUAUGUCACAAUACUUAUGGCUAUUCUCUCUUAUUUUACAAGGUUUACAUAAGGAGGGAGAAUGCCGGCAGCUGGAAUUCUGUGCUGGAAAAGGAGCAAAUAUUAGAGACCUAUUCUGCGCAACUCCAAAAGUCAUGAAACUCCACGGAACAUCUUAAAAUAAAUAAAGAAAAAUACUCGCCAAAGAUGAAGGCCAGGGGGCCCACACCCUACUCACGAGGUUGGGGGGCGCGCCCCCUACCUCGUGGGCCCCCUGGUGGCUCUCCGACGUCCAUCUUCUCCUAUAUGAAGUAUUUCGAUGAGAAAAAAUCAGGAGGAACUUUUCAGGACGAGACUCCGCCGCCACGAGGCGGAACCUUGGCGGAACCAAUCUAGAGCUCCGGCAGAGCUGUUCUGCCGGGGAUACUUCUCUCCGGGAGGGGGAAAUCAUCACCAUCGUCAUCACCAACGCUCCUCUCAUCGGGAGAGGUCAAUCUCCAUCAAGAUCUUCACCAGCACCAUCUCAUCUCCAAACCCUAGUUCAUCUCUUGUAUCCAAUUGUUGUCUCAAAGUCCAGGAUUGGUGCUAGUAGGUUGCUAGUAGUGUUGAUUACUCCUUGUAGUUGAUGCUAAUUGGUUUAUUUGGUGGAAGAUCAUAUGUUCAGAUCCUAUAUGCAUAUUAUUACCCCUCUGAUUAUGAACACGAAUAUGCUUUGUGAGUAAUUACGUUUGUUCCUAAGGACAAGGGAGAAGUCUUGCUAUUAGUAGUCAUGUGAAUUUGGUAUUCGUUUGAUAUUUUGAUAAGAUGUAUGUGGCUAGCCUCUAGUGGUGUUAUGUGAACGUCGACUACAUAACACUUCACCAUUAUUUGGGCCUAGAGGAAGGCAUUGGGAAGUAAUGAGUAGAUGAUGGGUUGCUAGAGUGACAGAAGCUUAAACCCUAGUUUAUGCGUUGCUUCGUAAGGGGCUGAUUUGGAUCCACAUGUUUCAUGCUAUGGUUAGGUUUACCUUAAUACUUUUGUUGUAGUUGCGGAUGCUUGCAAUAGAGGUUAAUCAUAAGUGGGAUGCUAGUUCAAGUAAGAACAGCACCCAAGCACCGGUCCACCCACAUAUCAAAUUAUCAUAGUAUCGAACGUGAAUCAUAUGAACGUGAUGAAAACUAGCUUGACGAUAUUCCCAUGUGUCCUCGGGAACGCUUUUCCUAUUAUAAGAGUUUGUUCCGGCUUGUCCUUUGCUACAAAAGGAUUGGGCCACCUUUCUGCACUUUAUUUAUUUUUGUUACUUGUUGCUCGUUACAAUUUAUCUUAUCACAAAACUAUCUGUUACCACUUAUUUCAGUACUUGCAGAGAAUACCUUGCUAAAAACCGCUUAUCAUUUCCUUCUGCUCCUCAUUGGGUUCGACACUCUUACUUAUCGAAAGGACUACGAUAGAUCCCCUAUACUUGUGGGUCAUCAAGACUCUUUUCUGGCGCCGUUGCCGAGGAGUGUAGCGCCUUUGGUAGGUGGAAUUUGGUAAGGAAAAAUUUAUAUAGUGUGCUGAAAUUUACUGUCACUUGUUACUAUGGAAAGUAAUUCUCUGAGGGGCUUGUUCGGGGUAUCUUCACCCCGUCCAGUAGAGCAAAGAGUUGCUCCUCAACUUACUAAACCUAUUGAAAAUGAAACUCCUUUUGAAUUUCCUUCGGGUAUGAUGGAAAAACUGCUAGCUAACCCUUUUACAGGAGAUGGAACAAAGCAUCCUGAUAAGCACUUAAUAUAUGUGGAUGAAGUUUGUGGAUUAUUUAAGCUUGCAGGUAUACCCGAUGAUGUUGCUAAGAACAAGGUCUUCCCUUUAUCUUUGAAGGGAGACGCAUUGAUAUGGUAUAGUCUAUGUGAUGAUAUGAAAUCAUGGGACUAUAAAAGAUUGAAGCUGGAAUUUCAUCAAUAGUAUUACCCUAUGCAUCUUGUUCAUCGUGAUCGCAAUUAUAUAUAUAAUUUAUGGCCUCGCGAAGGAGAAAGCAUCGCUCAAGCUUGGGGAGACUUAAAUCAAUGUUAUAUUCAUGCCCCAAUCAUGAGCUCUCGAGAGAAAUAAUUAUGCAAAGUUUUUAUUCUCGGCUUUCUCAUAAUAAUCAAACCAUGCUCAAUACUUCUUGUGCUGGCUCUUUUAUGAUGAAGACUAUUGAAUUCAGAUGGAAUUUAUUGGACAGAAUUAAACGCAACUCUGAAGAUUGGGACCUUGACGAAGGUAAGGAGUCAGGUAUGACACCUAAGUUUGAUUGUGUUAAAUCUUUUAUGGACACCGAUAUUUUCCGUAAGUUGAGCACUAAAUAUGGACUUGACUCUGAGAUAGUAGCUUCUUUCUGUGAAUCUUUUGCUACUUAUGUUGAUCUCCCUAAGGAGAAGUGGUUUAAAUAUCAUCCUCCCAUAGAAGUAAAAGUAGAUGCACCUAUUAAAGUUGAAGAAAAGACUGUCACUUAUAAUGAUCCUAUUGUUCCUACUUCUUAUGUUGAGAAACCACCUUUCCCUGUUAGAGUAAAGGAUCAUGCUAAAGCUUCAACUGCUGUUCGUAAAAGCAAUAUUAGAACUUAUACACCUCCUGAGUAAGUUAAAGUGGAACCUAAUAUUGCUAUUGUGAAAGAUCUCUUGUGUGAUAAUAUUGAUGGGCAUGUUAUUCAGUUCGAAGGUGAAACUGCUAGAAUUGCUAAACCUUGUGCUAAAGAUAAAUAUAGACCUGUGGUAGGCGUGCCUGUUAUUUCUGUUAAAAUAGGAGAUCAUUGUUAUCAUGACUUAUGUGAUAUGGGUGCUAGUGCUAGUGCAAUACCUAUUGACUUAUACAAAGAAAUUAUGCAUGACAUUGCACCUGUUGAGUUAGAAGAAAUUGAUGUUACUAUUAAACUUGCUAAUAGAGAUACUAUUUCACCAAUGGGAAUUGUUAGAGAUGUUGAAAUCUUGUGUGGGAAAACUAAAUAUCCUGCUGAUUUUCUAGUUCUUGGUUCCCCACAAGAUUGCUUUUGUCCCAUUAUAUUUGGUAGACCCUUCUUGAAGACUGUUAAUGCUAGGAUAGAUUGCAAAAAGAAUGUUGUUACUAUUGGCUUGGAUGAUAUGGUUCAUGAGUCUAAUUUCUCUAAAUUUAGUAAACAACAUCGUGAGGAAGAAUUACCUAGUAAGGAUGAAAUUAUUGGUCUUGCUUCUAUUUCCGUACCUCCUAGUGAUCCUUUAGAACACUAUUUGCUAGACCAUGAAAAUGAUAUGUUUAUGAAUGAAAGAAGGGAAAUAGAUGAAGUAUUCUUUAAACAGGAACCUAUUCUGCAACACAAUUUGCCUGUUUAAAUUUUAGGGGAUCCUCCUCCACCCAAGGGUGAUCCCGUGUUUGAGCUUAAACCGUUGCCUGAUAAUCUUAAAUAUACUUAUCAUGAUGAAAAGAAGAUAUAUCCUGUUAUUAUUAGUGCUAACCUUUCAGAGCAUGAAGAAGAAAGAUUAUUGAAAACUCUGAAGAAGCAUCGUGCUGCUAUUGGAUAUACUCUUGAUGAUCUUAAGGGCAUUAGUCCCACUAUAUGUCAACAUAAAAUAAAAUUGGAAGAAGAUGCCAAACCAGUUCGUGAUCCUCAAUGAUGUCUAAAUCCUAAAAUGAAAGAAGUGGUAAGAAAAGAAAUACUAAAGCUUCUGGAGGCAGGUAUAAUCUAUCCCAUUGCUGAUAGUGAGUGGGUAAGUCAUGUCCAUUGUGUCCCUAAGAAGGGAGGUAUUACUGUUGUUCUUAAUGAUAAAGAUGAAUUGAUUCCACAAAGAAUUAUCACAGGUUAUAGGAUGGUAAUUGAUUUCCGCAAAUUAAAUAAAGCUGCUAAGAAAGAUCAUUACCCCUUACCUUUUAUUGAUCAAAUGCUAGAAAGAUUAUGCAAACAUACACACUAUUGCUUUCUAUAUGGUUAUUCUGGUUUCUCUCAAAUACCUGUGUCGGCUAGAGUUCAAUCAAAGACCACUUUUACAUGCCCUUUUGGUACUUUUGCUUAUAGACGUAUGCCUUUUGGUUUAUGUAAUGCACGUGCUACCUUUCAAAGAUGCAUGAUGGCUAUAUUCUCUGACUUUUGUGAAAAGAUUUGUGAGGUUUUCAUGGACGAUUUUUCUGUCUAUGGUUCCUCUUUUGAUGAUUGCUUGAGCAAUCUUGAUCGAGUUUUGCAGAGAUGUGAAGAAACUAAUCUUGUCUUGAAUUGGGGAAAAUGCCACUUUAUGGUUAAUGAAGGUAUUGUCUUGGGGCAUAAAGUUUCUGAAAGAGGUAUUGAAGUUGGUAAAGCCAAGGUCGAUGCUAUUGAAAAGAUGCCAUGUCCCAAGGACAUCAAAGGUAUACGAAGUUUCCUUGGUCACGCCGGAUUUUACAGGAGGUUCAUUAAGGACUUCUCAAAAAUUUCCCGGCCUCUGACUAAUUUAUUGCAAAAAGAUAUACCAUUUGUCUUUGAUGAUGAUUGUGUAGAAGCAUUUGGAACACUUAAGAAAGCAUUAGUCUCUGCACCUGUUGUUCAGCCACCUGAUUGGAAUUUACCAUUUGAAAUUAUGUGUGAUGCUAGUGAUUAUGCUGUAGGUGAUGUUCUAGUGCAAAGAGUUGAUAAGAAAUUAAAUGUUAUUCAUUAUGCUAGUAAGACUCUAGACAAUGCUCAAAGAAAUUAUGCUACUACAGAAAAAGAGCUUUUAGCAGUUGUAUUCGCUUGUGAUAAGUUCAGACCUUAUAUUGUUGAUUCCAAAGUAACUAUUCACACUGAUCAUGCUGCUAUUAAAUAUCUUAUGGAAAAGAAAGAUGGUAAACCUAGACUUAUUAGAUGGGUUCUCUUGCUACAAGAAUUUGAUUUGCAUAUUGUUGAUAGAAAGGGAGCUGAGAACCCUGUUGCAGACAACUUGUCUAGGUUAGAGAAUGUUCUUGAUGACCCACUACCUAUUAAUGAUAGCUUUCCUGAUGAAAAAUUAAAUGUUAUAAGUACUUCUCGUAGUACUCCAUGGUAUGUUGAUUAUGCUAAUUAUAUUGUUGCUAAAUUUAUACCACCUAGCUUCACAUACCAAUAAAAGAAAAAGCUUUUCUAUGAUUUAAGACAUUACUUUUGGGAUGACCCACAUCUUUAUAAAGAAGGAGUAGAUGGUGUUAUUAGACGUUGUGUACCUGAGCAUGAACAGGAACAAAUCCUAUGCAAGUGUCACUCCGAGGCUUAUGGAGGACACCACGCUGGAGAUAGAACUGCACAUAAGGUAUUACAAUCUGGUUUUUAUUGGCCUACUCUCUUCAAGGAUGCCCAUAAGUUUGUCUUCUCUUGUGAUGAAUGUCAAAGAAUUGGUAAUAUUAGUAGACGUCAAGAAAUGCCUAUGAAUUAUUCACUUGUUAUUGAACGGUUUGAUGUUUGGGGCUUUGAUUAUAUGGGACCUUUUCCUGCCUCUAAUGGAUACACACAUAUUUUAGUUGCUGUUGAUUACGUUACUAAGUGGGUAGAAGCUAUUCCAACUAGUAGUGCUGAUCAUAACACUUCUAUUAAAAUGCUUAAAGAAGUUAUUUUCCCGUGGUUUGGAGUCCCUAGAUAUUUAAUGACUGAUGGUGGUUCACACUUUAUUCAUGGUGCUUUCCGUAAAAUGCUUGCUAAAUAUGAUGUUAAUCAUAGAAUUGCAUCUCCUUAUCACCCUCAGUCUAGUGGUCAAGUAGAGUUGAGCAAUAGAGAGCUCAAAUGUAUUUUACAAAAGACUGUUAAUAGGUCUAGAAAGAAUUGGUCCAAGAAACUUGACGAUGCAUUAUGGGCUUAUAGAACUGCAUACAAAAAUCCUAUGGGUAUGUCUCCUUAUAAAAUGGUUUAUGGAAAAGCAUGUCACUUACCUCUCGAACUAGAACAUAAGGCAUAUAGGGCUAUUAAAGAGCUCAACUAUGAUUUCAAACUUGCCGGUGAGAAGAGGUUAUUCGAUAUUAGCUCACUUGAUGAAUGGAGAACCCAAGCUUAUGAAAAUGCCAAGUUGUUUAAAGAAAAAGUUAAAAGAUGGCAUGACAAAAGGAUACAAAAGCAUGAGUUUAAUGUAGGUGAUUAUGUAUUGCUAUACAACUCUCGUUUAAGUUUUUUGCAGGAAAACUUCUCUCUAAAUGGGAAGGCCCCUAUGUUAUCAAGGAGGUCUAUCGUUUCGGUGCCAUAAAAAUCAACAACUUCGAGGGCACAAAUCCAAAGGUGGUAAACGGUCAAAGAAUUAAACAUUAUAUCUCAGGCAAUCCCAUAAAUGUUGAAACCAAUACUAUUGAAACCGUAACCCCGGAGGAAUACAUAAGGGACACUUUCCGGAAUGUUUCAGACUCCGAAAAGGAAUAGGUAUGUAGUACAGUAAGUAAACCGACUCCAAAACAAUUUUUAAAGCAAUAUUUCUCCAUUUUGGAAUAUUUAGAAAAAUAGAAAAAUAAGUAGCAGUCCGGGAAGGACACGAGGGCCUCACAAGGGUGGUGGGCGCGGCCUACCCCUCUGGGCGCGCCCCCUACCUCGUGAGCACCUCAUGUGCCUUCCGGACUCCGUUUUCUUGCACGAUACGUAUUUUGGUCGGUAAAAAUUCAUUAUAUAACCUCCCGAAGGUUUUGACUCCCGUAUCACGCAAACCUCCUUUGUUCUUGUUUCGAGUUGUUUUCUGUCAGGGUUUUCCAGGCUAGGCAUCAUGUCGUCUCCCUCCUCCAACAAUGGUGACAACGAUGCUUGGCUAAUGAAGAUAGAUCUGAAGAGGGAAGAACCCACGAGGGUCAACAAGGAUGGAAGGAUCAAGAAGGCCAUGGAGGAUCAAGCUCCGGCAGCAAAAGACAUCCUUCAACUUGAUCAUAACCUUCUUACCCCAACUGAGAUCGAAGCUUUCAAGAUGAUUGAGUUGGCUCGUAUGAAAAACAAGUAUCUCACACAAGAAAAUAUUUUGUUGAAGGAGCAUAUUGACGCACUCAAGGGCAUUAUUCGCAAGCUGGAGGACCUCUUACGCUCGAUGUGCGAUUAUCCAUCACCUCCACCUUCUUCACCGACAAAGGAGAUAUAAUCACAUGGGUAUGGGCACUCCCCUUGGCAACUUCCAAGCUUGGGGGAGGUGCCCCGGUAUCAUAUCACAAUCACAACUCUUAUCUUUACCGUUUUUCUUAGUUCGAUCCUAUUAGUAGUAUCUUGAUCUAGUAGAAUAGAGUUUAUGGCAUGAUCUAGUUUUGAGUUUUGCUUUAUGAUCUCUCUUUGUAAUCAAGUCCGUGAGCUAUAUAUAAUAAAGAUUAGUGUUGAGUCAAGGGCUUGAUUAUUUUGCCAUGAUCUUGGGUGAAUAAAAGAAAAGAGAAAAAGAAUAAAAAGAAACAAAGAGUUCAUAUUGAUCUUAUUGAGAGUAAUGACUUCACAUAGAAAGAGUAUGAUGAUUAAAAGUUGUUGGGAGUUGGAAAACAUAGCUUUGGUCAUUGUUGCAAUUAAUAGGAAGUAAUUAGGAAAGAGAGGUUUUCACAUAUAGAUAUUUUAUCAUUGACAUCUUUUAUGAUUGGGACCACUCAUUAAAAUAUGACAUGUUAAAGAGUUGAUGUUGGACAAGGAAGACAACGUAAUGAGUUAUGUCUUUCUUAUAUCUGAGAUAAAGUAUGUUGUCAUGGAUCCUAUAACUUGUUGAGCUUGCCUUUCCCCCUCAUGCUAGCCAAAUUCUCAGCACCAAGUAGAAAUACUACUUGUGCUUCCAAAUACCCUUAAACCAGUUUUGCCAUGAGAGUCCACCAUAUCUACCUAUGGAUUGAGUAAGAUCCUUCAAGUAAGUUGUCAUCGGUGCAAAGCAAUAAAAAUUGCUCUAAAUAUGUAGGAUUGAUUGGUGUGGGAGAAAUAAGCUUUAUACGAUCUUGUGAUGUGGAAGUAAUAAAAGUGACGGACUGCAUAAUAAAUGUUCAUAUCACAAGGGGCAAUAUAAAGUGACGUUCUUUCGCAUUGAGAUUUUAUGCAUCCAACCAUAAAAGCGCAUGGCAACCUCUGCUUCCCUCUGCGAAGGGCCUAUCCUUUAUUAUUAUCUUCUACCUUCUGCAAGAGUCAUGGUGAUCUUCACCUUUUCUUUUUCAUUUUAUCCUUUGGCAAGCUCAGCAUGUUGGAAAGAAAAUUAUAUAUAAUUGGAUGUAGGGGAGCAUGAACCAUUAUUGUUGACAUUACCCUUGAGGUAAAAGGUUGUGGGGAAAAACUAUAAGCCCCUAUCUUUCUCUGUGUCUGAUUAAAACUCCGUAACCACAAGUAUUGCGUGAGUGUUAGCAAUUAUGGAGGACUAAAUGAUAGUUGAGUAUGUGGACAUGCUUUUUAACUUUGACAUAGACUCUUUCCGAUGUUAUGAUAAAUUGCAAUUGCUUCAAUGACUGAGAUUAUAGUUUGUUGGAGCCCAAUAAGGUUUAUGAUUCAUACUUUUGCAUUGUGAAUAGAUCAUCACUUGAACAUAAGUAAUCAUAUCACAAAAUCUAUAUAAGUUGCUGUUAUGAGAAUAAUCAUGAUGCCUUCAUGUCUGUAUUUUAUUUUUAUCCACGCCUCUACCUCUAAACAUGAGGACAUAUUUAUUGUUAUCGGCUUUUCGCUUGAGGACAAGCGAGGUCUAAGCUUGGGGGAGUUGAUGCAUCCAUUUUGCAUCAUGCUUUUAUAUCGAUAUUUAUUGCAUUAUGGACUGUUAUUUCAAUUUAUGUCACAAUACUUAUGGCUAUUCUCUCUUAUUUUACAAGGUUUACAUAAGAAGGGAUAGUGCCGACAGCUGGAAUUCUGGGCUGAAAAAGGAGAAAAUAUUAGAGACCUAUUCUGCGCAACUCCAAAAGUCCUGAAACUCCACGGAACAUCUUAAAAUAAAUAAAGAAAAAUCCUCGCCAAAGAUGAAGGCCAGGGGGCCCACACCCUGCACACGAGGGUGGGGGCGCGCCACCCCUAGGGCGCGCCCGCUACCUCGUGGGCCCCCUGGUGGCUCUCCGACGUCCAUCUUCUCCUAUAUGAAGUCUUUUGAUGAGAAAAAAUCAGGAGGAACAUUUCGGGACGAGACUCCGCCGCCACGAGGCGGAACCUUGGCGGAACCAAUCUAGAGCUCCGACAGAGCUGUUCUGCCGGGGAUACUUCCCUCCCGGAGGGGGAAAUCAUCACCAUCGUCAUCACCAACGCUCUUCUCAUCGGGAGAGGGCAAUCUUCAUCAAUAUAUUCACCAGCACCAUCUCAUCUCCAAACCCUAGUUCAUCUCUUGUAUCCAAUUCUUGUCUCAAAGUCCGGGAUUGGUGCUACUAGGUUGCUAGUAGUGUUGAUUACUCCUUGUAGUUGAUGCUAAUUGGUUUAUUUGGUGGAAGAUCAUAUGUUCAGAUCCUAUAUGCAUAUUAUUACCCCUCUGAUUAUGAACAUGAAUAUGCUUUGUGAGUAAUUAUGUUUGUUCCUGAGGACAAGGGAGAAGUCUUGCUAUUAGUAGUCAUGUGAAUUUGGUAUUCAUUUGAUAUUUUGAUAAGAUGUAUGUUGUCUAGCCUCUAGUGGUGUUAUGUGAACGUCGAGUACAUAACACUUCACCAUUAUUUGGGCUAGAGGAAGGCAUUGGGAAGUAAUAAGUAGAUGAUGGGUUGCUAGAGUGACAGAAGCUUAAACCCUAGUUUAUGCGUUGCUUCGUAAGGGGCUGAUUUGGAUCCACAUGUUUCAUGCUAUCGUUAGGUUUACCUUAAUACUUUUGUUGUAGUUGUGGAUGCUUGCAAUAGAGGUUAAUCAUAAGUGGGAUGCUAGUUCAAGUAAGAACAACACCCAAGCACCGGUCCACCCACAUAUCAAAUUAUCAAAGUAUCGAACGCGAAUCAUAUGAACGUGAUGAAAACUAGCUUGACGAUAUUCCCAUGUGUCCUCGGGAAUGCUUUUCCUAUUAUAAGAGUUUGUUCCGGCUUGUCCUUUGCUACAAAAGGAUUGGGACACCUUGCUGAACUUUAUUUACUUUUGUUACUUGUUGCUCGUUACAAUUUAUCUUAUUACAAAACUAUCUGUUACCACUUAUUUCGGUACUUGCAGAUAAUACCUUGUUGAAAACUGCUUAUCAUUUCCUUCUGCUCCUCGUUGGGUUCGACACUCUUACUUAUCGAAAGGACUACGAUAGAUCCCCUAUACUUGUGGGUCAUCAUUGCACCUUAUUUACUUUUGUCACUUGUUUCUUAUUACAAAUUAUCUUAUCACAAAACUAUCUGUUACCACUUGUUUCAGUACUUGCAGAGAAUACCUUGCUGGAAACCGCUUAUCAUUUCCUUCUGCUCCUCGUUGGGUUUGAAACUCUUACUUAUCGAAAGGACUACGAUAGAUCCCCUAUACUUGUGGGUCAUCAAGACUCUUUUCUGGCGCCGUUGCCGGGGAGUGAAGCGCCUUUGGUAGGUGGAAUUUGGUAAGAAAAAAUUAUAUAGUGUUCUAAAAUUUACUGCCACUUGUUACUAUGGAAAGUAAUCCUCUGAGGGGCUUGUUCAGGGUAUCUUCACCCCGGCCAGUAGAGCAAAGAGUUGCUCCUCAACCUACUGAACCUACUAAAAAUGAAAAUGCUUGCUUUGAAAUUCCUUUGGGUAUGGUAGAAAAACUGCUAGCUAAUCCUUUUUUAGGAGAUGGAACAAAACAUCCUGAUGAGAAUGUAAUAUAUGUGGAUGAAGUUUGUGGAUUAUUUAAUCUUGCAGGUGUACCCGGAGAUGUUGUUAAGAAGAAGGUCUUCCCUUUAUCUUUGAGGGGAGAUGCAUCGGCAUGGUAUAGGCUAUGUGAUGAUAUGGAGUCUUGGAACUACAAACGAUUGAAAUUGGAAUUUCAUCAAAAGUUUUAUCCUAUGCAUCUUGUUCAUCGUGAUCGCAAUUAUAUAUAUAUAAUUUUUGGCCUCGUGAAGGAGAAAGCAUCGCUCAAGCUUGGGGGAGGCUUAAAUCAAUGUUGUAUUCAUGCCCCAAUCAGGAGCUCUCAAGAGAAAUGAUUAUUCAAAAUUUUAUGCUCGGCUUUCUGGUAACAAUCGCACCAUGCUUGAUACUUCUUGCGCUGGCUCUUUUAUGAUGAAGACUAUUGAAUUCAAAUGGGAUUUAUUGGAAAUAAUUAAACGCAACUCCAAAGAUUGGGACCUCGACAAUGGUAAGGAGUCAGGUAUGACACCUAGUUUUGAUUGUGUUAAAUCUUUUAUGGAUACCGAUAUUUUUCGUAAAUUUAGCACUAAAUAUGGACUUGACUCUGAGAUAGUAGCUUCUUUCUGUGAAUCUUUUGCUGCUUAUGUUGAUCUCCCCAAGGAGAAGUGGUUUAAAUAUCAUCCUCCCAUAGAAGUAAAAGUAGCUGCACCUAUUAAUGUUGAAGAAAAGACUAUUACUUACAAUGAUCCUAUUGUUCCUACUUCUUAUGUUGAGAAACCACCUUUCCUUGUUAGGAUAAAGGAUCAUGCUAAAGCUUCAACUAUGGUUCGUAAAAGCAAUAUUAAAACAUAUACACCUCCUGAGCAAGUUAAAGUUGAACCUAAUAUUGCUAUUGUUAAUGAUCUCUUGUCUGAUAAUAUAGAUGGGCAUGUUAUUUAUUUCUGUAAUGAAACUACUAGAAUUGCUAAACCCUGUGAUACAGAUAAACCUAGACCUGUGGUAGGCAUGCCUGUUAUUUCUGUUAAAAUAGGAGAUCAUUGUUAUCAUGGCUUAUGUGAUAUGGGUGCUAGUGCUAGUGCAAUACCUUAUUCUUUAUACCAAGAAAUUAUGCAUGGCAUUGCACCCGCUGAGUUAGAAGAUAUUGAUGUCACAAUUAAUCUUGCUAAUAGAGAUACUAUGUCACCAAUGGGAAUUGUUAGAGAUGUUGAAGUCUUGCGUGGGAAAACUAAAUAUCCUGCUGAUUUUCUUGUACUUGGUUCCCCACAAGAUAGUUUUUGUCCCAUUAUAUUUGGUAGACCCUUCUUAAAUACUGUUAAUGCUACCAUAGAUUGCAAAAGGGAUGUUGUUACUGUCGGUUUAGAUGAUAUGACUCAUGAAUUUAAUUUUUCUAAAUUUAGUAGACAACACCGUGAAGAAGAAUUACCUAGUAAGGAUGAAAUUAUUGGUCUUGCUUCUAUUGCCGUACCUCCUAGUGCUCCUUUAGAACAAUAUUUGCUAGACCCUGAAAAUGAUAUGUUUAUGAAUGAAAGAAGGGAAUUAGAUGAAGUAUUCUUUAAACAGGAAACUAUUCUGAAAAACAAUUUACCUGUUGAAAUCCUAGGGGAUCCUCCUCCACCCAAGGGUGAUCCCGUGUUUGAGCUUAAACCGUUACCUGAUACUCUUAAAUAUGCUUAUCUUGAUGAGGAAAGGAUAUACCCUGUUAUUAUUAGUGCUAACCUUUCAGAACAUGAAGAAGAGAGAUUAUUGAAAACUCUAAAGAAGCACCGUGCUGCUAAUGGGUAUACUCUUGAUGUUCUUAAGGGCAUUAGUCCCACUCUAUGUCAACAUAAAAUUAAUUUGGAAGAAGAUGAUAAACCAGUUCGUGAUCAUCAACGCCGUCUAAAUCCUAAAAUGAAAGAAGUGGUAAGAAAGGAGAUACGAAAGCUCCUUGAGGCAGGUAUAAUUUAUCCCGUUGCUGAUAGUAAGUGGGUAAGUCCUGUCCAUUGUGUCCCUAAGAAGGGAGGUAUUAUUGUUCUUCCUAAUGAUAAAUAUGAAUUGAUUCCUCAAAGAAUUAUUACUGGUUAUAGGAUGGUAAUUGAUUUUCACAAAUUAAAUAAGGCUACUAAAAAAGAUCAUUACCCCUUACCAUUUAUCGAUCAAAUGCUAGAAAGAUUAUCCAAACAUACACAAUUUUGCUUUCUAGAUGGUUAUUCUGGUUUCUCUCAAAUACCUGUGUCAGCCAAAGAUCAAUCAAAGACUACUUUUACAUGCCCUUUUUGUAACACCCCGGAUGUAACUUUCCCAAUUUGUACUCCAACUCUUGCCGUUUCCGGCGUUAAGUUAUAUUUAUUUCCUCGGGUUCGGGUCUUUGUCUCCGUGUGUUGUUGUCUUUGUCAUGCAUCUCAUAUCAUGUCAUCAUGUGCAUUGCAUUUGCAUACGUGUUCGUCUCAUGCAUUCGAGCAUUUUUCCCGUUGUCCGUUUUGCAUUCCGGCGCUUCGUUCUCCUCCGGUUGCCAUUUCUAGCUUUCUUUCGUGUGUGGGGAUUAAACAUUUCUGGAUUGGACCAAGACUUGCCAAGCGGCCUUGGUUUACUACCGGUAGACCGCCUGUCAAGUUUCGUACCAUUUGGACUUCGUUUGAUACUCCAACGGUUAACCAAGGGACCGAAAAGGCCUCGUGUGUGUUGCAGCUCAACACCCCACCAAUUUGGCCCAAAACCCACCAAACUCUGCUCCAUGUCCUAGAGCGUUUGAUCACGAUCGCGUGGCCGAAAACCGCACCUCAUUUGGACUUUCCUAGCUCCCUCUAUGCCUAUAUAUACACCCCUCCGUUUUCGGAUCUUCUUCCUCCCUGAAACCCUAAAAAUUGCAGCUUCGCGCGCCGGACAUUGUCCGUCCGUGCCGGACGUGUCCACCACGCCGCCGCCACCUCACUCCGGCCUAUAGGAGCUUGCCACGUCGCCCCGCCGCCGCUCCAGGCCAACCACCACGCGCCACCCGGCCUCCCUCUCUCUCCUCCGCCGCCACGGGCCCGCGCGGCCCAGAUCUCGCCCGCGUGGCCNNNNNNNNNNNNNNNNNNNNNNNNNNNNNNNNNNNNNNNNNNNNNNNNNNNNNNNNNNNNNNNNNNNNNNNNNNNNNNNNNNNNNNNNNNNNNNNNNNNNNNNNNNNNNNNNNNNNNNNNNNNNNNNNNNNNNNNNNNNNNNNNNNNNNNNNNNNNNNNNNNNNNNNNNNNNNNNNNNNNNNNNNNNNNNNNNNGCCGCGCCACUCGCCGCCCCGCCACCAAGAUCGUCGUCGGCCGCCCCGCGCCCCGCGGCCGCCGCCCCGCCUCCGUGAAGCUCCGCCGCCCCGCCUCCUCAUCGCCGGCGGCCUCUCCGGCGAGAGAUCCGGCCGCCGCGGCUCUAUUUCCGGCGGUCCUCGAGCUGCUACAGUGCCGCCGGAGUUUGCCUCGGUUUCCGUGCAAACCCUAGAUCCGGAUCCGGAGGUUGAAUUUUUCCUAAGUCCCCAGAAUUUUUAGUCCAAGUGCUCCUGUUCGGGCCCCCGUAACUUUGCAUUCGUAGCUCCAAUUCAUGCAUAUAGCAUAUCAAAAUGUUCACCUCAGAGAGUACAUCAUUUCAUUCCAUUGCAUCAUUUUCAUUUGAGCUCAUCUUGAUGCCCGAAAUGCUAUUAGAAUAGGGCUACUUGAGUUAAUUGUCAGAUCUGUUACUCCGUUUAGCACUUUUGUCAUUUUUGCCAUGAUUAAUGUGUGCCUGUUAUGCCCGUGAGUUCUUCAUAUGUUUUGUUAAGGGUUUUGUCAUCUAUCCAGAGGUGCAACCCAUGUAUUUUUAGGAUGUGUGUAGUGACUUGUGCAAGCUUGCAAAGUGGUGCACUUGCUAAUUCUGUUUUCAGGGACUUAGUGAUUUCACCAAGUCCUGGGAUUGUUUAUCUCAUGAUGUCAUAUGUUCUUGUUGUUUCCUAGUGAUCCGUGCCUCUUUUGAGGAUGAUCAUUAAGGGAGUUUUGUUAAUAUUGUAGUGCUCUAUCCAUCCAUGUCUUUGUUUGCAAUUAUGGAGCACCCUAGCUUGAGUCAAUCGAGCUCUACUUUUGCUUCGUUGUGAUUCUGGGCAGAUCAUCAACUUGUUUGCGAUUUUGCCGAUGUUAUUGUAGUUGAUACGUGCAUGCUAUGCCAUUGUUCUUCCCAUGCCUAGCUUCUAUUUUGUGCCUUCUUAAGGGAUGUAUGCUUGUCUUGCCAUGACUUGCACCGUAGUGAGUGCAUCGAGCUCGUAAACAUGCCUUCGUGAGUUAUGUUUCAGCAUGUCCCAGUUUUUCACUAAGUCUGAAACUGAUUAUGUUUUUGCUAUGUUCGUGUGCUUGUUAGUAUAUUUUAUGAUCCCUUUUGGCUCAAGGUCACUAAGCUUGUUGAGUAGCUCCAUGCCAUGUUUUUCUUUGUCAUGUUCAGGUCCUGUAGCAUGUUGUUUUGUUGCUCCAAAGAGGGCUAUAUGAUCUGAAAUUCCAGACAAGUGUUAAUUUCACUAAGUCUGAGAUCUGUUUGUCAUUUGCAUUUUUGCCAUGCUUGUUUGAACCUGUUAAUGGAUGAUUUGGCCGUAGCUCAGUGCUAGACUUUUGUUAAGCAUCUUGUGUGCAUCCCUGCCAUGUAUUUUGUUGUCAUGUUUGGGUGCUGUAGCAUGUUCGUUUCGUUGCAUUUAGAUGCCUACUUGCUUUAAAUCGCAGACCGGUGUCAUUUUUGAAUCGCAUGCCAUUUCCAAACCGUAACUCCGAUUCCGGCGUUCUUUAUAUCGUUUUCAAGCGAUUUCAUCUCAUCUUUCCAGUGGCACACUUGGAAUUCCAAGUUGAGGCCAGGUUCAUGCAUUUCCUGUCAUAUCUUGCAUUUUGCAUCUCGCAUCGCAUCCCGCAUAGCAUAUCACCAUUUCAUCAUGUUGCUUGAUCUUGCACGUGGUUGAUUGUAUCCUUGUUGUUGUUUGUCUUGUUUGGGUAGAGCCGGGAGAUGAGUUUGCUAACGAGGAGCCCAUUGAUUUUGCUUUUGAGGAUCCAGUCAACUCUGACAACUGUGUAGGCAAGAUGAUCAUACCCUCGAAAUCACUACUAUCUUUGCUAUGCUAGUUUGCUCGCUCUUUUGCUAUGUCAUUGCUAUGAUGCCUACCACUUGCUUGCAAGCCUCCCAAAUUGCCAUGUCAAACCUCUAACCCACCAUUCUCCUAGCAAACCGUUGAUUGGCUAUGUUACCACUUUGCUCAACCCCUCUUAUAAAGAUGCUAGUUGCAGGUGAAGUUUGGAGGCCGUUCCUUAUUGGAACAUUCAUUUACUUGUUGGGAUAUCAUUAUAUUGCUAUGUUAUCUUAAUGCAUCUAUAUACUUGGUAAAGGGUGGAAGGCUCGGCAUCUCGUCUAGUGUUUUGUUCCACUCUUGCCGCCCUAGUUUCCGUCAUAUCGGUGUUAUGUUCCCGGAUUUUUGCGUUCCUUACGCGGUUGGGUUAUAAUGGGAACCCCUUGAUAUUUCGCCUUGAUUAAAGCUUUUCCAGCAAUGCCCAACAUUGGUCUUACCAUUUGCCACCUAGCCUUUUCUUUCCCUUGGGUUCUGCAGACACAAGGGUCAUCUUAUUUUAUCCCCCCCCGGGCCAGUGCUCCUCUGAGUGUUGGUCCCACCGAGCGAUGUCCGGGGCUACCAGGGGCAACUUUGGGCUGGCCUACCCGAUGUUUGGCUCAUCUGAGUGUGCCCUGAGAAAGAGAUAUGUCCAGCUCCUAUCGGGAUUUGUCGGCACAUUCGGGCGAUGUUGCUGGUCUUGUUUUAACCUUUCGAAGUGUCUUGAGUUACCGAGAUACCGAGUCUGAUCGGAACGUCUUGGGAGGAGGUCUAUUCCUUCGUUGACCGUGAGAGCUUGUCAUGGGCUAAGUUGGGACUCCCCUGCAGGGAUUGAACUUUCGAAAGCGGUGCCCGCGGUUAUGGGCAGAUGGGAAUUUGUUAAUGUCCGGUUGUAGAUAACUUGAACCUUAAUUUAAUUAAAAUGAAUCAACUGAGUGUGUUACCGUGAUGGCCUCUUUUCGGCGGAGUCCGGGAACUGGACACGGUGUUGGAGUAAUGUUUGCGCAGGUUGCUCUCUAGUUUCUCGCUCGCGCUUUGCCUCCUCUUCUCGCUCUCUUUUGCGAAUAAGUUAGCCACCAUACUUGCUAGUCGCUUGCUGCAGCUCCACUCAUAUUUUACCUUGCCAUUCCUACAAGCUUAAAUAGUCUUGAUCGCGAGGGUGCGAGAUUGCUGAGUCCCUGUGGCUCAUAGAUUACUAUUACACCAGAUGCAGGGCCUGAUGAUUCCGCUCCAGGAGACGCGUAUGAGCUUAAGUGGGAGUUCGACGAAGACUCUCAACGAUACUAUGUUUCCUUUCCCGAUGAUCAGUAGUGGUGCCCAGUUGGGGGUGAUUGGGACCGUUGUCGCAUGUUGGGUUCACUUUAUUUUGGCGCCGUAGUCGGGCCAUGAGUGUUUUGGAUGAUGUAAUGUUAUUUAUGUACUUGAUUGACGUGGCGAGUGUAAGCCAACUAUGUUAUCUCCCUUUUUAUUAUCAUAUUACAUGGGAUGUUGUGAAGAUUGCCUAACUUGCGACAUAUGCCUUCAAUGCGAUUAUAUCUCUAAGUCGUGCCUCGACACGUGGGAGCUAUAGUCGCAUCGAGGGUGUUACACUUUUGGUACUUUUGCUUAUAGACGUAUGCCUUUUGGUUUAUGUAAUGCACCUGCUACCUUUUAAAGAUGCAUGAUGGCUAUAUUCUCUGACUUUUGUGGAAAGAUUUGUGAGGUUUUCAUGGACGAUUUUUCCGUCUAUGGAUCUUCUUUUGAUGAUUCCUUGAGCAACCUUGAUCGAGUUUUGCAGAGAUGUGAAGAAACUAAUCUUGUCUUGAAUUGGGAAAAGUGCCACUUUAUGGUUAAUGAAGGUAUUGUCUUGGGGCAUAAAGUUUCUGAAAGAGGUAUUGAAGUUGAUAAAGCCAAGGUUGAUGCUAUUGAAAAGAUGCCAUGUCCCAAGGACAUCAAAGUUAUAAGAAGUUUCCUUGGUCAUGCCGGUUUUUAUAGGAGGUUCAUCAAAGACUUCUCAAAAAUCUCUCGGCCUCUGACUAAUUUAUUACAAAAAGAUAUACCAUUUGUCUUUGAUGAUGAUUGUGUAGAAGCAUUUGAAAUACUUAAGAAAGCAUUGAUCUCUGCACCUAUUGUUCAGCCACCUGAUUGGAAUUUACCCUUUGAAAUUAUGUGCGAUGCUAAUGAUUGUGCUGUAGGUGCUGUUCUAGAAGAAAAGUUGAUAAGAAACUAAAUGUUAUUCAAUAUGCUAGUAAAACUCUAGACAAUGCUAAAAGAAAUUAUGCUACUACUGAAAAAGAAUUCUUAGCAGUUGUAUUUGCCUGUGAUAAGUUUAGACCCUAUAUUGUUGAUUCUAAAGUAACUAUUCACACUAAUCAUGCUGCUAUUAAAUAUCUUAUGGAAAAUAAAGAUGCUAAACCUAGACUUAUUAGAUGGGUUAGAAUUUGAUUUACAUAUUGUUGAUAGAAAAGGAACUGAGAACCCCGUUGCAGACAACUUUUCUAGGCUAGAAAAUGUGCUUGAUUACCCACUACCGAUUGAUGAUAGCUUUCCCGAUGAGCAAUUAAGUGUCAUAAAUACUUCUCAUACUGCUCCAUGGUAUGCUGACUAUGCUAAUUAUAUUGUUGCUAAGUUUAUGCCACCUAGUUUCACAUACCAGCAAAAGAAAAAGUUAUUCUAUGAUUUGAGGCAUUACUUUUGUGAUGACCCACAUCUUUAUAAAGAAGGAGUAGAUGGUGUUAUUAGACGUUGUGUACCUAAGCAUGAAUAGGAACAGAUCCUACGCAAGUGUCACUCCGAAGCUUAUGGAGGACACCAUGCCGGAGAUAGGACUUCACAUAAGGUACUGCAAUCUGGUUUUUAUUGGCCUACUCUCUUCAAGGAUGCCCGUAAGUUUGUCUUAUCUUGUGAUGAAUGUCGAAGAAUUGGUAAUAUUAGUAGACGACAAGAAAUGCGUAUGAAUUAUUCACUUGUUAUUGAACUAUUUGAUGUUUGGGGCUUUGACUAUAUGGGACCUUUUCCUUCCUCUAUGGUAAUACACAUAUUUUAGUUGCUGUUGAUUACGUUACUAAGUGGGUAGAAGAUAUUCAAACUAGUAGUGCUGAUCAUAACACUUCUAUUAAAAUUCUUAAAGAAGUUAUCUUUCCAAGGUUUGGAGUCCCUAGAUAUUUAAUGACUCAUGGUGGCUCUCAUUUUAUUCAUGGUGCUUUCUGUAAAAUGCUUGCUAAAUAUGAUGUUAAUCAUAGAAUUGCAUCUCCUUAUCACCCUCAGUCUAGUGGUCAAGUAGAACUGAGUAAUAGAGAACUCAAAUUAAUUUUGCAAAAGACUGUUAAUAGGUCCAGAAAGAAUUGGUCCAAGAAACUUGAUGAUGCAUUAUGGGCCUAUAGAACCGCAUAUAAAAAUCCUAUGGGUAUGUCUCUGUAUAAAAUGGUCUAUGGAAAAGCAUGACACUUACCUCUCGAACUAGAACACAAGGCUUAUUGGGCUAUUAAAGAACUUAAUUAUGAUUUUAAGCUUGCCGGUGAGAAGAGUUUAUUUGAUAUUAGCUCACUUGAUGAAUGAAGAACUCAAGCCUAUGAAAAUGCCAAGUUUUUUAAAUAAAAAGUUAAAAGAUGGCAUGACAAAAGGAUACAAAAGCGCGAGUUUAAUGUAGGUGAUUAUGUAUUGCUAUACAACUCUCUUUUAAGAUUUUUUGCAGGAAAACUUCUCUCUAAAUGGGAAGGCCCUGACGUUAUCGAGGAGGUCUAUCAUUCCGGUGCCAUAAAAAUCAACAAUUUUGAAGGCACAAAUCCGAAGGUGGUGAACGGUCAAAGAAUCAAACACUAUAUCUUAGGUAAUCCUAUAAAUGUUGUGAAACCGUAACCCCAGAGGAAUACAUAAGGGACACUUUCCGGAACGUUUCAGACUCCGAAAAGGAAUAUGUAUGUGGUACGGUAAGUAAACCGACUCCAAAACAGUUUUUAAGGCAAUAUUUCUCCGUUUUGGAAUAUUUAGAAAAAUAGAAAAAUAAGCGGCAGUCCGGAAAGGACACGAGGGCUCCACGAGGGUGGAGGGCGCCCCCUACCUCGUGUGCUCUCCGGACUCUGUUUUCUUACAUGACACGUAUUUUGGUCGGUAAAAAUUCAUUAUAUAACCUCCUGGGGGUUUUGACUCCCGUAUCACGUGAAAAUCUUCUAUCUUUGUUUCGAGCUGUUUUCUGUCAGGGUUCUCAAGGCCAGGCACUAUGUCAUCUCCCUCCUCCUCCAACCAUGAAGGCAAUGAGGCUUGGCUGAUGAAGAUAGAGCUGAAGAGAGAAGAACCUAUGGAGAUCAACAAGGAUGAAGGGAUCAAGAAGGCCAUGGAGGACCAAGUUCCAGCAACAGAAGACACCCUCCAACUGGAUCACAAUCUUCAUACCCCAACAGAAAUCAAAGCUUUCAAGAUGAUUGAGUUGGCUUGUAUACAAAAUAAGUAUCUCACACGUGAAAAUAUUUUGUUGAAGGAGCAUAUCAUCGCACUCAAGGGCAUUAUCUGCAAGCUAGAAGACCUCCUACGCUCGAUGUGCGACUAUCCAUCAUCAACAACUCCCCCUUCUUCACCAACAAAGGAGACAUAAUCACCUGGGUAUGGGCACUCCACUUGGCAACUGCCAAGCUUGGGGGAGUGCCCCGGUAUCGUAUCACCAUCACUUUAUCUUUACCGUUUUUCUUAGUUCGAUCCUUUUGGUAAUAUCUUGAUCUAGUAGAAUAAAAGCACUUAGUAUGAUCUAGUUGUGAGUUUUGCUUUAUUACCCCUCUAUGUAAUCGAGUCCGUGAGCUAUAUAAUCAAGAUUAGUGUUGAGUCAAGGGCUUGAUUAUUUUGCCAUGAUCAUAAGUGAAUAAAGGAAAAGAGAAAAAAAUAAAAAGAAACAAAGAGAUCAUGUGACUCUUAUGGAGAGUAAUGAGCUCACAUAGAAAGAGUAUGAUGAAUAAAAGUUGUUGAGAGUUGACAAACAUAGUUUUGGUCAUCGUUGCAAUUAAUAGGAAGUAAUAAAGAAACAGAGGUCUUCACAUAUAAAUAUAUUAUCUUGGACAUCUUUUAUGAUUGUGAGCACUCAUUAAAAUGACAUGCUAAAGAGUUGACAUUGGACAAGGAAGAGAACAUAAUGGGUUAUGUUUUCUUACAUCUGAGACAAAUUAUAUUGUCUUGGAUCCUCCAACAUGUUGAGCUUGCCUUUCUCCCUCAUGCUAGCCAAAUUCAUUGCACCAAGUAGAAAUACUACUUGUGCUUCCAAAUACCCUUAAACCAGUUUUGCCAUGAGAGUCCACCAUACCUACCUAUGGGUUGAGUAAGAUCCAUCAAGUAAGUUGUCAUCGGUGUAAGCAAUAAAAAUUGCUCUCUAAAUAUGUAUGAUUGAUUGGUGUGGUAGAAAUAAGCUUUAUACAAUCGUGUGAUAUGGAAGUAAUAAAAGCGACAGACGCCAUAAUAAAGGUCCAUAUCACAAGUGGCAAUAUAAAGUGACGUUCUUUCGCAUUAGGAUUUUGUGCAUCCAACCAUAAAAGCGCAUGACAACCUCUGCUUCCCUCUACGAAGGGCCUAUUUUUUACUUUUAUCUCCUAUACUGCAAUAGAGUCAUGGUGAUCUUCACCGUUCCUUUUUAAAUUUUAUCCUUUGGCAAGCACAAUUUGUUGGAAAGAUCCUGGUAUAUAUGGCUAAUUGGAUGUGAUUUCUCAUGAACUAUUACUGUUGACAUUACCCUUGAGGUAAGACGUUGGGAGGCGAAACUAUAAGCCCCUAUAUUUCUCUAUGUCCGAUUAAAACUCCAUACCCAUAAGUAUUGCGUGAGUGUCAGCAACUGUGAAAGACUAUAUGAUAGUUGAGUAUGUGGACUUGCUGAAAAGCUCUUAUACAUUGACUCUUUCCUAUGUUAUGAUUAAUUGCAAUUGCUUCAAUGACUGAGAUUAUAGUUUGUUAGUUUUCAAUGAAGUUUACGAUUCAUACUUGAUGUUGUGAUUGAAUUAUUACUCUAUCAUAAGAAAUCAUAUGACAAGAAUUAUAUAAGUUGUUGUUCUAAGAAUGAUCAUGAUGCCCUCAUGUCCAUAUUUUAUUUUUUAACAACACCUCUUUCUCUAAACAUGUGGACAUAUUUUUCGAUUUCGGCUUUUCGCUUGAGGACAAGCGUGGUCUAAGCUUGGGGGAGUUGAUACGUCCAUUUUGCAUCAUGCUUUUAUAUCAACAUUUAUUGCAUUAUGGGGUAUUAUUAAACAUUAUGUCACAAUACUUAUGCCUAUUCUCUCUUAUUUUAUAAGGUUUAAAAAAAGAGGGAGAAUGUCGGCAGCUGGGAUUCUGGCUGGAAAAGGAGCAAAUAUUAGAGACCUAUUCUGCACAGCUCCGAAAAUCCUGAAACUUCACGGAUGAUGUUUUCCAAAUAUAUAAAAAACAUUGAGCGCAAGAACUUCACAAGGGGGGGCACACCCUGCCCACGAGGCUGGGGGCGCGCCCCCUACCUCGUGGGCCCCCUGGUGGCCCUCCAGUGACCAUCUUCUGCUAUAUGGACUCUUUCAAUGAGAAAAAAAAUCAUAAGCCACCUUCUCGGACGAAACUCAGCCGCCACGAGGUGAAACCUUGGUGGAACCAAUCUAGGGUUCUAGCGGGGCUGUUCUUCCAUGGAAACUUCCCUCUCGGAGGGGGAAAUCAUCGCCAUCGUCAUCACCAAUGCUCCUCUCAUCGGGAGAGGGCAAUCUCCAUCAACAUCUUCAUCAGCACCAUCUCAUCUCAAAACCCUAGUUUAUCUCUUGUACCCAAUUCUUGUCUCCAAGUCCUGGAUUGGUGCUAGUAGGUUGCUAGUAGUGUUAAUUACUCCUUGUAGUUGAUGCUAGUUGGUUUAAUUGGUGGAAGAUCAUAUGUUCAGAUCCUAUAUGCACAUUAAUACCCCUCUGAUUAUAAACAUGUUUAUGCUUUGUGAGUAGUUACUUUUGUACCUGAGGACAUGGGAGAAGUCUUGCUAUUAGUAGUCAUGUGAAUUUGGUAUUCGUUCGAUAUUUUGAUGAGAUGUAUGUUGUCUCUCCUCUAGUGGUGUUAUGUGAACGUCGACUACAUGACACUUCACCAUUGUUUGGGCCUAGAGGAAGGCAUUGCGAAGUAGUAAGUAGAUGAUGGGUUGCUAGAGUAACAGAAGCUUAAACCCUAGUUUAUGCGUUGCUUCGUAAGGGGUUGAUUUGGAUCCAUAUGUUUCAUGCUAUGGUUAGGUUUACCUUAAUACUUUUGUUGUAUUUGCGGAUGCUUGCAAUAGAGGUUAAUCAUAAGUGGGAUGCUUGUCCAAGUAAGGGCAGCACCUAAGAACCGAUCCACCCACAUACCAAAUUAUCAAAGUACCGAACGCAAAUCAUAUGAAUGUGAUGAAAACUAGCUUGACGAUAUUCCCAUGUGUUCUCGGGAGCGCUUUACAUCAUAUAAGAGUGUGUCCAGGCUUGUCCUUUUCUACAAAAAGGAUUGGGCCACCUUGCUGCACCUUAUUUACUUUUGUCACUUGUUGCUCAUUACAAAUUAUCUUAUCACAAAACUAUCUGUUACCACUUGUUUCAGUACUUGCAGAGAAUACCUUGCUAGAAACCGCUUAUCAUUUCCUUCUUCUCCUCGUUGGGUUCGACACUCUUACUUAUCGAAAGGACUACGAUAGAUCCCCUAUACUUGUGGGUCAUCAACCAUUCGUCCUAGCCAAUGAUGUGGCAUAGAUUUUCUAUGUGAAGGACAUGUCUACCAAGCCGAGAAAAAGAAAAGAUAAGGAAUCGAAUGCAUCAUACGAUGAGCCAAAGCGCCACAUAGUUCUUUUUGGAAAGAGAAACAUCGUGGGAGUGGAUGACAAGACAGACAUAUCAGAAGAUUAUGAAAAGUUUGAUGAAAUUGCUCCAUUCACAGUGAAUAUUGACCCGAGCAUCCCGUUAAAUGAUGAAGAUUUUCCAUGGCUACGGCGCAAAGGGACACACGCGAAGAAAAAGUUUCACACCCAAAGAUCUGGGAUGUUAUCGGCUUCACUAUCAUCACUUUCUUUUGUGUUUCACACCCAGGAGGGAAUCUCUGUAAUAGUUAGGUAGUUAUGUGUUUUGGCAUUUGAAACGCGAAGAAAUUUUAUGUGCAAACAAAUUAUUUCAGGCAUUUACUGAUUUUUUCAGCUAAAUGGCCCUGAAAUUGAAAAGCAUUUCAAAUGAACUGAGAAAAGGUUGAAAGUUAGCAUGGUAUCAUAAUUUCACCCACAUAGCAUGUGCAAAAAAGUAGAGAGGGUUACUGCAAAAACUGGAUGCACUUCGGGUACAAAAUGGACAAUCUCUUUCGAAGUAUCAGGGUUUCGGACGAAAACUCAUCUGUUACAAAGGCAUUUCAUUUUUUAAAUAACCUAAGCAUUGCCAAAUUGAAUAUAAUGAUAAAACACACUAAUAUUAAACAUAAAAAAAAGAAUCACUGAAAAAUCUAUUUUCAAAGUUAAGUUAUUCACAAACUAGUGAUUCACACAAAUUUCAAAUAAUUCAAAAUUUAAGCUAUUCAAAUUUGAAAACUACCGGCACUAAUAGAAAGUUAGUAAUUUUUUGUGCCUAAAGCAAAAAUAUUCACAAAGAAACCCUAAAUACAGCAAAAAAAACUAAAAAAAUAAAAAAAUAAAGCAAAUAAACAAGAAAAUAAAAAAGCCCGCCUACUGGGCCAGAGCGGCCUACAUACGACUAGAAACCCAACGUGUUAUUGGGCCAGGAUGCAGGCCCGCAAAGGCCCAGUAGGCCCACAGGGCAGCAGAGAACAUAUAGGCCCAGUAGGCCUGCUUUGGAGAGGAGCUCGAGGGAGCUGCCGCACUGAGGCUUAUAAACCAGUGCGGACGCCCCUCGACUAGCGAGGUGGGACUAAACUUGCCGCACCGCACCUGUGCCAACGCAACCCCUUUAGUACCGGGUCGUAGCUCCAAUGGUACUAAAGGGGGAUCUUUACUACCGGUUGGUGUCACCACCCAGUACUAAAGGGGGUGCGCUUCCCGCCGCUUCGCCUAGCCAAAACAGACCUUUAGUACCGGUUGGUGGCUCCAACCGGUACUAAAGGGGUGUUCUAUAUAAGAAAACCCUUCAAAAAAUUCGUUAGUUCGUUCUCCCUCUGCUUCUUCUUCUCCUCUGCCCCGUCACUCCCGCCCCUCGUCGCCGCCCCCGUCGCCAUCCCUGUCGCCGUCCCCUCUGUCUCGUCGUCCCAUCGCCGUCGCCCACGCUGUGAGCCCCUCUCCCCGGCCCCUCUCCUCCCUCCAAUCGAAGCCGCUGCGCCACCGGCGCCGUAGGUGCACACGCGCACACGCGUGCGCACACACACACACACACACACGCACACACACGCGCGCGCACACACACACGAUUCUGUUUUUUGUUUUUUCUGUUUUUAUACAAAUGUUUUAGAUGAAAUAAAUAAUUAGAUUAGAUUAAUGUCAAAUAGUAUAUAGAAAUUUUAGAAAUGUUAGUUUUAGCUAGAUGAAUUAGAUUAAUUUCAAGUUGUUAUAGAAAUGUUAGAACUGUUAUAAAAAUGUUAGUUUUAGCUAGAUAAAUUGGAUUAAUUUCAAAUUUUUAUAGAAAUGUUAGAAAUGUUAGUUUUUAGUUUCUUAUAAUUCUAGUUAUAGAAAUUUAGAAUUUGCAUAUAAGUCACAAUCAAAUAAUUUAAAAAAUGUUACUUUUGGGGCAUAUAGUAUUUUUCCUCGACGAUGCCCGCCCGCAUCCUCGCCGUCGACCCGUUCGUGACGACGUCCUACUUCAGGGGACCCAUGUCCAGGACUGGGCUCCGCCGGGCUGGCACUGGGAGGUGCUACCUUUAGGGGCUCGCCGCUUGGUGAGGAACCCGGGCCCCGUCGUCGACCCUGAUCUCCUUUGGUGGCCUUCACAUGGGCCACAUUCGAUGCAGAGGGAGUCGGCCCCGCCGGAGGUGGUGCAUCGCCGUGUCAGGGAGGAGGACAAACACGUCCAUCGCUACAUGGCUGCUAUGGACGCCAGGUUCUCCAAUACCUGGCAGGUUCUUUGGGCAGAUGACCGGAGAUAUGAUCCUGUGAUGGUUCCUUCUCUUUGGGUGUCCACCGCCCGCGCCCUAGGAACCGCGAGUGGCCUAGAUUCUUUUGUAGUAUUGGAUCUUUAUUAGCUACCUAGCCAGUGAUUAUUCGAGACGAUGUAUUCGAGAUUAUAUAUUAUUGGAGACGAUGUAUUCGAGAUUAUAUAUUAUUCGAGACGAUGUAUUCGAGAUUAUAUAUUAUUUGAGACGAUGCAUAUUAUGUACUAUAUGAUUCAGUUUUUCCUUAUUGAUUGCAUCCAUGGUUGUAAUUUUUGAAUAUUAAAUUGUUUUAUAUUUCUUCUGGAUUAGUUAAAUAAAAGCUAUGGCGGACAAUACUGGCAGAGAGGGAAAAGAGGCCCUGUUCGAGAUCAUACGAGAUCAUACACAGCCAGAUGAUCUGAAUGAAGCAGAUGACGGCUCCCAAUAUCUGAGUAAUACCAGGGAGGAUGAUGAUAAGAUAUUCGAUCAGGAUGGCCGAGCCGAUGAAGUCAUGAACUAUGAUUAUGAUUAUGAUGACGCAGACAAUGUUGAUCUUCAAAUAACAAAGACUACCGGCGAGGUAUAUUUAUAUAAGCAGGCAUCUGGUGAUCGUCGCAUGUUUUUUUAUUUGAAGAUAUAUUAAUGAAUCGAUCUUUCUUCUUUCAGCCCUCCAGAUCGAGCAAAUCUGUUUCUACAGACAGUAGGACAAAGCGAGGCCCAGGCACAAAGUUGAAGGAGGGUGUAAAUUACAACAUCGAUUCCAUCAAAGCUAGUGGCGAACCCCUCACGCCUAAGAACAUUGCGAACAAGUUUGUUCGUCAGUGCGGAGUUCUUGUGAAGGACCAACUCCCGAUCUCCAUUCAAGAAUGGAAAGAGCCAAAAACUAAACAUCCAGAUGUUACUUGGGUCGACGACAGAGCAAAAGAAAAGCUUUGGGAAUCUCUGAUGGAACAUUUCACCCUACCAUAUUAUUUCACUGAUGCAGAUGUGCAGAAAGUCAAGGACGCUGCUCUUAAGAAGAUGGCAAUUGCAUUCAACACCCACAAGAAAACUGUAUGGGCCAACUACGUCGCUGCAGAAAGGAAGACUCCUGAAUUCAAUGGAACACUUGAGAAGCAAAGAGAACACUGGCCCGCUUUCGUGAAAUUUAAGGAAUCAGAAUUAUCUAAGGAACGGUCGAGAAAAAAUAAGGCCAAUGCCGCAAAAAAGACGCAGUUCCAUAGGCUGGGGCCAGGUGGCUACGCGGUGGCAAUGCCUAAGUGGGAUAAGUCUGAGCAAGAGAUGGAGGAUGCAGGGGUCACUCCAGUUACUAGGAGCUAGCCCCCCAGGUGCAGAACUUGGUUCUAUGCGCAUGGGGGGCGUUGGACCCGGAGAUAGGCAUGGUUUCGAAGAAGACAAGUCUAAAAGGAGCCGAACAAAAUUUACUUGACGCAAUAGAAGAUGAUCGAAAGGGGGUGUUCACGCCCAACAGAGAGAACGACGAGCUUACGCGCGCCCUGGGAAAUCCUGAACACCCGGGAAGAACACGAGGCAAGGGUGUUAUUCCUUGGUAUGAGGGCUUUUCGGAAUGGAACGACGACUACAAGUGUCGUGCAAGAAAGAAGAUGGAGGAGGAGAAGAAGAGGAAGAUGGAGGAGGAGCAGAGGAAGCAGGAAGCAGAACGCCUUCAAGGCCUAGAAGUAAGGCACGCGGACUUGGCACUCAAAUUCCAGCGGUAGCAGCAGCAGAUUGACUCACUUAGCCAGGAAAUGGGGUCUCAGCAGCGGCAGCAGCAAGCGGAUGAUCCGGCAUUGGAUAGCACUGUCCCAUCCAUGCCGAGAAGCAGCGUUGGUUCCGCCCCGGGCGACGCACUGCUGGAUACAUACCCUGUGGAUGACAUCAUAGAGAACACUAACCGCGAGCUAACUUCAAAAUGAAGAACAUAUCCAUGAAGGUGGUGGACGCCGUUGCUUUUAAAAAUACCCCCGAAGCAACCUUCCAUUUCACCCUGAUUCCAGCGGGCUAUGCUCGUGUCUUGGUUGAUGAGGUGAUGGACCAAUAUUCGAGGCUAGAGUUUGACAUUCCUGGAGGUGACGACGAGCACACACUGGGAUAGGCCAUACAUCGUAUCAUCCUAUGGAGAAAGGAUUGCAUCAUCUUUCGAAGGCCACCGACACCGCGUCAGCCGACUCCUCCUCGAAGUCCACCACCGAGUUAGCAGACUCCCGCUCCUCCAUGUCCACGAACGCGUGAGCUGACUCCUCCUCGAAGUCCGCCACCGUGUCAGCAGACUCCCACUCCUCCAAGUCCACGAACGCGUGAGCCGACUCCUCCUCGAAGUCCGCCACCGUGUCAGCAGACUCCCCCUCCUCCAAGUCCACCAAUGCAUGAGCAGACUCCUGCUCCAACUCAGCCACGUCAGCUGUCUCCGCUGCCUCGGCAAUCGCAGAAGGGACACGCCGCAGCUAUGGUGCAUAGCGGUACGAGUCGAGGUAGUACAGGAGGUACAUGCGGAGGCAAGCGAUAUAAAUAUGGUCCAAGCCUCGCUCCUCUUCCUCAGAGGCCUUACGACAUGACUGAGGAGCAAAACGAAGCCAUAGUUAAGGCCCAAGUGGACGCCCAUUUUGGACCGAAACCGGCACCGCCGCCAAGGGAGAAAGUGCCUGAGGAAAAGAUUGACCACUUCAUUCGUAUGGCUAGACCACCAGCUCCCAAGCCUGUUGACUCAGACUAUGAGCGCCAAAUCAGGAAGGCACAUCGAGCACGACUAUAGAAGGAAGCAACCUUGAGCUCGAGCCAACAAGCAACUGUCAAAAAAUGUGGGAAACCCGUUCCCCAGCUGGGAGAACAGGCGGCGCAAUCGACCCCCCCCCCCCCGCUUGUUGUGCCAACAACACAUGAGAGUACGUGCGCCCUAUAUUAUUAUGGGCAAACUGUUCCCCAGCUGAACAAUCUGGUAAUAACCGAGGAUCAUAUAAGGCAGGCUAAAAUUCUCGAUAUCAGUGUUGGACAAGUCCUCGAGAUCGAGCCCAUGUCUCCUCUUAGAGAGGAGGAAAUAAAACGGAAAUAUGUCCGGGGCCAACCUUUUGUCAAGCCCGAGGAGGUCAAGAACCUCCCAACGAGAAUGUAUGAAUUACAUCAGUGGUACAUGAACAUUACCAAGAUUUCCAAUCGAGAGUCCAUCAUGGUGAAUGUCAAGGAGGAGCAUUACUUCCAUGAGAAAGCACUAUCCGUUGAGUAUUCAGAACUAUUUCAGUUAUAAAAUCAAGACGCACUCGACAAAUCUCUCGUCAGUUGCUAUUGUCUGUAAGUGAUUUCUUUCUGUAAUUUAAGUCUCAAGCUAGCUGUAGUGAUCAUUUUGAUCAAUCAUUACCUAUAAUUAUCCUCACUAUAUUAUUUUUUGUGGUAUUAUGCAAGAUGAAGAUGUAUGAAAUGAAAGAAUCUAGACGCUAUGGCAUCGGGUUCAUUGACCCAAAUACUGUUAAUAGCAAUGAAGAUAUACACAUGGCAAAUCCCAAGUUGUCGAGCAAGUUUAGAGGAAAGUAUGCUAGAGUUCUUCAAGCGCCUCAAUAGCAAUGAAGAUAUACUACUUCCUUACAACUUCAGGUGAGUCACACUGUCUUGUAGUGCAAAUUCUAUUUUUGCUUACUAGCUAGCUAGAUGUUAAUAAUUAAGUGUAUAUGGUUAGGCUAGUUAAUUAGUGUUGUGCACAUGCCCGCUUAAUUAAGACAUGCAAACGUGUGCGCAUGCAGUUACCACUGGAUCUUGUUAGUCAUUAAAGUUGAUAAAGGAACAGUUGAAGUACUGGACUCACUAGUUAAGAAAGAAAGUGACUUCGCCAUCGUGAAGGGGAUAGUCGGCAGGUAAUUUCAAUCAACUAUAUCUCGGCCUAUUUAAUUAGUUCGUCAUUUCCUGAUAUCAACUAUUUAAUAACCCCUUUAUUCAUUUUCUUUGCUGGCGGGCAGGGCUUGGGAAAAGUUCAUCAAGGUGACUCCAGGCAAAUGGCGACAAAACCUAUUUUGGUUUUGACCCAAGGUAAGUAAUUAAGUAUUACUAGCUAGCUUACCAUCUCUUUAAUUCUUGUUUCAAUACCAUUAAUUAAUUAUCAUGCUUGAUUAAUUAUUAUCUAAUUAAAUUUCAUUCUCGUAAAGGCCCUGAAGCAGGCUCCGGGAACUGACCUGUGUGCAUACUACGUUUGCGAGAACAUUCACAUGAUGGCGUCUGAAAUGAGCAAAUCUGAUAGACAGGAAUAUGUACGUUUGGCUGAACACUAUUCACAAUAUUUACAUCAUUAUCGAUAUCUAGUCAUGCAACUAAUAUACAUGCAUAUUGAUCUCCUUCUUAACAGUUCAAAGAGGUGCGGGAGAAGCUCCUACCAACGGAGCGCAUACUAGCACUUCAAGAGGAAAUAGCGAAAUUUUUGCUCGACCAGGUCAUAGAUCCUAAAGAAGAAAACUAUUACCCGCUACCACCCCCAUGAACCACUUGUCAUCGUGCUUUGAAGGUACCAAGGCAACAUGUAGGAGAAGUUGUAUAUAUAUAUACACAUGUGUAUGUGUGAAUAAUUAAUGGUGGUUGUGUGAUAAAUGUUUCCUACCACCCAUGGUAGUUACCACCACUUCCGUUUUGUAUGUUGUAUGUAGUAUUUGUCAAAAUCGAAAGUAUGUACGUGUAGUAUGUAGUAUAUAAUAACAUUUGGUUAGUAUGUAUCACAUUUUUAGGUAGCAUGUAUCGUAUUUUGAGUAUGCUCUUUUUUACAUACAAAUAUGUAUGUAUUUUAUAAAUAUAAUAAAAACUAUGGGCCAACUUGUAAUUUUUUUAUGUAACUCACUUUCAAGUAUCUUAAAUAUAGUGUAUGAACAUACUAAAAAUAAUAAAGUAGUAUAUAUACUAACACAUGGUAGUAUUUGAGACAUGUGGGGUAACUACCCCUAGGUGGUAGGAUAGAUUUUUCCUAUNNNNNNNNNNNNNNNNNNNNNNNNNNNNNNNNNNNNNNNNNNNNNNNNNNNNNNNNNNNNNNNNNNNNNNNNNNNNNNNNNNNNNNNNNNNNNNNNNNNNNNNNNNNNNNNNNNNNNNNNNNNNNNNNNNNNNNNNNNNNNNNNNNNNNNNNNNNNNNNNNNNNNNNNNNNNNNNNNNNNNNNNNNNNNNNNNNNNNNNNNNNNNNNNNNNNNNNNNNNNNNNNNNNNNNNNNNNNNNNNNNNNNNNNNNNNNNNNNNNNNNNNNNNNNNNNNNNNNNNNNNNNNNNNNNNNNNNNNNNNNNNNNNNNNNNNNNNNNNNNNNNNNNNNNNNNNNNNNNNNNNNNNNNNNNNNNNNNNNNNNNNNNNNNNNNNNNNNNNNNNNNNNNNNNNNNNNNNNNNNNNNNNNNNNNNNNNNNNNNNNNNNNNNNNNNNNNNNNNNNNNNNNNNNNNNNNNNNNNNNNNNNNNNNNNNNNNNNNNNNNNNNNNNNNNNNNNNNNNNNNNNNNNNNNNNNNNNNNNNNNNNNNNNNNNNNNNNNNNNNNNNNNNNNNNNNNNNNNNNNNNNNNNNNNNNNNNNNNNNNNNNNNNNNNNNNNNNNNNNNNNNNNNNNNNNNNNNNNNNNNNNNNNNNNNNNNNNNNNNNNNNNNNNNNNNNNNNNNNNNNNNNNNNNNNNNNNNNNNNNNNNNNNNNNNNNNNNNNNNNNNNNGGGGGAGGUGGGGGGAGGGCUUUAGUCUCCACUCUUUAGUGCCGGUUGUAGAACCGGCACUAAAAACCUUUACGAACCGGCGCUAAAGCCCGGUUCUGCACUAGUGUAUACCUAUAUAUUUGUCUUGUGGUCUUCUUCCAAGGCCAUUCACCUGUAGCAUCUCAUACAUGUCAAGACUUACGAGGAAGCUGAAAUCGUGGCACUUAGGAUUUAGGUGUUAGAUACAUGUAGAGUGUUCGGAAUAGUAGGCAUACAGGAAUAUGUUCAUUUAUGUUGUGUUCAAACUGGCGUCAUGUAAUUACGGCCACCACGCUAGACGUGGCAGCUAGGGAAAAAAAUUAGGAAAACGUUUCCAAACAGUCGGAUGAUUUCUCGCAUUCGUAAGCCGCGUCCGGCGUCGUCUGAUGCUACCCGAUCAUGUGGCGCGGAGCGCUUCUCUGUCCCCACGCGCGAAGAUAGCACAUCCACGUCAGUUUCGUGAGUUCAUGACUGUAGUAUGUAGCAUGUAGCAUCAGUAUUGUCAGUUUACACUGUACUUCAUAAGCGGUGUUCUUACCAGUAGCUACACAUGUGAUGGUACAAAUAAUCUGAAGAGAAAGCACGUAGCAAAUGCUAAAUGAGGAUUCUAAGCACCAUCUUUUGAACGCUGAUCGUGAGUAUUGGUUUUGAUCUCGUACUAGCAAGCUCAUGUUUUUUUUUUUAGAAAAGGAGGACGACCCCCGGCCUCUGCAUCUGGGCGAUGCAUACGGUCAUUUUAUUAAUUAUUGACACAAGACCGUACAGAGUCAUACAAUAAUAAGUCUAAAGCCACCAAAACAAGCAACAACUGUCGCUAUCCCUAUCCAGUUGAUGUAGGGGCGCUGAAAGUCUGGGCCUAAUACCAAACAGACCACGCAGCCAAACCUAAACAUCUAAAGACUUGAGGUCCCACCCAGGACGCCUGCCUGGUAUGGGCACCCACCAGUCCGGCGUGCUUCUCAACCAAGACCCCUGCCGGGUAUGAGGCCGCCGCAGCCGCCUGCCACCAAUCCAUCUUCAGAGCUGUACUGUUGCACCGACCUUGCCAGGCCUAUCUGCCAUCAACGCCACCAUGACGCCAGACAGCUUCCACCUCCUGCACGAGUCCAUCUCCGCGCAUCAGACGCCGAGUCUCCACAGCGCCACGCCGCCGAGAUCCGCCACCAUCAAUGUGUAAGAUGAAGCACCGCUCCACCAAAGUCACCGUCCUCUAGUCCCUCGAGCCCAUGUGCACCUCCAAGAAUGACGCCCCCAGGGGGGAAACGACACCAGCGAGCCGCCGUCAUCCGAUCUACUGAUCUAGGGUUUCCCCCGGAGGUAGCAGAGAGUGGCCUUGAACUUCUCCACGACGAUGCCUUCAGGAAGGGAACGACGCAGACAGCGUCGCCAUCGCCGGCCUUGGCAAUCGCCAAUAGCAGGUUUUCACCCGGAUUUGAUCGAAGACCUCCAUCCCUCGUGCACGGGUCGCCAAACCGCCGGGCACGCACCACCGGAACCACAAUCCGUCGGCCAACCCCAAAGCGUUGCCGCCGCGAGGUCAGCUUUGGCUGGGGCGCCGACAGCCAUCCCCGACCCCCGGCCCAUCCCACCUCCUCCCCCCCGGAUGAAGAAGAGGAGGGGAAGGCCGAGGCCGAGGCCACCACUGCUGCACCGACCCCUCCGCCAGCCGGCCACGGCGGAGGAAGCCGCCCGCAGCCCGCACCGCCCGCAGCCCGCCCCAACCAGAUCUGGAUCGAGCCGCCGCCGUCACCACACCAGCCGAGCACCACCGAGGAGCAGCCCAUCACGCCACCCGCACACCCGCGCGCCAACCUGCGCCGAUGAGGGGCCGCGCCGUGGCGCCCCGCGAGAACGCCGUGACCAGAUCCAGGUCGGCCGGCCCGCGCCAGCCCUCCCGAACGAGGCGAUGAAGACGCCCCGCCGCCGCCGGCGCCGACCGGGCUUCGCCCGGGCGCGCCCUCUGGCGGCGGCGGGAGGAGGAGGAGGAGAAGAGAGGUGGAGAGGCGGCCGGCGGCUAGGGUUCCUCCCCUGCCGCCCGCGGGAGCACCAAAGGAGGACGAGUCCUUGCAGUCGUCACGGGCACUAGCAAGCUCAUGUAGUCAAGGUUGCUUUGGAUAUAGUGUCCUUGACGCUGUUGCCGCCGCAUUCGAAGCAUGCCAUCGCAACAUCAUCAAAGCAGCUGGGUCGCCAUCGCCUCAUCGUUAUGUCGAAGCAUGCCAUUGCACCAUCAUCAAAGCAGCCAUGUUCGUCCUCAGAAGAGUGUCGUGUCCGUGAAACACGCCAUUGCAACACCAUUGAAGUAGCCGGGCCUCCACGGUUGUCGAAGCACGACGUCCAAGUAUCACCACAACUGUUCAAAGCACACUGGUGUAGCAUCAUCGUGAGCCGUAGAAGCAUGUUAUCGCAGCAUCAUCUGGGCCGUCGAAGCACACCACGACCAUUCAAAGCAUGUCGUCAUGCCAUUGUCGUGGCCGCCAAAGCAUGUCAUCUCGGCAUCGUUGAAGCCCACCAUGGGUAUUCGAAGCAUGUCGUUGUGCUAACACCGCAUCGUCGCGGCCACAGUAGCAUUGCCUCGUAACAUCAUCAAAGAAAAACCGAGAUGUCGUCGCAGCACACCCAUGGGCGUUCGAAGCAUGUCGUUGCGGCCGCCAAAGCAAGCAGACAGAACAUCAUCGAAGAAGUUGCAAUGCGGUCACAACACACCACGGGCGUUUGAAGCAUGUCGACACGGCCGCCGAAGCAAGCAGUCGGAACAUCCUCGAAGAAGCCGGGGUGCCAUCGCAACUCACCAUGGCGUUCGAAGCAUGUCGCCGUUGCCGCCAAGGCAAGCUGUCAGAACAUCCUCGAAGAAGCUGAGGUGCCUUCGCAGCACACCAUGGGCGUUCGAAGCAUGUCACCGGCUGCCGAAGCAAUCCGUUGGAACAUCCUCGAAGAAGCCGGGGUGCUUUCGCAGCACACCAUGGGCGUUCGAAGCAUGUCGCCGCGGCCGCCGAAGUAAGCCAUCGCAACAUCCUCAAAGAAGUCGGGAUGUUGUCGCACCACAUGUACCGUGGGUGUUCGAAGCAUGUCGUCGCGCCAUCGGCGUGGUCGCCGCAACCAAAGCAGUCGCAUGUUGCAAAGACCGCCUCGAGUCGUAGCACUGCCUCGCGACCUCAUAGUGACACCCGUAGCAGCCAAACCACCCUCGCAACAUCAUCAUCUCAGCUUUUCAGUGCACCAGGCCUCAUAUGUAGCAGCCACUCUGUCGCUGGUGUUCGAAGCAUCUCGUGUCGUUGCAAUGGGGUUGUCAUUUAACUUUCAAAGUUGCACGCUGUUGCAUGUCAUUGCAUGUCAGACAUCAAUGCUUCAAGGGCCUCCUCCAGUGUUGAUGCAAGGAUGGUUCUCCACUGACCACAGGCAUGUUGCUGCGUUGCAGCAUGCAACGCCAAGCUUGGCCGUUGUGUUGGUUGGCUUCUUUGACAAGCCGAUAAUGGUGGUAUGACGAAGAAUGUGAACGCACAUGUGGCUGUAAGGUGAAAGGAAUAAAACAAGUUGAUAUUUCGAUCGUGACCAUGCCAAUCGAGUGGAUGGGGAGGCGGCUGAUCUCCGCAUGGGAUCAACCGGAUGAUCCCUAGUACAAGCCAUUUUUGCUGCAAUGUUAGAGCACCAUGUUGCAAAGCGAGGCACGUGAUGCUAGAAUAGUCGAAGAUGUUGCCGGUGUUGCAACCAUUGCGGGAGUGUCGUCGGUGCUUCGGGAGCUUCACCCAAUGUGUCGGUGCUUUAGGAGCAUCGUCGAUGUUGCGGCUGCCGAGGGCACGUCAUGCUGUUAUGAUGGCGGUUGAAAGGUUGUGAUGUUGUUGUGAAGCAGGACUAGUAGAGUAUGGAAGGGACGUUGCAACCAGACCUCUAGUAGGAAGGGUACAAGUGAGGCGAAGGCCAUACUAGGUCUGCUCGAUGCGUCCAAUGAUAGGCAACUCAGACUGAUUUUUUUGAAACCUAAGGCGUAGGAUGCAUCAUGAUUUUAAAAUAAUUAAGUGAAAUAAUUUUAAAUUUUUGACAGUAGAAAUUGUUGCAAAGACCAUUAGGCUGGCUAGCUACACUUUUGUGCUUUGUCUGCUAAUGCCGUAGGUACAACAAGAAAAAAUAUAGUUGUAGUAGCUAGUCAAAAGAUGCUCCCGUGUACCACAUCCUGAGCUCAGUGGCCGCUCUGCUGCUGCAUGUGGGGAGGCGACGUGUGAAAGGGAAUUUUUGUGGGCCAAAGCAUCCCACGCGAUCUGGUCUCUCGUUAUCAGGGCAUGUACAAUGGAAGCAUCACCGGUGCUGCCCCAUCGCCUCCAACUAGACUCAGUGAGGUGAGGCCAUAGAUUAGUUUUCUCCCCUCCAUCGCCAAGAGUUGAGGCCACCAUCUUGUGGACCUGAUAUGCUGAGAUCAUCCUAGGUGGAGAAGUCCAUCUCUCACUUGCUUUCUCUCAGCUUUUCCCCUAUCCCCUUGCCUUUUCUUUGGUUUCUCUCGAGGAGCAUCAGCCUCCUCUGCAGACUACACCAUGAGGGUUUGGGCGACCACUUUUUUUCCAACAUGGCAUCCGAACCUAGGUGGACAGUGGGGCAGCAGGUAUGGAGCAGCCAGUUGGCCAUGCCCUCAGGUAACCAGGGCAGGCUAUAUCUGACGGUGUGCCAUGCCUCAUCGCACGGCUCCUUAGGCGGCUGAUAACUGGCAAACAUCAUCCGAAUGACGGGUAGCAGCCGCCAACAUCCUGAAUGCGGAGGCAAGCGAGUGCGUUGCUUUCAUGGAUUCCGGGCUAUAGUGUGGAUCUUCCUAUGAACCAUGGGCUACCAUGAAACGAAAGAAGUCGGAUUCUACUACCACGGCUCAAGAAGAAACAAUUGUCUAGGAUAGUCUUUUUUUACUUCAUACGCACCUGACUAACUCUUCUAAUCGGGGUUGUUAACGAAACCCCCCUUUGCUACAAUUACUUUUGAAAAAGUAAUCUAGCUAAUGUGAUACGUACGAGAGCUAGAAUGUAGCCUUUGCUACAAUUACUUUUGAAAAAGUAAUCUAGCUAAUGUGAUACGAGAGCUAGAAUGUAGAGGACCCAUCGUGUUGAUACAUGACUACUUUACUACGGAGUAUACUACUGCACGGUAAUGUUUGCGACAGAUACGUCAUGGAACACUUGAGAAAAUGAACGCUUGUAUGUGAGCAUCAUGUCGCAGGCCAGAGAGGGAAAGUAUAAGGCUUGUCUAAAAGACUGUACCCUAAAGAAGGAAAAAAAUUGUCCCUUGGAUAGUACUGACCCGGUGGAAACAUGCACGGUGUGCUCUACCUCCGCGUCGACUCUCUUUUAUCUAGGUGGUACGUGCUUGGACAUGCAUGUCCAAGCAUGUCUCCACAAGAUAAUGAACAAGCCGUAAACUAAUAUGUGGCUGGAUAGUUAGGAGGACAGUGAUAUCUCCAGCCCACCAGAGUUCAAGUCAUAGACUUGACAUUGGUGCUCGCAUUAUUUCUGGAUUUAUUUCAGGCUUUCGGUGAUGUCCGUUCAGUGGGACAAGACGGUCAUGUCGAUUGCGACACGUCUGUGGUGACUUCAUAAAAUCUUAAAAUGCUAUGUCGGCUCAGUCUCCCGGAUGUUCUCAUAGGGGUAUGGUGUGCAUACGUACGUUCAUAGGGGUGAGUAUAUGCUCGUCUAUGUGAGCUACUUUGAUUGUACUUUGUUAAAAAAAACCCACCACCACUCUUUUAUCGACGUGGGGUAUAUUGAUAUGGUUGCUGGCCUGGAGAGACUAGUAUAGUAUUUUUUUGAAAAUGCAAAACAUGUUCAAACAUUCUCAGAAAAAUUGCAGACACGUGCACAACCUUGAAAAGUUUUAGGUCCUAGUUCGACCCACACUAAUAGAAACAAAAAAGAGAAAA